This 166820-nucleotide long non-coding RNA is filed under the name Coffea arabica (coffee). RNAcentral's name for it is "long non-coding RNA (CARA_LNC006132)". The stretch from base 82476 to 82558 matches the Rfam family "MIR473 microRNA precursor family". The record is from RNAcentral. Lineage: Eukaryota; Viridiplantae; Streptophyta; Magnoliopsida; Gentianales; Rubiaceae.
GGGGUUUUGAGUGAUUCUUGGAUUGUAAAGACGGGAGGAGAGGGCUUGUGUGUUUUGAACUUAAAAAAGGGGAGGCAAAGAGUGGUAAGCUAGGACAGUUAACGUGGGUAGAGGAGGAGACUGGACAGUGAAGAGUACGAGGAAAAGCAGACACGUAUGAAGGAGGAGGAGUGAGGGACGGAGGUGGUGGAGGAGGCCAAGGGCGCGGGAUACUUGUUAACUACAACUUAUUACUAGUACUGGAAAUGGGAAGACGUGGACGGCCUACACUUUAAUUUCUAUUACACGUAGCGCAGCGGGAAAAGGUCGGCCCAUUUCGGCUGCGGGGUACCUUUUUUCUUUUUCUAUUUACUAGUGUUUUGACCAGUGCAAUGCGCAGGAUUAUAUUUCAAAUCAAAAUAAUAUUGUAUAUAUUUAUAUAUUAUGGUACAAAAUGAUAAAUAUAUAUAUGUUAAAAAUUUUAAAGAAGUGAUGCCUAAUAUUUUGAAAAAAAAAUUAAUCUAUAAUAAUUUAUAGGAUAAAAGAGUUGUUAACGCAUUUAAGGAGAGGGUUAGAUUGGAUGGUAAGGUGAAAAGAGUUUUCUUAAAAAAAUUAAUUUAUUAAUAUCCGACAAAAUAUAUUAUAUUAUACUCAUAUAUCAAUACUUAUAAUAUAAAAAAAUAAAUUAUAACGAAUUUAUUUUCUUUCAUUUUUAAAAAAAAAUCUUUCUCCUAUUUUGCACCCAUAUAAUUGUUGAAUGCAUUUAGAUUAGCAUUUUUCAUAAACUUUAACGUAUAUUUAAAAAAAAAUCUCCAUAAUAUUUGUUUUUAGAAUUCUCAAAAUUAUUAAAAUUGUCAUCAUUUCCCUCUUCUCUUAUCCGACGCCUAAUCAUCAGAUGCCUCAUACGACUUUUAUAUUUUCUAUCGUAGUAUCACUCUCUUUAUUAUUUUUUUGUCAUCUUUAUCAUAUCCCUGCAAUUUCUUUUCUUUUUCUCUCCCUUCUCUGCCCAUCCUUGUAACCCAUGUUUCUUCUUUAGCCUUUCCUGCCACUUUUCAACUUCUUACCAUUUUCUUCCCUCCCUCCUCCCCCUAUACCUAACCUCUAAAUUCAUAUCCCUGCAAUCCAAUAUAUUUAACUUUAUCUAUCAUAAUAAAAAUUAAAAAUUAAAAAUUGAUUAUAAUGGUUGCAAUUAUUAAUAUCUAAAAAUGGGAAUGAAAAACUAAUAAUAUCUAUAAUAUCCUCAAGUAUUACAAUCAAUAUAUAUAUAUAUAUAUAUAUAUAUAUAUAUAUUUAACAUAGCAAAUACAUAGCUGCAUAUCAGCAAUAAGAAUACAUAAAUAAUUAAUGAUGCCAAAAGUUAUCCUUAGUGUUUGGGUUUUGCACUCUUAUUCAAAUCUAAUGUCAAAUUUGGGUCAGAUAUACACAAAUUAAAUAGUAUUUUAGGAUUGAAUGUUCUAUAUCUUUCUCUUAAACUAUAAUGUUACUUUUUUUAAAAUUUUUGUUAGAAUUGGUGUUGUUAUUAUCAUUAUUUUUUUUAUCAAAAAUGAAUAUUUCAAAAAAAAAUUUCCAUGUUAAAAAGCUAGUAUUACAUUGUUUUUUUUUUAGUGAUUUCAUAAUUUGGAUUUCACAAAUGGUCCAUUCUUUAUUUUUUAAAUCCACGACAUUAUUUCAUGAAUAUUUUUUUUUUAAUUUUGCCCUUUUUCUUAGGAUUACUAAGUUAAAAGAUAAAAUAUUGUCAUUUACUUUUUUACUUUUACUAAGUUUGGCAAUGCUUUCUUUUUAUUUACCCUCCCACUAAUAAACUUCAAACCAAAUUCCUAUAUAAGUGGAGUCACUACUUUUUUAAAUUAAAAAGGCAUGGAAACUACUUCUUACUUAAGAAAAUAUUAUUUGCACUUCAUUUUUUAUUAUUUGCAAUUCGACUAUUUGUUAUAUCAUAUAGUAUAAUUAAUGAAAAUUAUAUAACCAAAUUGAUUAUUGAGGUAUGAAUAACAAAAAUGGAGUGUGAAUAAUCUUAUUUGUUUAAAUUAAUAAGAAAGUAUGAAAAGAUGUUAUAUUUCUUAUCUCUUCUUAUGGUCUUAUAGAAGUUUUAAUUGUUGUAAAAUCAUAAAUGCCGCAAGGCAAUCGGAAAUGUGAUGGGUUGAAGUUCAAAUAGGAUAACAUGCAUAUUAACCAACAAUUUGAAAUGAAAUGAUUUUAAAAAGUAACCAACAAUUUCAAAUGUGAAUAGUAGAUGUAGAAGUUGAGAGGAAUAUAUUUUAUAAAUUAAAUUAAAUGUGAAAUGCUAGAAAAAUGGAAUUGGUAGUGGGAAGAUGCGUAGAGGCUUGUUGCUAAAAAUCCCUUCUCAAAUUUAUAUAUAUAGAUUGUGGAAAAUGUUAUUUAUAUUUAUAUUUUAUUAUUCACGCUUUUUAUCACUUUAAUCAUAUAAUUUAUUUAUUUUUAUUUUUAUUAUUCACACUCCCAUUAUCACUUUAAUGUGCAGUUCAGUUAUUAGACAUUUAGACUAUAUGACUAAAUAAAUGAUGAAUGUGUUAAUAACCAAAAAUGAUUACAAAUAGCAUUUCACUUAAUUUUCUACCGCUUUUUAAUUAACUAGUACUACUAUGUUUAUUGUUUAGGGGCUCGAUGAGAUGAGUUGUAGAAGAAAACGCGGCGAUUGCUGGAUUUUUUUUUGGGCUUUUUCGGGACGAAGGAGAAGAAGUACUAGAGGAGGGGUGGAGGGAGGGGUUUGCGCUAGUUUCAAUGAGCAGCCUUCUGCGUAGGGAUAUACGCGAGCCGAGUCGUAAUCAAGUAACUCGCGAGUAGCUCGGUCAACGGCUUGACUUGAACUCGGGUUGACUGAGUUCGAGCCGAGUCUCGAGCUACUCGAUUGUCAUUCGAGUCGAGUUUCGAGCCAAUAUUUUGAGGCUCGAGGCUUGUCGAGCUACUCGUCAAGUCGGGAUAUUUAAAUAAUAUAUUUAUUAUUUAAAUAUAUAUAUGUAUUAUAAUUAUAAAAUUACCAUUAUGGAUAUAAGUUUUACGGAAUUUACAUUCGAGUCGACUAGUCGAGUCAAAAAACUUGAUUAGACUCGACUUGAUAAGGCUUGACUAAAGAUCGAGUCUCGAGCUUAAAAUGAGUUCCUCGAGUCAAGAUUCGAGUAUCAAUUUUUUGUACUCGGUCGAGCUCGAGCCUAGGUAUAUAUGAGUCGAGUCGAUAUCGAGUAUAGCAAUACUCGAGCUUGACUUGACUCGAUCCAUCCUUACUUCUGCGCAUCAAGAAGAAGAAAAAAGAGGGAUACACAUCAGAAAAAAAAAAAACAAAAAAAAAACUUCUGUCAUAUGGAUGGAGACUGCAGUUAGGUUUCUGCUGUAGCAGUUUGGAGGGUCCGAUUGCAUUUCUUAUCACUCUGAAUUCAGUACUGGAUUGUAGCAUGGCAACUUUAAAAGGUUCAAGUUCAUUAGCGGAAGAAAAAAGGUUGUACAGUUUAAAUUACAAGACAUACGUUAAUUUAAUAUAUAUGGAACUCAUAAAAAAUAAGAAAAAUCAUUCAAAACAUUAUUUACAUUUUGCUAAAUUAAUUUUUUAUCGUUUGCUUUUAAAAUAUUAAUUUUACACCUCUUACAAAUUCAAAUCAGCAAACUUUAGUCUCAACUUAAAUUUUCAAACAUUUUUUAAAUUUAAAAUUACCACAUGACUUACAUGUGAUCAUUUUUAGGUAUAAAAAAAUCAGAUCUCACUUAUUUAUAGGCAAAAAAUGAAUUUAGAUCAUAUCUAAAUUCGAUCUAAAUUUGAACUAAAUUCAUUUAGGAAAAAAAUGAAUAUAGUUCGGACUAGAUUCUGCAUUUUCUUCGAGGUAAAAAGAAUAUAGAUCAAACCAUCCAUUUAACUAGAAAUGAUAUCUAAUCCUUUUGUUCCUAGAAAUGACAACGUGUGAGUUAAGUGGUAGAUUUAGAAUAAAAAAGUGAUUGAAAAUUUAUGGUGGGACCAAAUUUUGUUGAUUUAAAUAUAUGAGGAACAUAAAAUUAAUUUUUUAAAAGUGAAUAACAAAAAAUUCAUUUGAUUAAAUACGAGGGACGUUUUGAAUGAUUUUUUUAAAAAAAUGUAUAUAUAUUAAUUUAAAUUAUAUUCAAAUUAAUUUGUAUUUUGACUAGAUAAAUUUAUAUUUUCUUAAAAUACAUGAAAUCGUGGCCCAAACGCGAUUACACACACUGAUAAAUAUUUGUGCCCUAUGUUCUUUGGCUUUGGACUUUUGCCUUGGCACCCUACCAAAUUUGUCCUAGCCUUCUAGGCUUCACUCAUGGCUAAGGCCAUGCAAAAUAUGCAAUCCCCGCUCAAUAUAUUUAUGCCAAUAAUUCUAUUUUGUUUGGCUAUGAAAUUACUUGAAAAUUUUUAUUUGGAAUAAUACUAUAAUAGUUUUUUGUAAUAUAAUGUAUAUGAGAUAGAUAGAUAGUUGAAAAUUGUCUUCCAAAUACUAUAAUGUAUUUAUGCCAAUAAUUCUAUUUUGUUUGGCUAUGAAAUUACUUGAAAAUUUUUAUUUGGAAUAAUACUAUAAUAGUUUUUUGUAAUAUAAUGUAUAUGCAGGAUAAUAUUUGCAAAAUUCUCUUCCAAAUUAUAUUAUCCAAAUGAAAAAUGUACUAAGGUGUUUGGCAUACACAUGUAACAUAUGUAAAAGUGAAAUGGAAGAUUUAAAAGUUUUGGAUUAAAAUUUCUCUUCUCUUUUCCGCUUUUAAAAUCUCACAUCUCCUUUGCUAGAGGGAAAAAAAGAAGAAGAGGUUUUUUGGAUUUAAGAUUAAACUCGGGCCUGAGGCCAGCUGAGAGUUUGGAGAUAUCAUUACUUUGAAACUUGUCCUGUAGUUUGGUGUACUGAUGAAUGAGCACGGCAGGAACCAAGUCCUAAUAUUCAUGAUUGUUUUGUCAUUUGUGAUGGUGACUCGAACAAGCAUGAGACUAUGAUCCCAUUUCUCAUCUCAUUGAGAUGUGAGCUUUAUUUAUCGCAUCGCUUGAUUACAACACCGACAUUAUGAUUCUAUUCAUAUAAAUCUGCGGGGAACAAAAGAUAAGAGGGAAAAAUGCAGCAAGAGACAAGUACAAAAUUGUUCGUUCGAUGCACCAUAUCCAGUAGACAUCAAACAGCUGAGUAUAAUUUGACCGAAGAAAAGAAAAAUAGAGAGUAUCAGCUGACAUGUUAACCUUUGGGAAGAAGGUGCAGGCUGUGUUCCGAAUUGUUUGACUCUUUAGCCACUACGAAGGAUCAAACGUCUCAAACCACUCGACCAAAAUGCUGAGGUUCAUACAGAAGACGUCCACAUGCAUACAAUGAAAUGUGAUGCAUGGCACCUCAGGCGAUACCUGACAGCAGAAGAAUCAAGAAUGUUUAUCCCCUAGCAAUUCGAUAAAUAAACCUAGAUCCGGCCAACACUCAAGCAUGUUUAUCAUUUGCAAGCCUCAGACCUUAAAACCGUGAUCAGAAUACUGCUGUAGGUCAAGUGCUAGACUGCUAGUUUGAUAUCUUAAACGGCGUGAAGGCUUUGGCGUCUAUCAAGUGGCAGCCACCUUUAUUGUUGUACUAAUUUGACUUGAACUGGAACACCUGUUAAUUGUUAUAGGACAAGACGAGCGUCGACCUAAACUAAACACAAGACUUUGUGCAUUUUCGGAGAUAUUUUUGCCUAUAUAAAGGUUGGAACCGGGCCCUGGUAACGUAAAGAACCUAUAUGCCCGUACAAUCUGGUAGAAUGAAUGUGUACCAAGUUUCUGAUUGUUUUUUUUUUUUAAUCAAACAGCAGCAUCUAAAAUAACCUACUCCUGCUCGUAUUCUAGUUUAGACUAGGGGGGAGGUUGGAGGUCCAACUGACCUAGAGAAACCAAUGAGAAUUGAAUCCAGAAUGAUUUAUGAGAUAACACAUAUAAUGAUACAGUGACGUGGGAGAUAAGAUUUGAACCUUGACCUCGCUCUCCACCAAGACUUAAAUUCUUUGACCAUGACUAAGCAGGUCAAAAGGUCAUUGGUUUUUCUGAUUGUUAUGUUUGAAUGCCAAAUAAAUUUCACACACUCUCCAUUAUUUUAGCUUCAGAAGACCGAAAAAAAAAUGACUGAAUUCGUUGGCAGUUUUACGAAAGGUAUCUAGUAGUAUCAUGCUCUAAUUUUGAGAAUUAUAGACAUUAAUAAAACUACUCCCUCAAUUGUUAUUUGAAUUGCUUGAGAAUUUAAAAAAUCAUGAAAUUGCUUAAAAUUAAGGGGUGCAGAUACUUAAAAAAAUAAGGAUAAGCAAAACACAGAUAAGAAUAUAAUUGUAAAAAUUAAUGGCUAAGGGUGGUCUCUUAAGGUCACAAUAUUUGAAACAUUGCUAUUUUUCUUUAUGAAAUUCAAGGUACAUGAGACAUUUGGUGUAUUUUUGUUCAAAAAAAUAGAAAUGUUACAAACUCAAUGUGAUAAAUGCUGUAACUUUGAAAGUUGUACAUUACUCUUAACCACUAAAAUUUCUCAAAUUGAUCGUUAUUCUAUCUUGUUAUCUCUAUAUUUCAGCUAUUUCAUCCCCAGAUUAAAGACAUUUUUAGGAUCUUUAAAUCUCGAGUGCUUCAAAAUAACCAUUGAAAUGUCUAUAAUACUACCAAAGUCCUAUUGUCGUCUUAUACUUUUUCUGUAUUGAUUGCCAUUUUUUGUCAAAAACUAUUUUUGUUUAUUGAGUCUAUGAUGACAACUUAAAAAACACACACAAUCUCAAUUAUGACUUACUAAAAAACAAAAAAUCGUUCCACAUUUUCUUAUUCCACCCACUACACACCAUAGCCAUUAUUUUUUCCCUCCUUCCUUCUCCAUCUUCCUUCUCCUUUUUCUUUUCUUUCUUCCUCUUCCUUUCCCUUCCCUGCAACAACCCUCCCACUCCUUCUACCUGAUCCACUCAGGCCAUUGCGACCAAAUUGGUAUGGUAAUGGGUUGUGUAGAGGAGAAACCAUCUAUGGACACAUGUCAUGGCCAAAGUACCUUACUCAGGCAUUUCUCAAACGGAAGCAGAAGGACAAGCACCUUAGUUUAGGAUUCUUGGGAUAAGGCUAGAGUUUAGAUCCAAUGCAAUGUUUUGAAAAUCGGACCGAACCAGUCGGUUGAAUCGUGAACUGGCCAUGCCUUCAGUCCGAUUCAAUUAAAAACUCAAAGAAUUAAUUAAUCCGGUCAAGAACCGAUAAAAAUCGAGAGGUUCAACUGUGUUUUUAAACAUUUAUUUUUUAAAAUAAAUAUUUUAUUUUAUUUUAUUCAUAAUUUUUAAUACUAAAAUAAAUAAAAUUUUAUUAAAUCCUUUAACCGAAAUCGACCAGUUGAACCAGGUCGAACCGGUUGAACCAUGAACCGGAAGGUUUUCUUUGGCUGAUUCUUUAGGUCGCAACUAGAUUAGGGGGGGGGGGAGAGUGUUUUGGGAGAAAGAAAGAGAGAAGGAGAGGAGGAAGGAAAAGAAGGGAAAAUAGGAAGGAGAACGAGAAGGGAAGGGGGAAAGAGACAGUAGAGGUGGGGUAGUGUUCAAUAUUAAAAAGUAUUUCAAAAAAAAUUUAAUCUAAAAAAUAUCUCAAAAUAUAUCCUUAAAAACACCUAGCCAUCUAUAGUAAACGCUUUUCACAUAUAUUGCUUUAGUAAAUUUUUUUAAAAAAUAUUUUCAAAAACACCUAAUUGAUACGGUCUAACUGAAAUUGAGGCAAGAGCUAGCAUGUGAAACUGUCAGAAAGUUUGAACUGCGAAACCAGUCGUCAAAGAGACUUAAACUCUGCAACCGAUAGCCCAAGUUUGUUUCAAUAUGUCAACAGCAAGCAAGCAUUAGGCGCAUUAGAAAAUUGAGAUGAGCCCGUCUCAUUUUAUCCCAGCAAUUGGAUGAACUUCAGGGCGAACAUCCUUUCUCAGUUGUCCAGGAUGUCUCUAGAUUCUGUUCAUGCCCAACCUGAAAGUGAAUGCCGCAGGCCUGCGUUUAAGCAAUGGACGUAGGCAUCCAACCCGGAAAAGUUGUAGUAACUGGGACCAAGGACAGUCCCGAAAUUAAUUUCUCAUGGGGAGAGUGGAAACUAGUAACUAUGUGAUAUAAUGGUCAUUUAUCUAUUAUAGUGCUCCUCAGUUGAUAUUUUCUAAAAACUUUUCAAUAGGUAAGUCAAGCGUCAUUUAUCUAUUAUAUGUUAGAUAGAACCAAAAUUGAUUUCAAAUUCAACAAACAAAUAAUAACGAAUGUUAAAUACAUUAUUUUAAAAUUUAAUUUAUUUUUAACUAUUUUGUAGUUCCAUGGCUACCAAAGAGAUGCUAGCAAGUCCUUUUUUUUCAAGAAGAAGAAGAAGAUGCUAGCAAGUCCUAACUCUCAAAAGCAUUUAGACCAUUACACACCUAUAUGAUUAGAUUUUUUUUGACAAAAUAAAAAAAAUAAAAGAUUAGUAAUUUGGCAUUUUUUAAGACAUGCAAAUCCAUCAUUCAGCAUGUUAGGGGCAAAAAGUCUAUUUGGCCCUCAAACUUCAACGAUUUUAUAAUUUUAAUCUUGCAAUUAUUAUUUAUAUAUUUUUAGUUCCGAACCUAUUAAAAGUGUAUACUUUUUAGACGUUUCGCGAAUUUGAAUUCUGAUCAAGUUUAUUGACCGCUGUAACCAUGCAUGCCGACCGAUCAACUACCAUUAAUUGAAGGAUCAUCGUCACUUGAUCAUUAUCAAAAUUUAAUCAAAUUACACCCUUUGAGGUAAUUUCUUGAACCUCAAUCAACACCUUUGGGGUAAAAGUAAAACCAGUUCGUCCUAUUUCUUUAACCAAUGUAUUCUUGGUGGUUACGUAUAUACAUUAUAUUUCUAUUUUUUUAAUGAAAAAAAGGAAAAGAAAAACUCCUGGUCAAUGUUUAGUCUGCUGAUUAUUAAAAAAAAAAGAAGAAGAAAUGAAACCGCAAUUAAAUUCACCCGAGCAGGAAGCGGAGCUGGAAAUGAAAACUUGCUGCCGCUAUCCGCUAUAAAUAAUUCACAUUUCGCAUUUCAAACGAGUGGGAAUUUUUCAUAUCUAAAUCUGAAUAGAAAUUUUACCUAAAAUAAAUAAAGGAUAAAAAAGACAUAAACCCAAAAAAUUGAGAAAUCAGAAGAAAUGGCGAUGAAAAGCUCUGAUCUAAGAAGUAGAAUCGAGACGGAGAGUGAAUUGAUUCGGAUGUGCAUCGAGGCGGCGACGGAGAGCGGAGACGCCGUGGAGGCGUGGCGGAGACAGCGUCGAACUUUGGAGCGGAUGCCUUCUCUCCUCGCCGGAGCUCUUCUCCACCGCCUCCUACAUCGCCGUCUUCUUUUUCCUUCUUUGCUCGAGUAAGUCACUUAAUCCUAACUAUUGCUCCUCCUCUCUGCAGAUUAAUUAUUCAGAUGAUUUUGACGCUGAGAUUUGCUUGCUAAGGUUGUAGUAGUGAUAGUAUACUUGUUUUUUUUUUGUCUUUUUUUAAUUAGAGACGUCUAAUCGGAGGUACAGAAAUUUUGUGGAAGUUCUCUGCGGUUUCAUAAAUAUGUAUUAUGCAGAUCUUGUUUCGAUGUUUAGGCGCUUACUUUUGCAGCUUUAUUGUGCUGUGACUGUCAAUUUUUCAAAAACUAAGCUGAACUAUGAUGGAAUGUGACUUAAUUAUUCCGUUGGUAGGAUAAAACUAGUGAUAGUUUGAUUUUCUGAGUUCGUUGUGAUCCUAAAUCCUUCACCGCUUGGCACGCUAUGAUUCUUACGAUAUAUGAAAAAAGAAGGAUUCCUUUUCCCCUCAAUCUCUAAGACUGGGAUCAUACCUGUAGCUUUAUAUGAAACUUGAUUGCAAGGAGAGAGAAGUUUUGAGUGUUGGUGAAUUAUGUGGAAGCCUAAGAGUAUUCUUUUGUGCUUAAAUUUAUUAUUGUGUUGUCGAUAUGCGCAAACAUUAUCUACAUAAAAAAUUAGAAUGAAAAGGACAUAGAAGAAAAAUAUGAAUGAAGUAUGUUAUAAACAUUUUCUAACUGGAAAAACUUUUAUCAUCUUAAGAGUUGCUUGUACUGAUAUGUGCUGCUCUGUUGGUUUUCUUCUGCAUUAGGUUUUUUCUUCUUUUGCACAUGAAAAUUCAGGAAUUGUAUCUCAAACAAAUUUAGCAUCCAAUAACAAGCUGCUUUAAAUGGGAGUAUAUAUUGUUGCUAUUUGUGGUGAUUAACUAACUGGUAGCAUUGCAGAACUAAAGUUUAGUGUUAUUGUUACUUCUAAAUAUUACACUAAACUUGCAUUGACUUCUUUAGAGUCUUCAAACAUAACGUGGAGGAAAUUGACCUGAGGGGGGAGAAUUGUGUGGAUGCAGAAUGGAUGGCAUACUUGGGUGCCUUCAACUACUUGCAUUCAUUGAAUCUGUCAGAUUGUUAUAAAGUUAAUAGUGCUGCUCUGUGGUCUAUUACAGGUAUGCUGUCUUGAUAAUUUACCCAAUUUGAUGGACAAUUUUUUUUUACUGCCUCUCUCUCUCUCUAAUAUAGUAUUCGGCAUUUUAACAUUUUUCAUUUCCUUCAGGCAUGCCAAAUCUAAAGGAGCUUGACCUUUCAAGAUGUUCUAAGAUUACUGAUGCUGGCAUUAGGCAUCUUUCGUCCAUUCCAAGUUUGGAGAGGUUGUGCAUCUCAGAAACAGGCGUAACCGCUGAAGGAAUUAUGUUUCUCUUCUCAUUAACUAAUCUACGUGUUUUGGAUUUGGGAGGCUUGCCGGUCACUGACAUGGCUUUAAGUUCUCUACAGGUUGGAAUUUUGGUAGUUUAGAUGCUCUUGUGAACUUUCUGCUGCAUUAUACUUGAUUCAAGUCUCCUCCUGUCCUUUCCAUGCACAUACUGUUUUUGCCUUGUUGCAUUAGCAGUGAAAGACAACACUUGAAUGUGUCAAUUGGUAAUUGUUAACUUUUUCUCAAAGAAUUAAAUGUUUUUCAAAGAUUAUGCCACUCAAUAGGUUUUGAUAUAUAUAUUCUUGUAAGCAUGAUUAUCUUCUUUUUACGGUACUUUUAGUUCUACUGAGCAAGAUCUUUCCAUGCCUUGAGUUGGCAGUGUGCCAAAUAGACUAAAUAGUCCAUUGAGUAUCACUGAUACGAGAAUGUAUUUUUAGUCUCCUAAUAACUAAUAAUUCUUUAUGAUUUUAAUAGGAACUCAAGAAACUAAACUUUUUGGAUCUCUGGGGAAGCGAAAUAUCAAAUAGAGGUGCUGCUCUUCUCCAAGUGUUUCCCAAGUUAAGUUCUCUAAAUCUAGCUUGGACCAAAGUCACGAAGUUGCCAAUUCUGCCCUCUCUUGCACACCUAAACAUAAGCAAUUGCACUAUUACUUAUUUAUUCAAAGGAGAAGGUGAUAAAGCUCGUCUAGCAAAGCUCAUUGCAUCUGGUGCCACAUUUGCUGAUGUCUGUGGAGCACUUUCAAAUGUGGAAACCAGUCUCGUUUCUCAUUUGGAUCUAUCAAACGCUCAUAUCGACUCAUUCUACUUUUUGCCUCAUUUGAGUUCAAUAACAUAUUUGGACCUUAGUGGUAGUUCGAUGGCAGAUGAUUCAGUUGCAAAUAUUGCAUGCAUAGGUGCAAAAUUAAGAUAUUUGAACCUCAACAAUACAAAAGUGAGCUCUGCUGGAGUGGGAAUCUUGGCUGGGCAUGUUUCAAAUCUUGAAACUCUGCUCCUGUCUUUCACAUUUGUUGAUGACUCUGCUCUCCCUUACAUUGGCAUGAUGCCUUCACUAAAAGCUAUCAACCUCAGCAGUACAAGAAUUAAAGGUAUUACAUCCUAUUCUCCCUUUUCCAAGAAUUAAACGUAUUACAUCCUAUUCUCCCUUUUCCCUCGGAUUUUGAGCUUAGGUUUUUGACAGCAAUGUCAAAGAUCUAUUGUAGCAUUUGUCAACUUUUUACUCUUGAGGACAGUAUCCCAGAUAGUUCUCCAAGCACUCCUAUACAAUUUUAAUGAGAGUGAACUUCUGCAUUUUUGUAUCUACAUGUUACAACUUAUUCUAAUUUUUCAUGUCCAAUUUAGCAGACCAUUUCAGUUACCCGAGUCCCCUUGAAAAUCCUUAGGUUGUUUUAGUCCCAAUUUUCUAGUACUUUUAUCAAUUAUGAGUUUCAAAUGUUAGUGUUAAUUGCUUCCUCUUUGAUUCUCUACGUUAAUUUUGUAUUUCAUAUACACACUAAUGUCAGAUAUUUCCUCUGCAAUUUUAGGCUUGAUCAACCAUGAAGGUUCUGAUUCUGCUGCGGUCCUAUCAUUUUUAGCACUUAAGGAUCUUACCAACUUGGAAAGGUUAGAGUUGGGGGGUCCACAAAUCAAGGAUGCGGCACUCUUCCUCUGUCAAGCUUCCAUAGCUUGAAGCAUUUAUCGCUGCAAAGUGGCAUCCUAACAGAUGAAUCAUUACUCCAUUUCUCUGCAAUGCAGAAUUUGGAACAUCUUAGUGUUCGUGAUGCUGUGCUAACUAGUGCUGGGCUUGAUUCUUUUAGUCCUCCCCGGCGCUAAGAGUGCUGGAUCUCAGGGGUUGCUGGCUUUUAACUGAGGAUGCAAUCUUUCUAUUUGCUCGAAAGCACUCAAAACUUGAGGUGAGGCAUGAACAUGUUAGCAUGUCUUUAUCUGACACAGGUGGAAGUAGCUACCUAUAUCCAUCAGAGGCAACUUCAAAAACCUCUCAAUCGAAACAGCGGCAGAAAAUAUCCUUGUUACCGUCCAGAUUUGACAAUAGUGCUUUGAAGAGUUAUCCAUCCAAACAGCGGCAGAAAAUGACACAUGAUAGGAGUCGUCUUUUAGGUGAGUCAUUCUUUAAAAGAUCUCCUUAGAAAGCUUUUGUUGCCUUUCUCGUGUAUUCAUAUCUUUUUAGUUUGUUCAGAAACAGAUCAAAGGUUGAAGUACACGAGAGAGGAGUUACUGGCGUUGCAGUUUUCAUCAACUCUGUUUUAGGGAAGAUAAUCUGAUGACUGGUAUUUUAUGUAAUUACAGUUACAUUCAUGGAUUAAAAGAGUAAUUAAAUAAGUGGGUGUGACUUCUGUCUUGUUACUUUAUGAUUCUUUUUUCAGUUAAAAAUUUGUGUUCCCCAGUAUUUAAUUCCCAGUAUCAGUAACAUGAGAAAGGAUAAAAAAUUCAUGAUGGCAGCGUACAUUCUCGAUGGAAUCCUGUGACAAUUUUGCUCCGAAGAAGGCAAAUAUUUUUGUAUUUUUGCAUUCCUCUCCACCUCGUUUCUUAACGGUUUUGCUCCUGAAAAAGGCAACCUUUUUUACAACAUGCUCGUCUUGAAUAUUUUGACAAUAAUUUCCUCGUGUAUCAUGAAGAGAGUUAAAACUACUCUUGAUGUCUUCAGAACAAAAAGCUUAUUUCAAAUGUCGAUGGGCCUUUUGAUCCUCCAAGUCGAACCUAGUUACAAUCCUUAUUAAACAGCUUGAGCUUGCUCUUUCGUAAAGUUUGUUACAGAACUUAAACUUGCACCUUGCAAUCGGUGUAAUUGCGAUGACAUGAAAUAACAUUUGAGACCUAAAUCAGGCCAUAGCUGCUGGAAUCAGGAGGAUGGGGAACACGAGCGUAAAACUUUAUAAAUCAGCUUCGCAUCUAAUCUACUGUUCCCGUUCUGUGAAUAAGAAACUUCACAAUUCUCCAGGAAAAUAAAUAAAACAUUAGGAUUUAAAAUAAAUAUAGUUCACGUACAUUAUUAAUUCCUCAGUUCGGUACACUGUAAAUAUGUACAUCCCAAAGCCAAAACAGGUUAGACAGAGGGAGAAGAGUUGGAAGUUAUACCAAUAAACGGCAAACUGGAACGCGUAUUUCGUCGAAAGAGUGAAAGUAUAUGCUCUUGCUAUAAGCUCACUUGGCACUCUUGUACAUAUUGUCAAUUACAUUCUGCAGCAAUAAAACGAAUUUUAACAAAACGUCAAAGCUUUUAUCUUGAAAAUAAAAGAUAAUCAGUGACGUACAGAGUCAUGCAUGUGAACAUGAAACCAACACUAUCCUAAAGGUGGGAGAAUUAUGUAAACGUGGAAUGUUCAUGGUAUUCUGUCAACCCUCUUAAUAAGAUUAGUAGACUACAAAUUGGACGUCUCUGUUUUAUUUUACUACCUCACAAUCUCUGCAACUUAUAUUUGAAAGCAAGAUAAUGAUCUAUAGCGAUUGCAUGUCUAAAAUUACGGAUGUAACAUGCACGCAUGUGCGGAAGCACAUUUGGAACCAUGCCAGAAUAAUUAUAUUCAAGGAACUAUCAAUCCUUCGCAAUGUAAUUCUCUGUCAUUCAGCAGACAUCAAUUUCACGGUUUCAGAUGUACACGACAUGCAGACGUAGAAGAGCAGAGACAUAACCGGAGUUGGAAACUUUAUAACCAAAGAUGGAAAGGAACCUACCUGGUAGUAUUUGAGCAAUUGGGGUCUUUUCUUCUUAAAUGUUGGUGUGAGGAGGUCACGUUCCAUAUCAAAUGGUUCAGGAUCGAGGUGCACAGCUUUAAUAAAUUCAAAGCCUUUUAGCUGCCAAGCGUAUGACAGAUGUUUAGAGAAAGUUACAUGUAAUACCAACGCACUCUUUAACACUCAUGAGAAACAUCCAGACAAAUUAUACAGAAGUUAUUUAAAGAGAUUAUAUAACCAAUACUCAGAAUCAGUAGAGGAUGAACCUUCUUUUCUUUUCCAAUCUUGUUGAGCUCUCCAAGAAUGUAUUCCUUCACUUUAGGGUUUUCACACAAAGAAUUGAAAUCUCCAGUUAAUUCGUUUUCUUGAGCCCACUCUUCAACUGCUUGCUUCUUUGGGUUAACAACAGCAACAAGAUAAGAUUCAAAGCUGUUUCCAUAGACCCAGAUCUGGAUUUUGGAUAGGAGAAAAAAAGAAUUAGAAAAAAUUUAAUGUUCCAAUCAAAUCAAGUACUUCUCCUAUUGGAAUAAGAAAAAUUAGGUAAGAUAGAUGGAUGUAGCAAAAGAGUUUGACAUACAGCUUGUACAAGGAGUUAUACCAUUGCAGAAAGUUAGCAUGUAGGUAGCACAAUAAGUUGUGAAAGAGCAUUGACUGACAUGAUUGCAUAGAAGUGAGAGACAGCUAAAGAUCACGGCAACUGAAGUGUACAGGAAGAAUAGAUGCAUAACUGUACCAUUAUAUGGUCAAACACCUACGAGUCUCAGUUAAAUAUGUGAUCGAAACUAUCAUGCUAUUCAAAAGUGUCUCUCUUGUAAACAUCCAUGAUCAGAACAUGCUACAGUUGCAUUAGUGUUUUUAACUAUUAAACGUCAAGAAUACUGCCAACAUACCGAGUCAAUAGCGCUAACAAGACCAUAAACAUUCUCCAAAUUCUCCACAGCUACAUACUCGCCCUGCGAGAGCUUGAAAAUAUUCUUUUUACGGUCAAUAAUCUUCAGGCUCCCAUUUGGCUGCCACUCACCAACAUCCCCUGAUAAAAUUAGGGCAGGAUCAUUGGAUCAGCAUAUACGUAUAGUCCUACAUGUAAUACAGUUAGUGAAAGCAUCACUUUAGACCAACCUGUAUGGAACCAUCCAUCUUCAAAGACUUCUUUUGUAAGAUCUUCACGUUUGUAGUAACCUGAAAACAAGGUAUCCCCCUUACACAUACUUCUCCACGUGGAGUCCUUGAGAGGGCAUCAUAUCCCAUUUCAGGAACAGAUUCCAGGCAGACAUCCACGUUUGGAACAGGAGGACCCACUGUACCCAGCAUACGCAUCUCAUGUGGUAUAGAGACAAAGGUACCAGCACAUGUUUCAGUCAAACCUACACCCCAAACAAAGAAAAGUUUGUUUAUACUUUUUUUCUUUCAAAAUUGGAAAUGCCUAGUCCUCAACCUAAGCACAAAACAGAACCCAUACAGUGGACUUGUUUGAGGAACAUAAUAUAACGAGAUUGAAUGAGUAAUCCAGAUCAUUUCCAAACAAACAAUUAACUCUGGAAUACACAUUGCAGACUCAGGAUUUCUCAAAUUGCCAUCGUCUGAUGAUGGUUGAUAUGCUCCAGAAAAGACCAUAGCAGAUAAUAAGAGGCAUCACAAGCAGCAUAAAAUUUUAUUUAUGAGAGAUUAUAGUAACUCCUUGUGAUAUAUAGCUGCAGAUGAAAGUUCUGCAACUGAUAGGCAACAGCUUUAAUUAGUGAUGAUGAGAAUAUUAAAUGCAUAGUACAUUUUUCAAUUUUAAAAUUCUAGUGCAACAUAUACAUUCGAGGGCAAAGGAGAAAACUUGAGUAGCAAAUAGGAAAGAGAAACAAAAGAGGCCUAACACAGUAUAUAAGCAAGAAGAUUUAACACCAGUGGACAAGAACUUUGCGUAAAUAAAGCAAAGACCAAUGGCAUUUGAGGGUGAAAGAAGAGAAUACCAUAUCCUUGAAGUACAUGAGCACAAGAUACCACUCUUAGAUAUUCUUCAACAUGUGAAGCAAGGGGAGCUGCUCCAGAUAAAAUAAGCCGUACUUUCCCACCUAAACCUUGUUUAACCUGAACGGUGAAGCAGAUCCAAAGUCAAAUUUCCAUUGCCAUGAUAAAAAACUAAAAAGAAUGGAAUAUCAGCAUCAAGUACAAGUCUCAACCUUGCUGAAAACGAUUUUGUCACAGAUAGGAGCUGCCUCAUCAUGCUUAAGCCCCUUCCUCAAAUUACGCAACUUGCUGCGGAAAAUUUUCAAGCGAAGGUAGUUAAGCGAGAUGUAAGUGUGCUUGUUUGUGCAAAGAAAUCUGCCUUGUAAGUAUAUCAUUCAAGCCAACAAUAAAGUAGAGGUAUUAAGGGAUUUCUAUGGGAAGCAAACUUCAAAUCACAGCUCACAAAAAUUUUGCUUCAACUGGCAAAUUCAGAAGACGUAUUAAGGGAUUUCCAGUUUUGAAGCAAAACUAGACAAGGGUGUCCAAAAGCACAAAUAUAUGUUGAGAAAAACUAAGUCUCCAAUUCACCAGAAAUGAUCAUUUUUAAUGUUUCAUGACAUAAAACAAGAGGUGGGACAAAACUUACUAGGCAUAUGCAAAAUUAAACAUCGUUUGUUUUAUGAAACCUCCUGCCGAUAUCUUCUGUUGCAAGCCUGCAAAAAAUUCAACAAAUUUAUCGCUUGAAAGUUGAAUCAACCAAAAUGUUUGUGAUUGCUAAAAACAGUGGACGUGCAGAGGGGAACACCAACUCCAUAGAACACACUGAACUUGGCAUUGAGGUUAAUUAUGCCCCCUGGGGCAAAUUUCAAGACAUAAAUUCCUGUUAUGAACUCAUUCAACAAGAUUGUUGGACAAUAAAUUUAAUCUGUCUGUAAGUUCAGUAAAACAGCAAACUAGCUCUGAAAUAUUAUCCAAACUAGGCAAACAAACUCAAAAUAGAAAUCCGAACGUGGCAUAAAUUAAACUUUCAACAGUUGCGGUGUCUUGUUCUGGUCAUUUUUGGUUUGUGGAUAAAAAAUUUACCUGAGUGAAUUCUAUCUAGAACCCGAGGAACUGCACAAAAGAUGGUUGGCUUUAGCUCCCCAAUGUCUUCAACUAACAAUUUGACAUCCUGUAGCAACAAAAUCACCAUUGUACAUAAGAGCUUGCCCAAAUUUCUUCUCAAAAACAAAGAACAGUAAUCAUCUUACCCCACGCCAAAAUCCUAUUGAGGCUCCAUGAUUAAUAAAACAUUCUUCAAUCACACGGUCAAAGAUAUGUGCCAAAGGAAGAUAAGACAGAUAGACAUCAUUUACAGUCAACUGUAAAACAAAGAGAAAGUCAGAAACUGAAUAUGAUUCCAGAUCAAAUUAUGAUUACAACCUGUGGAAAUGGAGUUUUGUCUUCAAGCUUUGAAGGAGUAAAGAGAAAAUAUAACAGAUAUUCACCGAUUCGUUCACGCUAACUAGCAAACGCUUCACUCCAGCAAUGAGAGUGACAAUACUAUUAUUUGAAAUCAUGACACCCUUAGGAUCUCCAGUUGUUCCACUAGUAUACAUUAUUGUACAGAUGUCGCUUUUUGCGUUUCAGUGGAAGGUCAUAGUUCUUAUUUUCACCCUGCAACAAUAAGGUCAAAACUAAGAUCACGACUUGGAAAUAUCAAUAUAUUGCGAAAGACUUCUAUAAAUAAACCAAGUAUAGAAAACGAAAGUACAUAGGCAGUCAAUGUUCUCAAACACACCAUAAGAAAAGCAUGCACCACUACAUUAGCGUUAAAACGCCGCCAGAUCACAUUCUGUAUCAAAGUUAUAAUCUUAAACAAACAAAAAUCAGGAAAGCAUGCACCAACAAUACAGAGUUAAGACACCACCAAUUACAUUUCUGCAUGAUACUGAUAGUCCAGUAACCACAAACUGACAUGACUGACUAAAUCAGCAGCGCCUCUUCAGAUAUUAGUAAAGCAACCAGAUAAAGCUCAGCAUUGAGUCACUUUGAAGGACUUGAGCUAAAGAGAACACAAAAAAUUGGAGCCAUUGCCUCGCAUAUGAACAAAAGCCAAUAAAACUUUUUGAUGCAAGGUUCAGAACAAAAAUUUAAUUGUGGCAAGAAUGGGUUAAUGGUCAAUAUUGCUUCUUGAUUGUGGCAAGAUUAGAAAUUCAAGAGAUUAUCUGUUCAAUAAUACCAGAAAUUUGCAUUAAACUUGUAGGUCAACCUUGUCAAACAUAACCAUAUGAGCCACACAAAUAUGAAUGCACAUAACAGCAAACCCAAUACCAUGGUAGAUAGAACAAAUAUCACGAGGAAAGAGACAAGCAAAUAAGUUAUCGGUUAUCCACUGAAAGAAACUCACUCUAGCUUCGAUACAACUAAUUCAUGUUUAUUGUGAUCAGGGGUAUUCGCUUUCACACAGCAAAUGCACAAGUCACAAAGCUUCAUCCUUAAUUUAGAUUGCAUUAAAACAUUACACACCAAGUAUACCUUUUCAUAAGCAAACAAGGAGCUUGCCAGACAUCAAAUCUAUCCCAACAAAAGACAUCCUUGGGCAAGUCCCCAUGUAUAGAGGGCAGGCAAGGAUACGAAAAUAGAAAGAUAGCAAGUGCAAGCAGCCUGAAGGCAGGGCUGGUGCAACCAAGCAUCAAACAGACCAAACAGUCAGAUUAGGCUCAUCCAAACUCCAAAACAACAAACCAGACCACAAAAUUAUGAUCAUCUCACCACUGCAUACAAUGGCAUCCAACUAAAAGUUAUAAGUAUAAACAGGAAUCCACCAGCUUACCAAUAACAAAAAUUCAUCCCAAGCAUACACAACCACACCAAAUUUCUCGAUUUCGUCCUUCUGUUGAGAGGUAACUUUCCCAAAACUCACAAUUGCUGAAGAACAAUAACAAAGAAAAGGAAAUCAAGGAUCAAAAGAGUUACUUUCACAAUUUGGUAGGGACAGGUAGAGAAAUUACUAUACAAAUAACUUACUUUUUAAGUAUUUUGUUGCAUUUGGAAAGGUUUUGAGUAACUGCAAAAGGCAAAAAGACGUAGAUUAGACAGUAGAUAUUGGACUUUUAUCAUAUUGGCAGCAAUUUUACAUAAAUCAAUAAAAACUAUGGCAGCAGCAGGAAAGCAUUCAAAUGAAGAGUUCAAGCAUCGAAGAGAUGUUCAUGACAAUAAGGACAAAAUCAAAUGCAACUAAAUGUUGUUUUAUGAUGGUACAAUAAACAUAUGCUAUUAUCACAGUAAGCAUGAAGAAAAAUGCAACUCAAUAAAUGAAUGACUGAACAAUGUUGGUCAUUUCCAUAAACUUUUCCAUUUCUUCAAAUUCUGAAGUUGUUUAUUAACUUUGGAUAUAUUAUACGGCAUCAUGUUUUCACAUUGAGAAGCUGCAACAAGAUGCAACCGUCCAUUUCUUACAUCUUGACAUCUGAAAAUUCUGGCCCAGCCAAUUCUUCACUUGAAAGUCCUCAAGUGAAGAAAGUCAGUAUCAACUAUUCUAUCCAUACUCUUUAACCUAUAUUUCCUCCAACCACAGCUUAUCUUAAAACUCUUCCAUCUAAAUGAAACAUGAAUUGUUUUUACCGCAAGUUGAGGUUUCUCAAUGCACUACAGAAAUCAUGAACUUAUAAUCACUAUGAAAUAUGUUUUAAUUUCUUAAAAAAAAAUUUGUCCAUUAGGUACUUUAAUCUAGAGAGAAGCACUGACCUGGAGAUUAAGAACAACGUAAAUAUGCUACAUUACCAAGUCAACUAUCUUCAAAUAUGUCAAUAAAGUAGUUUUUUCUUUUUUUUUUAACUGAAUGAUCAACUUUUAACAAAAGCCUCAAACUCUUUCAUAAGUAACUACAACCAUAAGAUGGGAAGUGGCAGAAUUCUUUAAUUGAUUCCUAUCUCCUAUUGUUAAAUAAAGUUAAUUUCCCAUCUUCAAUAUUCAACAAAGAAAAUUUGAAAUUUGCAUGAAAUCAAUCAUCUUCUGAAUCUAGUUUAAGGAAUCCCACCCCAAAUUCUUUGCCAACACCCAAAAAGGAAGUGCAACAUUUACGAACCUCAGGAAUUUUUUUCUCUUCAACAAAGGCAAUGGUAACCUCAGCAUGACAUAUGAUAAACUCCACAGCCCCAGCACCUAACCAGAUGGAGGAGAAACCAAUCAAUUUAUUUAAUACUUUCAAACAUGAGAUAGCAUCAAUAAUCAUGCACUAAAGACCAAAAAAAAGGAAUAAACAAAAAAAAAUCAUGUACUAAAGACACAGCACACAUGUAUGCGUAAUUAAGAAGACUACGAACAAAAGAGUAAGGAUACAUACCUAAGGUGUCGUACAAAGGAACGCAAUGUAGACCAUGAGCAUUACAUGCCUGCAUCAAUUUACUGAUGUCAGAAUAAAUUCAAUAGAUACUUCCAAACCAGCAACUGCUUCUUAAUUCAGAAGUUGACAAAACAUACACGACGCCACAGAAUUGAGAAAGAUAAUAUAUGCAUCAAAUAAAAUAGAAACACCCCAUUCAGCAGAUGUCGACUAUCUUGAAGGUAUGCUAUAAAACUUUUGAAAUAGUUCAGUUAUCUUUUUUUUUUUUGGAUGAAACGAUAGAAAAAUAGUUCAGUUAUCAAUAUUGCUUAAAAUCAAUGAUGACAUAGCUAACAAUUGGCCUUGGUCCUCCAACAUCAUGGUUUGAUUCGGCUCCUGUUUUUGAAAAAUCUAACAUUUUCUGUUUUCUUUGCUUUCGAACAUAAAAGACACAACGAAACAAUUUAUGACCAUAAACUUAUGAAGAAAAAUCAGAAAGUCUGAAAAUUCAGCACGAAAAUAUUCUAGGUAACAACAUAAGGUAGUUUUAAAAAAGAUUAGAGACUGCUGAAUUACUAAACUAGAGCAAUUUUACGGAUUUCCUUUUCUCUUUCUUUUAUUUGCCAAAACCAGAGAAAUUUUAUGAAGAGCGGGAUGAGAUCGUCAAUCAGAUAGAUUUCAAGAGGAAUCUUUCCUCCUAUUAUAUGGUAUCCAUUUUUUAUUUCUGUUUCUUUGAACUGCGCAUUAUGUUCCUACACAUAGGGAACUCUACCACUUAAUCUCCUUGUCUAGUCCAUAAGUUGUUUCUCACAUACACUUGCAAAGUGCUUCUUCAUUUGCCUGGUAUUUUAUCACAAUUGAAUGGUAGUAACAUACACCAGUAGUUAGCAUCAUGCACUUGAUUUGAUGUAGCUGAAAACUCUGUCUAAGGCUAUUGGCUAAAAAAAAAAAAAAAAUUCUCCAACCAAAAAGAGAAAAAAAACAAACAAAAUUCAUAAAGGGCCCUAUCCAUGUUACGUUUUGGGGAAAAAUUUAAAAAAAAAGGGCCCUAUCCCACCUUAGUAUUCCCCUAUGAAAUCCUUAAAACUGUUCUAGCAUACUGCACAACUACUUGGUCGUUACUCCGAGGAUCUGAGCAAAGCUUGUGCAAAGCUGCAAGCUGCUCAUAAAGCUGCCAAGACUGCAUCUUUGUCGGUUAAUCACAUCGCUCCAUUCCUCCAAUCUUGAACUUAAAGCUGGGUUUUUUUCAAGCCCCUUUUGAAUUUUAGCUCAAAAGCUGCAGUCUUGAGCUUAAAGAUCGUUUUUUUUUUUUUUUAACACGAGUGAGCGGAUAGCUUGUGGAAUAUCUGAUAGAAAACAAUAAUGAUGAAGAAAAUUUCAUUCAACUGGACAUCAUGGUGGUGGUCUCUUCACAAGCAGAAUUACUUGGUUCUCAAGUUGGGAGUUUCAAUUCUUCUAAUUGGCCUUGUUUUUAGGCUUUUAUACCCUCUAUCCGGUGGUGUGUCUGAAGUACAAGACAUCCCUAUUCAGCAAACUGUUAGUUCAAGUACACCACCGCCUCUGGUUUCUGUCAGUUCACCUCUAAAUUCUAAUCAGCAUUCUCCGAAUGGGACUGAAACUUCAGAGAGGAGUUCAGAUUCAAGUGGGUUCAACGAGGAUGACAACGAAAGUCAAGAAAAUGGUCAGUCUUUUCCUUCCAUUUGACUGUUGCAUCUUAUCUUUCUUUCUCUUAGCAAUUGAAUUUUGCAACAGAACCACUUUAAGAAAUUUUAUUGGGUUUUCGAGAAAAGAUGGGAUGCGAUCAAUGAGUUGUCAAAGGUGAUGUCCAUAGUGAUGUUCUAAUUUGAUUUUUUGUGAUAUGAAUUUCAACAAUCAACAAAUCAGUUAGUUGGUUUUAGUGGAGAGAUUGGGUAUGAUGAGUAUAGGGUGGUUUAGGAUCCAUAACAAGGAGGUUUGUUUCUCUUAUUCAUUUAGAGUACAAAACUAUUCUUGCUGGCUUUGAAUGAAUUACAUCGUAUAAUUUUACUUUUCUUGGUAAAAGGUGGUUCUUUUGAUUUAAAUUAAUGUAUGCCUUGUCGUGGCCUGUUCUGCUGCCAUAUUAAUAGGCGAAUAUCUACAAAAUAUAUAAAGGAUGUUUCAAUUUGAUGUGCUGAAACUUGCAUGGUUAUUAUUCCAUAGAAGAUGCGGGAAGAUGUGAUCUGUUCGUUGGGGAUUGGAUUCCUCAUCCUGGGGGUCCUGUUUACACUAAUGAGACCUGUGACUGGAUUGAAGGCCAUCAAAACUGUAUGAAGAAUGGUCGACCUGAUACAGGUUAUCUUUACUGGAGGUGGAGUCCACGAGAAUGCGAGUUACCUCAACUAAAUCCUAAUAGGUUUCUUGAGUUGAUGAGAAAUAAAGCUUUGGCAUUGAUUGGUGAUUCCAUAUCACGCAACCACAUACAGUCAUUGAUCUGUGUUCUUUCAAAGGUAAAAUCUUUAGCUGUUAUGGAUUGGUACUGAAAACGACUGUUGGUUAUGUUUAUUUGUUCUGUGCUUUGGGAUCCCCUCUGUAAUUUUUCAAUUGCCAAAUUAUCCAUUACAUGAUCCACCGGGGCUCCUUAUAUUGUAAUUGGUGUGAUACUAGUGCAGAGUGGACUGUGAUAUCAUGAGGUACAUAUAGGAAAUUCAGGAAAACACAAGUCAUAAACAAUGUGAGGUAUAUGAUUCAUUUCUGUAUAUCCACACAUUGUAUGAUAAUGCACUCUUCCAUUUUUACGCAACUAAUUAAUUUCAGAGUUUGGAGUGAGAAGAAUAUCUUCAUUGAUGCUGCUGUGUGAUGGUUAGAUACCAUCAUCAGCUUGGAUAUUUCUGAUUUGAUGUUAUUUUAUUUGGUCAAGUUAUGUGGCAUAUUUACAUAUAUUUUCUUUAAUUUCUUUUCUUUGUUGGAAAAAUGAUGACAUAGUUUCAACAUAUCUUAGACCCCUGCACCAUGAGAAUUGGGUAGAAAUACAUAGUUGUUGGACCACUCUGUAGGUGACUAUAAACAGAAAAGGAAAUGUCAUUCUUCGUAAAUCAAUUGGAACCAAAAAUGGAAACAUUUGGCUAAGACACUUCUCUGUAAUUUUUUUUGGACACAGAAAGCAGCAAAACUGCAGUAAAUUAGGUCAGUAAUGAGGUUCACUACAUCCCUAUGGGGGUGAGAAACCUUUUCCUUAUGGGGAUUUACUGCACUGCUUUAGGCAUUUAUUUAUUGGAAUCUGAUUAGCAGCUGAGUGUUGCUUGGCUAGCUACUUGGUGAUUUUGUCUUCAUUCUGAUUCUAACUGCUUUCGUUUCAAUUUUUAUAAUCGUUGAUUGAAAAUUUUGGACGUUGGUGUUUAUUUUCAUCCUGUUUAUUCAUUUCCUAUGUGUAAGCUGUCAAGGUGGCUAUAUAUCUCGAGUCAGAGUUAUUUUUGGAGGAUUUGAAAGAUUUUUCAGUUAUACAUAGCUAAGUAUUUCGAGUUAUAUUCUUUUAGGCGGAAAAGGCCGUCCAAGUUUAUCAUGAUGAGGACUACAAAUCAAGAAGAUGGCUCUUCCCCUCCCACAAUUUCACCGUUUCAGUUUUAUGGUCUCCUUUCUUAGCACAAGCUGCCAUUUUCGAAGACUACAAUGGUGUUUCUACAUCAGAGAUUGAGCUGCAUCUUGACAAACUAGAUGGCACAUGGACUGAACAAUUCAAGAGCUUGGACUACAUCAUGUUUUCCAGUGGUGAAUGGUAUGCCAAAUCAGCAAUCUACUACAAGAACAACACAGUAUUGGGAUGCCAUUACUGUCCUAAGAGAAACUUGACGGAACGUGGGUUUGAUUUUGCUUAUCGCGAGGUGCUCAGGAACUUUUUUGACUACAUAACCGAGUCAAAUCACAAGGGGAUGAUCUUUUUCAGGACCAGCACACCGGAGCAUUUUGAGAACGGUGAAUGGUUUAGCGGUGGAACCUGCAAUAGAACUGAACCAGUGAAGGAAGGUGAGUUUCUGAGAAAUGAGUUGAACAGGAUUCUUCGAGAUAUUGAAAUAGAAGAAUUCAGGAAUGCAUCCACAAAAGCUUCUGAGAAAGGGGUGAAUCUCAAACUUUUUGACGUAAAUCCUCUCUCCUUGUUGAGGCCUGAUGGACAUCCAGGUCCAUACAGAUUCUUCCAACCAUUUGCUAAGGACAAAAAUGCAAAGAUAAUCAAAGACUGUCUACACUGGUGUUUGCCGGGCCCUAUAGAUACUUGGAACGAUCUGUUAAUGAAGAUGGUGGUCAAUGGCUGAGCGCACCUGAUGUCGUUUGUCAAGAAAAUGGUGGAUCAAGUUUGCCUCUCCACGCGAUGAAUAUAAAUGUUUGAGAUUCUUCAAACCUGAAAUUUGGGAGAGUUAUAAUUAGUCUGAUAGAUUAAUUUUUUUCUAAGCUAAAUAGUGUGUAGAAAUUCUUUGACACAAGUCGGCUUAUAUGUGAAGUGAAGCAUGUACGCAAGAAGAGGCUUUUAUAUUUGAAUAGAGAUACAAAGUAUAUGCUUCUGCAUUUAGCCCACUCUUUGUAAGGAAAUCUUUACACCAAAAAAUGAUCCCAGUUUGAAAACCAAAGAUUCAUCAAGUUUAUAUUUUUAUGCUUGUUGCUGAUUAUUUAUUUAUUUAUUUUGGGUCUCCCUUUCUACUGGAAUAAUGGAAGGCAAAAAAAAAAAAAAAAAAAGAAGGAAGGCAAACAUGACAUAGCAUAAAAUGGAAGCCCCGAAUCACCCAUUGUAAUACACCAACGGUCAAACUUUUAAAUGUGCACCAAUGGGACUCGAACCUUUUCUUCGUUAACAACAAUUGAUUUGAAUUUGAAACAAGUAACCGUUGGAAUCUGCAUAUAAAACAAAACCACUCUCGGGAGAAGCCACACUCACUGUUAGCAACGUCUCUCUCUUUCUCUCUCUCUCUCUCUGAAACCAUCCAUGGCUGCAAUUGCAGAGAUGCCUCUUGUUUCUGAACCCGCUCCCACGAAGAAAGGGAGAUCCAGAAGAGCACUAAAGCAGAAAACCCCAUCGUCCAGCGAGGCCAACAUUGUGGCCGGAACUGUCCCUCAGCCAUCUCCGGUUGCGCCACCAUCUGAGAACUGUCCCACCAAAGAGAACCAUGAAAGCCUCUCCUCACAGCUUUCGCCCCAGAAAAAAUCAAAGAGAGGGGCUCCAAAGGCUUCCAAGCAACAACCAGAACUGUCCUUUGAGAAAGAAUUGCUGGAAAUGCAGGAAAAGCUUGAGAAACUGACGCUUGAGAAACAGCAGACUGAGGAGCUCUUGAAGGUUAAAGAAGAAGCCCUCAAACAAAAUGAGGAAGAGAAGGAGAAGCUGCAUGUCGAACUCAAGAAGCUACAGAAAGUCAAGGAGUUUAAGCCCACCAUGGUUUGUUUUCUGUUGUGUCGUUUUGAAUUCUUCUGCUUUUGGUUCUCAUUUCUUGUUCUGAUCGCCCCUUUAUUUACGAUUCACAAGAUCUGAUGAAAGGGUUGAUUUUGCUAUUUUUUUUUCAAAAAUUUCCGAUUUUUAGGUUUUAAUACAAAGAAAAUAUUUGGUUGAAAUUUUUUUUUUUUUUUUCCAAAUCGAAGUUGAUGCCACUGCAAAGACAAAAGGCGACAUUAGAAACAGCGGAAGCUGCAAUUGUUAUCUUAUUUUAAAGUUCUCCAUUCUGUUGAACCUUUUGUCAGACCUUACCCAUGUUGCAAGCUUUGAAAGACAAUGAUCAAGAAAAGAAAGGGAAGAAGAAGGCGGAUCCUGCGACAAAGAGACCAUCUCCUCCUUACGCCUUGUGGUGCAAAGAUCAGUGGAAUGAGGUGAAUGCGCACUGAGGUUUCUUUAAUUCCCGUUUUACCAUGUUAAAGUAUCGGAUGACUUAGCUGGAUCAAUUUCUGAUGUGAUAAUCUUUGGUUACGUAGGUGAAAAAAGCAAAUCCGGAAGCAGAUUUCAAGGAAAUAUCAACUCUGUUGGGGGCAAAAUGGAAGACACUCAGCACAGAGGAGAAGAAACCUUACGAGGAGAGGUACCAAGAGGAGAAGGAAGCUUACUUGAAAAUUGUUGGAAUUGAGAAACGCGAGCACGAAGCAAUGAAGCUUUUGGAGGAAGAGCAAAAACAGAAGACUGCCAUGGAGUUGCUUGAACAAUACAUGCAGUUCAAACAGGAAGCAGAGAAAGAAAAUAAGAAGACUAACAAGCAAGUUCCAAUUAAAUUGCUUUUUUUUAAUGCUAUAAUAAAUUAUAGAUGGCCGAAAAGGAUCCUUUAACUUCUAUACUGAUUUUGUCUGCUUUGAUUUCUGUAUUUAGGAAAGAAAAAGAUCCUUUAAAACCAAAGCAACCACUCACGGCUUUCUUCUUGUACUCGAAUGAGCGACGCGCAACUUUGCUUGCAGAGAACAAAAAUGUGUUGGAGGUGAUUGAUGAAAUGCAGCUUGAUUAUAUGCUUUGUUAAUAAAAAUUGUAGAAUUCAUCAUUGAGAAAUUGGUGGGAUAUGUUAUUAGGUGGCAAAGGUCUUAGGUGAAGAAUGGAAGAACAUGACGGAGAAGCAGAGAGCACCUUACGAGAAGGUAUUACUCCCCUGCCUAACAUGCAUACCUUUCUUCUAGAUGCAGUCCUUCUGUUUGUUGGAGAUUUGAGGGUUUUUGCGUAUUGAAAAAAUUCUGCAAUGAUAUCUAGAUUGCAAACAAGAACAAGGAGCAGUAUUUGCUUGAAAUCGAGCUCUACAAGCAGAGGAAAGAGGAAGAAGCUGCUAAUCUCAAAAAGGAAGAGGAAGAGCUGAUGAAACUUCAAAAGCAGGAAGCGUUGCAAUUGCUCAAGAAGAAAGAGAAAGCUGAGAACAUUAUUAAGGUUUGUGUUACAUAUAUUAUUUGUCAUGUUGUCCCUCCCUGAUUUAUUUGAAGCAUAUGAAAACUUGUAAGCCAAUAUAAAUAUAUAAUAUAUAAUUGAGAGAUGCAUUGCUCAUUAACAAUUUAGAAAACAAAAGAGAAGCGCCAAAAGAAGAAGGAAGAGAAGGAUGUUGAUCCUAACAAGCCAAAGAAGCCAGCAUCUUCAUUCCUCCUCUUCAGGUUACUACUCAGUCUCUCAACCAAACGAUUGAUAAAGAGUGUGAUAGUUCUUUAACGACUCAAUUGGAAUGAACGCAUUUUGUUCUAUGAUUUUUACUAAUGCAGCAAAGAGGCCAGGAAGACUUUGUCGGAAGAAAGGCCUGGGAUCAACAAUUCCACCCUUAAUGCCCUCAUUUCGGUUAAGUGGAAGGUAUAUAUUGUACACAAAGCCCCGCCCAGUAUGUGUUCUUUAGCUGUAUUUAUUUUAUAUGUUUACCAGUUAGUUCAGGGAUUUAUUUGUUUAAUUUGCAAUCCUCAUAGGAACUAAGUGAGGAAGAGAAACAAGUUUGGAAUGAGAAGGCUGCAAAAGCUAUGGAGGCAUACAAGAAGGAGGUGGAAGAAUACAACAAAAAAUUGGUGGCAGAGAACCAGAAAAACUAGAUAUAGUGUUGGUGCUGGUGUUCAACUUGUUCUGUUGAACAUCUUAGAUGCAUGCUAAUUGUUUCUUCUUCAAAUUUAUGUGUCUUUAGACUUUAAUGGGUAGAGUAGCCUAUAAUGAACGGGUGCAGUCUGUGAGAUAUUUGUGCUUUUGGGAAAUGUUUUCAACUGCUGACAAUUGAACAAUCAGGUAGGAGGAGAAGUAUGGUAGUUGGGUGGGUAAUCUAUGAGAUACUUGUGCUUUUAGGAAAUGUUUUCAAUUGCUGACAAUCAAAUGAAUGCUAGUACAAAUUUGGUUGUGUCACGAAGGUUUUGACAUUUCUUGGAUUGCCAACUAGUCAAUUUGCCUAUUGUGUUGUUGUACUCGUGUAAUAGGCCGUUGAAGGCUUUGCUGGUACAAAUAGAGAUAGUUGAAUUCCAACUGAGCUCCAAAAAUAAACGAUUCUUGGUUACUUCCAUCCAAAUCUAGGAUUGGCAAUGGGCAGGAUAAUACCUUGCGCUUAUCCGAAUCCGGCCCGUUGGUUAAUUCAAUUAUAUGAUCGUGGAUUAUUUGUUAGGGUUUGAUUUUAAUGAGGAGUUUUUGAUGGGCAUAUAUAUACAGUAAGAGGAUUCGAUAACACAUUUUUUUAAUCUUAUAACCUAAUAAGAUACAAUUCUAACCCAACACAAAUGAAGAUAAUUAUGAUUUAAAACAAAAGAAUAUUGAUUUAAUCCUUCAUUAGUUGAAUUUUUCUCGUGCAAACUCUAUGUCUUUACUAAGUUUAAAACUCAAUACACAGUGUGCUAACAUGGUGUAUGUAUUGAUAAAAGGCUACUUUUUUUUUUUUUAACUAUUAAGUUUAGUGAGUAGAAGCAUCCAAUAGGUAAUCCGAACUUGAAAGAGAGAUGGUUUUGUAAUGGAAAUUAAAACCCAUGGAGUUAGCCUAUAGGAUCAAGCUUCUAUCCCUAAUUUCCUAUCCAAAUCUUCAAUUGUAAGUGAUUAAUUUAGAACCAUCCCUAAGGCUUUACAAAAAUCCAAGUAGGCCUGUCAACAGGCCGGGCCUGAAUUGAAAUGAAUAAAUCCGGAUCCGUUAUACUGCAUUAGUUCCGGAUUCGACUCGAAUAUCCGACGGGUCCCUGUUGUUUCUAUACGGGUCUCGGAUCUGGGUCGGGCCUACCCGGCCCGUCGAAAACCCGUUCAUGCUACAUUUUUUUGGGCGGGAGGCAGGUGGUAUAAUGAAAACAAAAGCAAAGACAAUUACGCACAGAUCUUUUUAAUAUUAAGGGAUUACAAGAAGACAAUAAGCAGGUUGGUUAUUUAUCAGUCAUUUGUAUUGGCCGGCGUCAUAUCUUUGAUUCGUAAAACUUACUGGCCAGCAAAUCAGCAAGGCUUCCCAUGGGCCAUGGGAUAAUAAUCACAGACAGCAGAAAUAAGUAAUGACAGGAACAAGAUAGUCGGAUAUGCUGCUCACUAAACCCACUGGCACGAUUCUCCUCCCAAACUCGCCCCUCCUCAAACUGACCUUCCGAAACCUCUUCAAUGCACGCAUCCUACCAUACAGCAGCACCACUUUCUCUGUAAACCCCAAACGGCUCUCGCCCACCACUGCCACCGCUAAUCUGAGCACCUGCCGAAGGGUCAAUGCUGUGACUCGGCCCAACCGCCCUUAUGAUCACUACCAUCACAAGAUACCAGUGGGACUGCAAGAGCUGGGCUUCCUUGGAGCUGGCCAGAUCCGGCGGUUUCUUUGGAGCUGGAGAUGGAGAGAGUCAGACAGCGUCGCCGGUUUCCCGCGGACUGGUCACUUCACUGGCGUCUGGCGGAGGCAGCGGGAGGCAAGGCAAAAGAAAAAAGAGAGUGGGGACCGAGGGGAAGAAGCCAGAAGGGAUGUGCGGUGCGGGCAGUGCGGCGAUGGGGAGUGGGUAUUAGGGUUAGAAAAAUUUGGGAAUACAUUUAUUGAUAUGAAUAAUUAUGAUAUAUAGGUAUAUAUUUUUUAAUUACUAAUUAAUUAAAACGGGUCUGAGUUAGAUACGGGUCGAAAUAACAUGUUUCGUAUCCGAUUCGUAAAUUUAUUAGAUAAAAUGGGUUCGAAUCCGAAUCCGAAUCACGGGUCUACAUCUCUAUCCGUACUCGACAAAUGUUGGCAGGGGACGCGGGACUGGAGCAGUUGUCAGAACAACCGCUCAGAAAGGUGUAACACCAUUUGUACAUGGUGUAACAUCAUCUGUACAAGGUGUAACAAUAGAAUAACAGCGAGUAACAAUAGAACAACAUUUCGGUGGGUCCCACACGGUGUGAAAAUCGAGUUACAAGACGUGAUAUGAGCCGCACAAAUUUUUGAGAUCUCAUCCAAAUCAUGAACUGCUUGGAUCUGACAACCGUCCAGGCCCCUCGUCCGUUGAGAGGUCGGUCUGGACCGGACCGUUGACAGCCCUACCUCCAAGGACCCCAAAAAAAGAAAAAAAAAAAAUUCUCCUAGACCUCCACGCAUUGCUAGGUCCAAGCGUGCAUGUUUGGAGAGUCAUUUUCUAAAGACUAAGCCCAAUUGUGAAUUUCCCAUCUAACCCAUUUCCCCAUUGUUACACGCGUGCUCCGGAGUUCGUCUAUUCUUUUCCUCCGGCGACCCAUAUAUACCGCCACCUUGCCUUCCUUCCAUGAAUUAUUCCUUUUUCGUCUCUUUGCCGCCAUUCUUGUGUUCAGAGUGAUUGAUUGCGGUAUGUUCUCCGAUUACAGUUAGCAUUUUGAGAAUCUAACUUAGAGCUUAUUCACUUCAAUCUUUGAAAGUUGCACCGCUAAAACCCUAGGUUUGGCACUAGUUAGGAUUCGUUUGACUAUUUGAUGUAUUUCUCUUGGAUAUCCUAAUAAUUCUUAUGACUUUUAUACACUCGAUUAAGUGUGAUUUUCUUGCUCUAAAAGUUUGAGAACUAAACCGAGUUCUAGAUCUUACUAUUCUGCCAGCUGCAUUUUAAAUUGGUUUUGACUUAAUGAGAUGUUUGCUUAAUUUAUGUUGCAUGAGUUUUGUCGAAUUUUGUGCUAUUUAUUAUGUAUUUGAUUAUGUUAUAUUUUUUAUGCUUGUAUAGGCGAAUAGUUCGAAUGCAUUCUCUUUCUUUUGUUAAAAUGAUGUUUCUGCUUAACUGAGUUGUUGCCCUUGAGUUCAAUGAUGUUCAAAGCCUCUGCUUGUCGGAUGCCACUAAUCAGUAACCUACAGAAAAUGUCGGAACGCUUUCCUUUUACAUGGUGACCGUUGUUCUGAAUAUUGAUCCUUUGGAUUUAAAAUUCAUCUACAAUUUUUUGUAUAUUAAUCCUCUCAUUUACGUAGGAGUACUUUUUUCUGAUUUACAUUGUUGCCUUGGGUUUUAACGCAGACCAAUUUGUUGAAACUUGUGAUUUGAUAACGUUCUGAAUUAAUCCUACCAACAUAAACAAUGCAUCCCCCCAAGGCAAAGGCAACCCAGAUUUCCCACGCCUGUCGUAGUACUAUUAUUAUGAAAAACUUUUAGUAGUGAUUUGUUUUAUUUGAUUUAUAUGGGCAAGGUCGUCAACACACAGGCAAAAUACCCUGCAUGGUCUUCCUCUUCCUCAUCCGAGGGAGGUACAGUAUUUUUAAGUAUUUUUGUUUCUAUUUCCCUCUUAUCAUUUUUUCCCAUAUACACUGCUUUGGGAUUGCCGAUUAGUUUAUCCAAUCCUGGUCUAGUUUCAAUCUAGUUAUUAUUAUUCUAUUCGGGUUUCAUGUAUUGAGUCAAGUCUAAAUUUAACGGUUCUAAAAGUUCUGAUUAGGUUUAAGGGUUUGUUUCUAGGUUGUUGAAAUAGAGGGCGAAAGGAAAAUUUAAGGGUAUUAUGCCUCGUUACCGUGGCGAGACUCCUGGUGUUCGAGUUUAUACAGUUUGCGAUGAAUCUAAGUACCUCGUUGUCAAGAAUGUUCCAGCAUUGGGUUGUGGUGAUGAAUUGUUGAGACUUUUCUCAACAUAUGGGCAGAUUGAAGAAUGCAAACCAAUGGAUGCUGAAGAUUGUGAGCCCUUUACCGAUGUUUACUGGAUUAAGUUUCAUCAGGUUGACAAUGCUAGGUUUGCUAAAAGGAAGUUGGAUGAGUUUGUUUUUCUGGGGAACAGGCUGCAGAUUUCAUAUGCACCUCAUUUCGAGAGCUUGUCCGAUACCAAGGAGAAAUUAGAAGGGAGGAGAAACGAAGUUCUUGCACGGUUGAAACCUAGGAGCUCCAAUGCCUCUGCAGCGUAUGGUCAUGGGCCAUCAGCUAGAGACCAGUCAUUGGGGUUGCAACAACGGGAAUUUGGAGACUCUCAUUACACUGCUAGAAGUGGAGGUUCUGCUUCCGUGACUCAUGUUUCUUCUGACAAGGAGUAUUUCCCAUUGGAAUCUAUGAAUCAAACAGUUCGCCUGGUUAGAGAGAAACUUAAUGAGAUACAAUCAAGCGCUGACAAUUCAGAAGUUCAGUCGUCUAAAAGACCACGUGUUGACAAUAGGCGGAGAAUCUAAUGUUCUUGAAAGAGUUCUGUCCUAUGUCCGAGCUCAGGUGAUAUCAUGAUGUGGGACAAAUUUGUUUAAUAUUUACUUCUUUGGUAGGAUCCUCGUGACUGCUGUAGAGAUGUGAAAUUGCAUUUGGAGGUCAACAAAUGUAGAUCUGCUGGUCCUCUUUAGGAAAAGGACAAAGGGCUGCAACAAUUCUAAGUUGCUAAGGGCUUCGACCUUUUUCUCCUGUUUAAGUUGAAAUCUUUUAAAUCAUUGGAAAUCUCUCCAUUACCAUUGAUGUUUUGUUAUGUUGGUGGACAUGGGUGAGGAUGGGGGAAGGGGCCACUCAUAUACGUGCAAAGUCCUUUAUAAUCAUAAGAAGUCCCUCGACUGGGAGUGUGGGGGAACUUUGCUGCUUACUUCUUUUUGUACUUUGUAAAAUAUAUUGAGAGGUCAGGAUAAGAGAUCUCCGAAAGUCUGGCAAAACAAACUUUCUGAGUUGCAAAACAAAUUUGUUAACUGUGGAUGGUAUCGAGGAAAAAGUAAUAGUACAUGCGUAGAAUGGGACUUCACAAGCAGGAGAAAGGUGAUGGCGCUUCAACAGGAAGCCCUGCAUAUGUUUCACAGAAAGAGAAGCCCUGCAUAUGUUUCAAAGAAAGAGAAGCCAAAAAACCUUAAGGUCUGUUAAUAAUGAUUGUUCCCUUGUUUUCUGAUUAAUUUUAAGCUUCUGAAAUUAGCUGAGCGAGGUGAAUUGGCAUGCUUUACUACAAUGCAGGAGAAGUGCACAAGGAAGAAUGCAUAGAAGGUCCUAACUGCCAAGACACAAACCAAGAAGGCAACAUGUUCCUUCCUUUUCUGGCAGUCAACCAAAAUGAACUGGAAUAAGGAGAUUUUGUUGGAAGAAUUGCCUGAAAUCAACAACUGAACUCUUGAUGUGCUCAUCGGACCCGGUUACAUGGAAGGUUAUGCUUAGCAGAAGGAAAAGUUGGAAUGAUUAAAGCUGCAAAAGCAAUCAGGCAUGUGACAAGGAAUCGAUGGAACACGAGCUCUGGUGGUAGACAAUCCCAGGGGAUUUUGCCGUUUGUCUGCAAUUUGUUCUGUUGGCCAUGUGGGCUGCUAACGAACCAAAAGUUCCGCUAGUCUUAAUUGCUACCAACCAAAGCUCGAUAUCAAUACAGUUUACUUUUGCGUUCGAAUACAUAAAUUUGGCAUUGCUCGUAAUCGAGCUUAAUGCUGAUGUUACAUUUCUGUACACAAUCAUUUGGUUAGACAGUUUGAGCACAACUUCAAGGAGUCCUUAAAGUUCUACAGUGGCUUUUUCUUCAUAAAAUUUUUUUGCCAGUUAUUAAGAAUAUCAGAAACAAAAAAUGAAAGAAGUUGAAUUGUGAGCUUUGCAGUGCGAAUUGCCAGCCUUUUUUUUUCAAAUUAUUAUAAAUUAAAGCAUAGAAGCGUUAAAAUUGGGAACUAGAGAAUCAGCAGCAGGCCCAGGAUUCUUCACUAGCUAUAUAUAUACAUGGCAAAUUCCUAUAGGGCUGCCCAAGGCCCACAAAACCAGGUUAAUGAAAAAGGUAUAGGUUGGUGUUCUGUGACUUUACUGUCGGCGAUUCCAAAAGAUGAGGUAGAGGUACGUUUCGCAGUUACUAAUAGUCGCGCGACAUGCGCCGUCGAUGUCAAUGCCUCCCCUCCUAAAUGUGCCGCCAAUGUCAACGCCUUCUACAAUCUUCUCGUAACAGAUGGAUGCCAACUCCCAACUGCAUAUACCAAAUUAGGACUACUAAACUUCAAUCGUUCGUUCAUGCUCUACUUGUAACGACUCACCAAGCAGAUCUAAAAAGAGAUCGAAAUAAGGAAGCUAGGUAGGCUAUUAGUUAUUCUACUUCUAGCCGAAGGCAACAAAAGCAAGCCUUUCCAAAAUCGCCGGCCACUCAGAGCUUGAACCGGAAAGAUGGGCCGACGGUCCUCCGACGGAGCGCCAGAAGAAGGGAGUAUUCCUUUGCUCGUAUCAGGUAAAACUGCUUGCUGACUUUCGAUUCUUAUUUAUUUAUUUAUUAUAUAGCUGUCAAUUCCUCUCUUUUUCAUACAUCAUGAAACAAAAUUUAGGAGGGGCAAGAAAUGAUGCUAAGAAAUAAGAUGCACCCACCACCUAGAGCUAGAAGCCUAAAAGCCUAAAACCGUAAAGCCCCAAAUCCCAAUCCAUUCAUCAUAGUGGGAAGUGGGAACAAACCAUGCGUUGGGGCCUGCGGUUCUGCCUCUGGUCUUCGCUCUUUCACCUCAUCAUCAUGUUUUUGGACGUCACUUGAAAUUUGUUUGUUACUUGCUUGUGGGAAAUCGACAAUAAGAGGUGCCGUGGCCGCAAUGAUCGUCUCCGUCUCAUGGAGGUUGAGUUUGUGUUUGCCGGGUUGCCAUCGUGAAUUUGGACAAAAAACCAAGAACGCAAGGCUUUUGCUUCUCCGCUUCCCCCUUUGCCUUCCUUUUCCGCGUAUUAUUCCUUGUCGUCGUCAGAUCAGACGGACCCAUCAUCACAGUACUAAUAUUAUUGUACACCACUCAUUUUAUUUUUGGUUGGAUUCGGCAGAAACUGUAGAAUAUAUAAUCCAGGAAAAAGAUGCUAAUUACAGCUUCACUCUCUAUUAAUUUGGCAUGGGCAUGGGAAGAGUCCUUGGGGCGAGUGAGGAGUACUGCAUGGGGGAUUCUUUACUUUGAUUACUGGUAGUAUUUGCUUGCUAAGCCACCACCCACCAUAAAACAACUCUCUCCAGCUCCUACGAGCUACAAAUUCCCCCCGGAAAACUGAGAGAUUCUCUUUCUCAUUUUCAGCAACUCAAACCAUUCUAAGUUAGGGCGUAAAUUGAGUUAAACCAUACAAGCCUUAAUAAUUGAAAGUCUUCCAUUUUGUCUCUUCUCUCACAAAAUUAGAACAACGUUAGCAUAGUGACAAUUGAAGACUACCUAAAAAAUGAUGAUGAUACUAAUAAUAAUAAUAGCAGCGCAACACUGCCUAAUCCGUCUCUUACUAUUAUUCUAUCUAUUUAUUCCUAAUAUUUCAAGUGUUGUAGUUUCAAUAGAUAUAUGGUAACUUUCAAUUUUCAAAUAUUAUAUUGUAGUGCUCCUAGAAUUAAAAGGGUUUGUUUUCCGCCCAUGCAAUUGCUUGUGCGCGACAACUAAGAUGGCUUGGUUUCCCACCCAUUGGCUUACGGCUUCGUCAGGCUUCUCACAUCAUGCCACUAUAAUAGAGGUCAACCAUUUCAUUGUAGAGUCGUCGUUCUCAUUGAUGACAACAGUGAAAAUUUCCCUUUCGGCAAUUCCGUCAUCCCAGCUGCCUCGUUCUAAUCUCAUCCCCUCCUAUAUUGCUAUACUCUGAUUAAAAAUAAAAAAUAAAAAGGACAUAUUCUAUAUAUAAACUACUAGUAAUUAAAGCAGGAUGUAGAUGCAUACUAUAUUCGUAUUCCCAUUCCCACUGGUGGGGCUUCUUUUCUAUUUUGUUUUUUCCUGAGACUCAGACAGCGACGAGCCACCCCAUAUCCUUCCUGCCUUUCCUUCGACCGCGAUCAAUCAGCCCCGUAUCCUCCUUCUUAUAUAUUCUUCUCCUCUGACGACCCAGUGACAUGCACGAUCAACUGAUAUAAAUUUAAAACCGGCAUACAUAUAUUUGCACGUACUGAUACGUUCUGUAAUACAUGGCGCCAGAAAAUCCACGGGAUGAUCAAUCUAUACCGGAGAAAAAUCGGGAGCACGACGCCGGCGCAGUUUUUGUUUUGGAGUCCAAAGGUAAGAAGGAUUUUGUGUGAAGAUCAAAUGCAAGAUUAGUCUGUACUAACUAGUUCUAGCAUUCUUCUAUUAAUCAGAGGAUUCUCCCUUUUUCCGGUCUGGCCAGGGGAGUGGUGGCAUGCGGGAUUUCAUCUGACGACAGCGAUAGUGGGCCCCACAAUACUGACGCUGCCGUACGCAUUCCGAGGUCUUGGAUGGGGUCUGGGCUUUUUCUGCUUAACGGUGAUGGGGGCGGUUACGUUCUACUCUUACUAUCUCAUGUCCUUGGUGCUUGAUCACUGUGAGAAGUCUGGACGUCGCCACAUCAGAUUCCGCGAACUCGCUGCUGACGUCUUGGGUACCUCAUCUUUUGCGCAUUAGCUCAUCUCUCUCUCUCUCUCACACACACACACUCGCACGCACCAGUACUCUGUUUCUGAUGUGAAGUUUUUAAAUGCCUUGCCUCAGUUCUCGACCUGUGGAGUCCUUUUUGAGAAGAAAUGUGCAGCUAUACUGGGACCUGUUGAUGGCCUUUUUCUGGGUGCAAUUUGUUAUUUAAGUGAAUGAGCUUUCCUUUCUAGUUUUGGAUUAGUAGGAAGGUUAUGGAAUUUACUUUUAACCUGACAUAUCUGGUGAUAAUCGUAGUGUUCAUGGUUUGUUGAGAUACCAUGGAGUAGAUUUUUGAAAGGGUCUUAUGGGGAUAACAACUAAUUACUCUGAGCAAUAACGCCUUGUGCAGCGUCCUAUGAAUGCCUCUUGGAGAAACUUAGGCUGCGCCAUUAUAUUGUUGGAGCAUCAAUACAUGUUAUGUUUCAGUCGCUAAUUGGAGCCGUGUCUUUUACAUUUCAAACAAUUUUGCUUUCACGUUCUGCAUUUUUGGCAUUCUGACAUUGAUGAGAGCAUUUGGCUGUCAACAAAUUAAAGUUUGCUAAUUCUUUUGCUGCUUGCUCCUGCUUAUUGGGAAGAAGUGUAUCGGUAAUUCUUGACUAAAGGCCUUGCGUUUCACUCUGUAGGAUCGGGAUGGAUGUUUUAUUUUGUAAUAUUCAUUCAGACAGCCAUCAACACAGGCAUUAGCAUAGGAGCAAUUCUGCUUGCUGGGGAAUGCCUACAGGUAUAGCAACAUAGGUAUCCACUUGCUUCUUGUAGCGUGCAGACAGAUUAAACAUAUGGUAUUGGAAGCUUUAGAGGACUUCUUAAUGCGCUCUGGCUAUCUUUAUUAUCAUAAUUGGCAGUUCAAUUUGAUCUAUAAUCUGUCAUUGCUGCCUCUGUAUUUGGGGGUUGUGCAAGUAAGCUUCAUGUGCCGGACAAGGGGGUCUGUUGAUUUUGGUUUGAGACCUUUAAUUGCAAAAACAGGGAAUAGAAAUCUGUUAACAGAACUCAGAAUUAGUGGUAAUACGAAAUGGCUGAAAAAAAAGGGCUUUUUGUGAUCGAUACCUUGCUGAUGGCAACUUUAGGUGCUAACUUAGAAAAGCUUAAAUUUAUUAAUGAACAGAAAUUUGUUGAUAAAACUUAAAGAAGGUUUCAAUUUGUGAAAAUUCAACUCAUUAGUGUCUGCAUGUCCUGCAUAUCUCUUGUAGUUCAAAACCAUGUUGGAAAUCAAAAUUGAGUGAUUAUGCUCUUCCAUGGCACAAUGUGUCUUCUAGGCACAGACGUGAAAACAUCAUGAAGUUCAUAACUGGGAUAAAGACAUGUUGGAACAUAAUUACUUUCUGGUAUGAAGAUUGCUCAAUCUGCUCUGAAUAUGGUUUCUUUGCUCUGCAUAAGUAUCGAUACCUAUUUUAUCACUAUGCAUAGAUUUAUUAACAAGCCAGUAAUUCUUUUAAACUGUCUUCUCUUGAACUGACACCUGCUGUUGUUCUUGUUACAAGAUCAUGUACUCAAACCUUUCUCCAAAUGGGUCACUGAAGUUGUAUGACUUUAUAGCAAUGGUGACUGUAGUGAUGAUACUCCUCUCCCAGUUUCCAACCUUCCACUCCCUCAGGCAUGUUAAUCUUGGUUCGCUGCUUCUGAGUCUGGGCUACACUUUGCUUGUAGUCGGUGCUUGUAUACAUGCAGGUAGAUCCUUCUUUUAAUCUCUACUUGUGCUGAUUGAUUAUACAUAUAUUUUGCAGCUGACACAACAAAGUAAUUGACUAAAUAGUGAAAGCAGUACUUGGUGUUUUGAGAAAGAUGCCUGUGAUAUGAAUGACUGUUGCACUUUGAAGAGUGUUGUAGCACACAUAACAUUCAUCCUCUUUUUUCACCUAAUCCUGAGUGAAGUAAAAUUUCAGGAGCAGUAAAACAUAUGUGAAAUCCAUUACCACAAACAUAUGAAAAUCCAUUACCACAAUUGAAGCUAUACUUUGGACCUUAAUCUGGAUUGAACCCAUGUUUUUGCAACGUACACCAAAUGAUUUGCAAAGAGGCUUAUACUCUCUUAAAUUAUGUCUUUGGAUUCCUGAAAAUGAUAUGCAUGUUGCUGCCAGCUGCAAAAUCAGAAAAAUUAGAAGUUAAACAAUACAUAUGAUCCUGGUGGUGAUCUAAUUUGUUUCAGUAUUAUGCAGGAACAUCCAAGAAUGCACCUCCUAAGGACUAUUCUUUAGAAGGCUCAACAUUGUCUAGGAGUUUAAAUGCUUUCACUUCAAUAUCUAUCAUAGCUGCUAUUUAUGGAAAUGGGAUACUACCCGAAAUUCAAGUAAGUUUUCCUGUUUAAGCCAUGGUUCUAGGGUAUCAAUCCAUUUGUGCUUUUGGGCCAACAAACUCAUUUCUUUCACUAUUAGUAAAUGUCAUGGGGAACUGUUAAAUGAGGCAUUUCAUGUUGCAGUUGGAUACAGUUAUGGAGACCUCCUAAAUGGGUAUAUAAGCUGUCGUCUGCAUCCAUUUACUUCAAUGAAACAGGCUUAAGAAUUCUGAUCCCAUUAGUAUCUAGCUGCAAAAAAAUUACAAUCAGUGGUUGGUCACAUACGUGUUAAGAUCCAUUUAGUAGAAAGUAGUCGCCUGUUGAGAUUCAGUUUUUUGAAACAAUCAAUGCAGGCUACUCUAGCUCCACCAGCCACUGGGAAGAUGUUUAAAGGUCUUGCAAUGUGCUAUGCUGUAAUCUUUGUGACUUUCUACUCUGCUGCUGUUUCGGGAUACUGGGCAUUUGGGAAUAAAUCGAACUCAAACAUUCUCAAGAGCUUGCUGCCAGAUGAGGGACCUUCCUUGGCUCCCACAUGGGUAUUAGGUCUUUCAGUUGUCUUCAUUCUCCUUCAACUAUUUGCCAUUGGCCUGGUAAGCUCAUCAUGCAUUUUUACAGCAAAAUCCUGAUUACUUGUUGUAAUUCAUUUAGAACUGCGCUAGGUGUUCCAUUUGAUUAAAUGCUUGCAUCUUUGCCAAGUAUAUCACCAUCUGCUUUAACUUCUCUGAUAUAUGUAUAUAUAUGACAGGUCUAUUCUCAAGUAGCUUACGAGAUCAUGGAGAAGAAAUCAGCUGAUGUAAAGAAAGGAAUUUUCUCCAAAAGAAAUCUAAUCCCAAGGAUAAUUCUUCGGACACUCUACAUGCUAUUUUGUGGGUUCUUUGCAGCCAUGUUACCAUUCUUUGGGGACAUCAAUGGUGUUGUGGGAGCCAUUGGAUUCAUCCCGCUAGAUUUCAUACUGCCGAUGCUUCUUUACAAUAUGACACACAAACCCUCAAAAGCAUCCCUCAGUUUUUGGAUCAACAACUCCAUCAUCAUCAUCUUCACAGGUGUAGGACUUUUGGGCUCAUUUGCUUCAAUUAGGAAAUUAGUUAUAGAUGCUAAAACGUUCAAACUCUUCAGCAGUGAUGUAGUUGAUUAACUCCUCCUAUAUGCUACGGGAGUAAUUUUAAAAAGUUAUAGAACUGAAAGAGACACUUCACAAUACGAAUCAUAAUCUGCUACUCCUUCAUGUUAUUGUUUCACUAACGGCGGAAGAUAUAGGGAAACUGCGAGUUUAGUUUACAGCAAUCAUGCAGAAAUUAUGGUCAAAUGAAUCAUGAAUCCUUUCUGUGGUGUUUCAAUUACUUUUCCCUCAAACCAGAUCAUUCACCAGGUGUACAUGGAAUUUUAGGAAUCGACCAUGACCUUGUGUAGGGUCCAGCCUCUUUUUGUCUCUUCCCUUAUAAAGUAUGUUGUGCAAGCUCCAAAUUCUGUGCUGUGAUAUUUUCUUAAUGAAUCUAGCAUUAUGUAGUAAGCGAGUUAACAGGAGGGAGGAGAAUCAUAAACAACUGCUAAUGCUAGGAAAGCAGCUUAUGAUCCCCGCCAACUCCCCCACUUCCACCUUUCCCAACCCACAAAACAAAGCCUUACUCGAGCGUCUAUGCCAGAGUUUAUGUUAAUUGUUAAUUUACUGAAAAGAGAGUAGAAUAACCCCAUUGGUAAUCAGGGUGAAAUUGUUACUUCGGCAUUACCAGUAUUCUUGAUUAUAAAGAAUUCGUGGCAGGACGGCAAAUUUCUAAACAAAAACUAGUAAUAAGAGUUAUAAAGAGGCAUGAAACUACAAAGAAAAACCCACAAUUGAUCUUAGGUCGCUGCUAGGGUAGAGAUAUCUAUUCAAUCUUUAUUGAAAAAAUCUUCCAUUUGUCAUUAUCCAAAGAGAAAUAAAGCAAUCAAGGUGGUGGCGUGCAACAAAUCAGCAUUUGCCAGCAGGCCCCAAUACUUCAGCCUCAACUACCGAUAUAUACCAUAGAUAGGUUUCAGUCCAUCCAGAAAAAGACUUCUAUGGCAACCAAAUUACACGUUCGUGCUCGUCACGAGUUUUGUUCAUUUGGGUCAAACUCAAAGCAGCUGAGCCAUGAAUAGAUAAAGAUUAAUAAAGCAAAUCUCGAGGAAAGCAUGCAUUCAUUGCUGUCCCCCUUAUUUUGUGGGUCUUGCUCAUACUAAUGGCAACAAGAAUCCAGGUCAUUGUGCUCAGCAUCGUGCAAUUUUACAGAUUGAGCAGUAUUCUUUAUGAAUUUGAUGACGUGAAGUCUUUUAGAAACCUGAUCGCCCGAUUUCUUAGACUAAACAUAAACUUGGACCCUUCGCAGGGAAGAUUAUCUUUUAAUCAUUAUGGUCAAUCAGUGUUAAUUAUUGUCUUAUAGAAUAAAGAUUUGUGCCCAUAGCAUUAAAUGCCUAGUCUUCCUUCUCAAAGAACACUAAUUAAGUCUAAACAAAUGUUUCCAGAUGAAUUUUAUUUGGUUAAAUGCUUUUUAAGCGUCAUCGACCUAUAGAAAUAUGCAAGUGCGCAUUUAUUUUACAAGAAUCAAGAGUACAUGGAAAAAUUAGCUGACUAUAUUGAAACUCUAUACAUGGAGAAAUUCGCAUCGAGCUAUGGAACUCGUUUCAGGGUGACGCGACUCUCUUAAUGUUAUUUUCUCCUCCAUCACUGUUAAAGAAAUUCGAACUCAAGACCUUAUUUAGGAAAGAAGUACCAAGGUACUCACCACCCUGUCCGACAACCAUCGAUGUAACUGCGUAAACUUGCGAUCAUAGAUAGGGCGAUCAUAGAUAAGUCCCUCAGUCCCUCUUCUCUUUUUGUCUUGUCUGCUUGAUUGAUAAACCACCUUUAGUGCGUUUUAUGGUCCUCGAAUUGAGUUGACAAGGCUACAACCAGAGGAGGACAAUCAUUUAGCACUGAGACAACUGUUUUCGUUUUGGCUUUAGCGCCGGCAACUGCUUACGAUAAUUUGUUCUGCAUUUGUCCCCAGCCACUGCAGCCCACCUCUUCCCAGUCACCAAUACACACACACAGAUUAAAACCCAAAAAGAUCCCCAGUGCAGAGUAUUGCAACAAUCCCCAUGCCGUUUUCUUGGCGUUUUAAUGAACUUUACUAUGUAUGGAAUUGGGCUAUUGGAGGAUUGACGUGAAUCUGUGUAGCAGGCGUAAGGUUAACCUUUAGCAUUGUAUUGAUCCUUCAAGGGAGUGUCCAAAUAUAGAAGCUUUAUGUUGCCAUAGGAUUUUAGGUGCUAAGAACUCUAUCCGUCGCUAUUGAAAAAAAAAAAAAAAAAUCACUAUUCGUCGCAGAAAAUGAUUAGAAGUCCUCAAACAUCCUUUUCUUGUAUGAAUUUUCAUGCAAAAGGUGAAAAUUGUAUAUAUUAUCAGUAUAUUAAUGGUAUUGAAGAAUAUAUUUGUCGUGUUGUUGUGGCAUGGUCUAGUUUUAUUGUUUGAUAAGCACUCCUUACUUAUAACAUCCUUUAUUGAACGUGUACUAUGGUAAAGAGGAUAAUUUUAAAAUCAGCGUGGUCGCCGCACACACAUUAAUAAAAUUUUCCUUUAUCUAAAAUUAUGAAACACUUUUAGACUCUCAGAAUACGAAAUAUAAUACUACAUGGAGGCUUCUAAAUAAUCAUAUGAUUUUUAGGUGAACCUGUGAGUUCUAUAUAAGUGGACAACGGUGUAGAGAGGUAAUAUGACAAUUUCAUGACAGGAUAAUUGUGUGGGUUACAAGUGUUGAUGGUACUAGCAAGCCAGGCAGACAUGGACAGGAGCCGAGUAGGUUAACUGCAGUUGAAGGUGGGGAAUCAGACCAAGAGAAUGUCAAGGCAGAGUUCAGCAGUGAGAUGUCGAGUUUGUUGGACUUUUUCUACAAAAUCAAUUUCUAAAGAUAUCUCCAUAGCAUCAUCUUCAAAUAAUCAAAUGAAGUCUCAUUCUCAGUUUGGACCAUUUUUUAACGCAUACGAAGUCAGAUGAGAAAACAAGUGCUGCGUACAGGAGCCAAAACCAUAUCCUUCAAGCAGGAAAUAUGGCGUUUUUGACAUCAAGAUAUUUUCUUGUUACUCUAUAUUGUUAUGAAUCACCUUCACGUGAUUGUGGGAAGGGAUCGACAUCGACUUCAAUCUCUGCGGGUAGCUUUUUCUUCAAGGAAAUCUGAGUACUUGGAGAAGAUUUCUCUUCAUGGACUGGUCUCAUCUGUGUAGUAAAUUCCACAAUAAGCUACUUAAAAACUAAUAGAUCAAUGGCUCUCUCUCUCUCUCUCUCUUUAAUGUAACGAUCCCUCGUCAAGUGUAUGAUUAUAUGGCCACUAAGGGUAAAAUCUUAAAACUAUGUGUCCAUAAUUUGAAAAAUCAACUGCAUAUGGUAUCCAUAAUUAAGUAUAUAUAGAGAUAAAAGAAAAUCGAAAUAUAAUAAUUGAGUCUUUUUUUUGGUGGGGUGGGGUAAUUAAGGAUUUAUCUUUUCUAAUGACUAAGGGUGCGUUUGAUAAAAUUGAAAUCUAAAAAUUGAAAAUUGAAAUCUGAAUCUAUUAAAUUGAUGAAUUGUUAAGUAUUAAAUUUGAUGUAUUUGAGCAUAUAUCACAUUAAUUUUGCCUUGUUUUGAUUACUAAACACGUAUGAUGAAUAUGUUAAGAUUUGAAUCUAUUAAAUUUAAGUGUUGAAUUGAUUAUCAAACAAUACAAUGCUGGAGUCCAACUUCGAAGGUCUGGACGGUGCGUUAGAAAAAUUGAGUCUCUAGACAAUUGGCGGCUCCGACUAAGGAAAACAUAAUAACAGCGUACGAGAAAAUCCACUCAAGGAAAGCAAUUUACGAGUAGUAUUUUGAGGAAAGUAAUUUGGUGGCGUCAGAAUGCCUUCUUUAUUAAGCACUUGCUCCCCACGCUUGUUAUUAAUUUAUUAUGGUAUCCUGAUCUUGGCACCAACCUUAACCCAAACUAUUAAAUGCCAUCACCGACAUAUGAAUUCUGGGUAAACCGUCCUUCCGGUUCACUCUUUCUUUCCAAUUGACCCAAUGAUCACCCAAACCGGCGGAAUCCAGUUGUUUUCCCUUUGGCGUAGGCUUGUGGUGAUGUUUUGUUUAUCUAAAUUUAUGCUAAAAAAUGUUUAAAAUUUUGAACGGUAUUGUGUGGCACAAGUUAUGAGGAUCAACACCCCUUUUUGUCCAGUAAGAAAUAGGGCAAUUCGUUAGCAUAACAAAAAAAAAAAAAAAAAAAAAGCAGCAGAAAACAAUUUGAAUAGGUACUUAUUUGUAAAAAAAUCAAAAAAUUAUUUGCAUGAUCAACACAUUUUUUAACCGUCCUUUUAUUUCACAUAUAUCACAUCAAAAAAAGUGCUACAGCGUAUAUCUUUUACAUAAAAUUAUCCCAAAUAAUCUACUGUCUAAACACACUUAAUAUUUCUCAAACCAAGAACCGAAGUUCUGUAAGCCAAGAAAGAAAUUAUUAUGCGAUUGCAUGGAUGGAUAAUAACGUGGCAUGGAAGUAAUUUUUGUUAAAUCAAUACUAUUAUUCUGAUUGUUUGCUCGAGUGAUGCAACCGCGGCAGUACAUAGGGAAACAAAAUCAAUUAAUCUUUUUUUUUUGUCGACGGAGUGGGUGUCCGGGUCAAGUCCGUAAAGGCGGCCCGACUAAUCCCACUUCGGUCCGGUCCAGCGCCCCCAACCAGACCUAGCACGUUAGAUGCACGGAGAAGCCGAUGUUGCUGCGGAGGUUCGACCCCAGGACCUGACGGUCCCGAGGAAGAGGCGCCAACCAAAAGCCCAUUCACGUGGGGGCAAACAAAAUCAAUUAAUCACUCUAGCUGCUUCCUAAACUAAUUAUAAUUUAAUUAUCAAAUAAUAAAUCUAAUUCUAGAACUACUAAACUUCUAAAUGUGCUUGGUCCAUUAUGGCCAGCACGCCACAAUUAUAUCUGAAUGAAACUUCAUUAUUGGUGCAUAAAAAAAGAAAAGGGCGAGAAUUUGACUUCAAACAGUUGAGUUUCCUGCUGUUUUGUCCGCAUGUAAACACAUCUAUUCAGACUGCCACAUCAUUACAAAACAAUAAUGACAGUACUCCAGAUGCUUUCUUAUGAGAGGAAUCUUCCUAUUAAUUCUUCCUCGGAGAAGAGAAGAGAAGAGAAGCCUGCACAUUUUGGAUCGUAUUUUAUUAGUACCAAAGAACCAUAACAAUUAAACGUGAUGAUAAAAGAGUUUCUUUUUCCUUCCCCCAGCCUUUAGUUGACCUAACUUACGUUGAUUAAACUGAAAGCGUAAAAGUCUUUAUGGCCAACCAUCCCCUCCUAAUUAAUGCUGGGUUUACACUGCCCGCAAGGCCAGGUAAUGAGAUUUCAGAGUUAGAGAAACGGGGACGUGGCCGCUACCGGUCUACACGAGCUACUUACCACAACAAAGGCGUGAAACUUUGCUUGUUCAUAUGGUAUAGACUCCUUCACUCGUAGCUACCGUGUUUGAACUUUGAAAUCUUAACCCUUCAGCCCGCACAACCAACCAGAAGUCAGAAACUUCCUCCCUUCCCCUCGUUAUCCACUUGAUGAAGAGUCAAGUAGUUGUUUUAAUAGCAGCAGUCAAAAUAGUCUCCACAAGACGCCACACCAAAAUAUAUAGUCAUCCCUGAUCUCUCCAAUCCUUCCAAUCUCCAAACUACUCAAAAGAUGAUGGAAAAACCAGUCGAGCAGCUGAAGAAAGAAAGCCAAACCAAGUUUGCCAAGAACGAAUCUGCAGAGACUCCUACACUCGUGUUAGUCCAGCAGAAAGAAUACCAAUCCGAGGUAAAUGGCAAAAACGAACCACAGGCCACCGCGAGGCCCCUGGAAAACCAAGCUAAGAUUUCUAAAUCGGCAGAACAACCAGCUGAUGCGGCCGCCGAUCCACUUCUUUGGGACUGUGGAAGCUCCCUGUACGACUCUUUCGAGCUCAAGUCGUUUGAACGCCAACUUGACUCGGCCAUCCAUUCAAGAACUCUGUCAAUGCCCCACUUAUCUGAUCGUCGUGUGAUUGAUGGUGGUAAUCACCACCAGCCGCCAUCUCAGCCGCCUCAGCCCAUGUCUAAGAAGUCCUCCAAAAUUUCGCGUUCGUUUCACAAGUUUCUUCGAUCUGUAUUCAAGCCCAAGGCACAAAAUGGUAACAAGAAUCCUUUCUUUCCCGCUAAUGAGCAGCAGGCCACGCGGGAUGGAUUUUACGUGGUCUACGACAUUGACAAGUCCGGGGCUCUUUCAACUAUUCCAGAAGUUUCGGAGUUCGAUGGUCUUUCACCCGAGUACAAAUCUUUGGUUACAAGAACUGCAUCCGAUCGAUUUGCCGUUAGUUCCAUGGGUAUUUCUUGUGCUUGAUUAGAUAUAUAGAAACUGCGGCAGUGUGAAUAUUUCCAUAAUCAGUAAAAUUUUAGACGUGCCUACGAACUAAACUGAAAUAAUAUUCCCUAAUGAUUGUAUAACCAGUUGUACAGUGUCAUGCUCCGUAGUGAUUGUAUUUUAUGUAUUUGGGUUUCUACCCUUUUUGUCUUUCUUAUAAUUCUGACAUUUGGCACAUCUUUAAUGCGUAUAAUGAAUAGAUUUUUCUUUCGUUUUAGAGAAAGAGAUGCAAUAGAGCCAAAGUCAAUUUUGGCUGGCUACUACUCCUAGUGACUUGUAGAUUAGGUAUGUAUUUUCCAUGUUUGGCCAAUUUCCAUAUUUGUUUUUUUAAGUUGUUCCAUGAUAAAAAAAUGGACAUAAGAGUGAAAUGAACUUCCAAAGUAACUUUAAUCCGUGAUCUCGUGGCAUUUGAGAACCUUGCCAAGGUAUAUGCAUUUAAUUCUACCUCAUCCAAUCCUUCCAAUCCCCCUUCCUUUUUUUCAGCCAUUCUAAAGAGGUGGUGGCCGUGGUUCCUUCCUUUGGGCUUAAUAAUCCUGGCGGACGACGGAUGAUGGCGUUUGCCACCAGCAGCUCUCGGAGAAACUUUAGGGCCGGGAUAAUGAUGUCACAUGCCCAUUUCAUUCCUUGUUAAGGGACUUAUGGCCUCUCCCUUGUACCUCCAAAAAAGGAGUAAAGGCUCAUAAUUGAUCCCUUGUCUGUAUCAUGUAUGUAUUAUCCUUACCUUCCCCAAUUAAUGAGGUUGUUGCAGGUUGGUAGUCCUUUUGUUUUUGAAUGAGGUUGGACCGCUCAAAAUCGUAAUCAUCAAACAGCGUUUUAAUAUGUACAGCGUAGUAAAUAACCAAACCAGUAAACAGGACAGCUCUCAGAGAUCUGCUCAAAAGGGACGGAUAACUCUCGAACGUCGGGUUGUCGGUUGAAUUAGCAUCGCUUUCACGGAAAUUAUAUGUUAGAGUACAAUUUUAUGGGAAUUUAAAUUGAUGGUAAAAAAAAAAUCAACUCUUAUAAAAUGGAGUAGAUUUAUAGUAACAACAACUUACAUUGAAUAAGGGUAUUUUAGAAAAAUUAAAAUACAACUACAUUCUUCAAUUGAGAAGUGAACUAUAGGCCCUGUUUGGAAGCUAGUUUUUUGGGCAAGUUUUUUACCUACAAGUUUUUUAACAACUUUUGCUACAGGAACCCAAAAAACUUCUCAAAAUUUUUUACCUACACACUUCAAAAUACACAAAACACACACAAAUUCCUCCACCAUCCCAACCCAAUACACAAAACACACAUAAAAAAAAUACCCCUCCCUUUGGCUUUCUUCUUCCUCUACCAUCCCAACCCAGUCCACCACCUCCGUCACCGACCACCACCACCUCCGGCGCCAUUUUCUUUUUUUUUUUUUUUGCCUUUCUCCCUCUCCCUGCCAUCCUCCUCCUUUACCCAAUUUGACUGCAUUCCUCUUUUUUUUUUUUUUGUGUGUCCCCCGCAACCCUCCCCCUCCAGCGACCAGAUCUGGUCCCAUGACCAGAUCGCAAAAGUGGAGGGGAGGGGAGCUGCGAUCUGUUCGCACAAGGGCGACGAGGCUGCUGAGGGUGACGGAGAUAGAUGAGGGGAGGAGAAAAAGGAGGUGGCAGGCAGCGGGGGUUGGCGGGGCAGAGGGAGAAGAGGGGCGGCGGCGAAGAGGGGAGGAGAAGAGGUGACGGGCGGAGGAGACGGGAGAGGAAAAGGGGUGGCGGGUGGCGGGGGAGAGGGGAGGAAUAUGGGUGGCGGGUGGCAAGGAGAGUGGAGGAAAAGGGGUGGAGAGCAGAGGGGGGUGGCGGGGGAGGGAGAAGAGGAGUGGCAGAGGAAAGAAGGGGAAGGGGAAAGGGAGGGAGGGGGAAGGGGAGAGGGAGGGUGACGGCAGAGGGAGGGAGAGGGGGAGGGGUAGGGGGUGCUGCGUUGCUGCGGGGAGGGGGGCUGGUAACGGGGAAGGGGGAAGGGAAGGAAGAAGAAGAAAAAGAGAAGAAAGAAAAGAAAAAGAAAAGAAAGAAAAAGAAAAAGAAAAGAGAAAGAGAAAAAGAAAAGAAAAAAAGAAAAAAAAAAGUUUUUCCUCUUAAAAACUUCUACAAAAAAAUUUUUCACCUUACAAAAAAUUUUACACAAAUUUUUUCAAAAACUUCUACAGUGUACUACAGUAAAGUUUUAGACAAACUCCCAAAAAACUCAGGUUCCAAACAGGCCCAUAAUUUGGAACAGAUAAAAAAAAAGAAAAACAGGACUAUCAAAGUAGGACGGAGAAAGUAUAUUUUUUCAUACAUCAAAAGAAUUGUGCACAACAAAAUUAGACGAGUAUAAGCUAAAUCGUGUAUUAAAUACAGUAUAACAAACACACAAUUUCCCGUAAUGAUUAGUGUGACAACCAUGACAAUUGCACAUAUCGUCAAACAGAUAUUAAUUACAAGCGAAGGAAAAGAGCUAAUAUGAGUCACAUGAACCAGAGAAAGAAAAGCCAGUGCCAAAGCAAAUCAAAAGAGUGCACUACUAUCGCCAUUAUGCUUCCCAAAUUACAUCAGGCGACUGAGAGUUUUGUGGCUGUAGUAGAACUCCAGCCUGGUUAGGAAUUAGGAGGAGUCCCUUCCUUCGAAAUUUCAGGGUCCAUAGGGCUUAGAUUAAAAACUUUUAUUAUAAAUGUUUUUGCAAAUAUUUUUAAAAUUUAAAACUUUGUUAAGGCCUAUUCAAAAAUAUUUUUAUCUUCCCUGACACAAGGGUUCACCAACCUCUCUCCACCUUCUCUUCUCUAGCCACCACCAGGCCUGUUUCCUCUCUCUUCUCACUCUUAACUGUUCUUUUUCUUCUUCCCUCUCAUUUUUCGUCCCGUCCUUUCUCGUGCAUCUAUUCACCUUCUAGUUGUAGGGAGAGAGAGGAGAAAAAGAAAGAAUAGGGAAAGGGAGGGGUGGUGGUGGAAAAUGAGAAGAAGAGAUAGAAGAGAGAAGAGGAGGUUGGGCGGUGGUGAAGGAAGAGGAGAGGUUGCCAAGGUGUGGGUGAUGGUGGCAAAAGGUUGGAACUGGUGGUGGCUGGAAGUAGGGGUAGUGGUAAAGAAAGAAAGGUGUGUUGAGUUAUAUUUGAAAAUUUUUAAGUUAUUUCUUUUCUUGGAAUAUUUUUGGGCUGCUGUUAUUAUAGACUUUGUAUGUAUAUAAUUUUUUGAUCGAUCAUCACAAACUACACCUACGCCUUGCCUGCAAUGGGAUAGAUACUAAACCAUUACCAGGCCAAAUAAAUGCAGUAAGGGCCUGAUCUAAGUGUCUUGUGGUAGUCAAGUCGCCACAAAGACACCUAUAUUUAUGGGAGUCAAAGUUUGAAUUCUUUGUUUUUUUUUCAAAAAAAAAACACUUAAGUUUCUUUUUCAAAAAAAAACACUUAAGUCCCUUGUGAUGGCUAAGUUGUCUAGGACAAUUGAGCACCCACAAAUACACUAAAGCACCCGCUGCAGAUUUUGUAUUUGAAAUAUAAUUUUUUCCAAGAAAUUAGAACCCAUACAUAGCCUCAAUUUUUGGUUCGCUCAAUUCCAAACACCCAAACGUGAACUAAUACCUUUUUUUUGUUUUUUUUUAGGGCAACUUGAACUUAAAAGCGCACGGACAUGUCCUAUCGCGCAGGAGCAUGUUAAUACCAAAAUGCCCCACCCAUCAGCCAUCUUCAGGACAUAGUUAGGAUCCUACCCCAAUUAAGAGAUACAGAAGACAGCCCAAUGCAGCCGUUUUGUGGGCAACACAUUUGAGUGAAUUGUAAACCCCUAAAAAUGAUUCAGGCCUAUGGCCUACUUAUCAGAAACCCAUUUAAGUGGUGUUUGUUCUGUCGUCAAUUUUAGUAUCAUUUGCAGAUUCAUUUUGCAAUGGAUAAGACAACGAUGGCAUACCAGAAAGAGUGGGAAAUAAAAGGAUUUUGACCUCCAACCUUCAUACAAACACUAACAAGUUAACAACCAUCAACGACUAUAAAUAACACACACACUAUUUAAGGAAAACUCACAAUCCAAUCCAAAAGGCAUGCUGACUUUCAGGCUACACUGAGGAUUUUAAGUAGUACACACACCACUCACAAUCGAUGUGGAAUAGAGGGAAAGGGGGAGGGGAAACACCAAGACUAUUGUCAAAGGCUCACCAACGGCUUUUAACCAUUCCAUGAUUUUCCUUAUCCACCAACAACCAUAAAUAGUACACACACACACUACCUAAGGGAAACCCACGGCUCAACCUAAAAGAUAUGCUGACUUUCACUAACAAGUUAACAACCGAAGUGACGGAUAGACGAACAGAUAAAAUUCAUACAGUUUCAUCAAUGAAAUGAUUAGUUAAAUCAAAGCAUUAUUUUUUUUCAAUACCAGACCAGGCUAAAAUUUGAAGGAAACGAAUACGAAAUAUAUAAAUAUGCAAAAUCAUUUGCAUUUAAAAUGCACCUACUUUUUUAUAUAUAAAGGCUUUAUUGUAUUCAAAAAUUUAGCCUUCAUUUCUUUUGAAAAGAAUGAUUAUUUGAAAAAAAUAUUAGUUUGAAUAAUUCAUGUAACCGUUGUUGUGAUGUAAUGUUUGUAAAAUAAAAAAUAAUUAAAAAUGUAUAAAGAUAGAAAAAAUGUGUUUAUAAUGCAAAUAAAAUAAUAUUUAGAAAAAUCUAUGCAUCAAACACACUUUGCAGUAGAAAUGUUCAAUUGAAAAUGAUACACAUAGAUGUAUUACAGAAGUUAGGACGUGGGUAGAGACAUUUGAGUACGAAAUUUCCGGUCUUUGCACCAUCACCAAAUAUAUAUAUAUAUAUAUAUAUAUAUAUAUAUAUAUAUAAGUAGGCUCAAUUGAAAAAAAUAAACCAUUUAUUCAUAAAAAGGUUGAUGUGAGGGUCAUGUUAAUGUAUGUUUGAAUUUCGCUGCUAAUGUAAAUAUUGUAUCGGUAAUGAUUUGCAAGAAGCUCUAUAAAUGAUCUAUGAUUUAGGAGGCGUUUCUUGAUCUACAGCGGUGAUUGAAACCGAAUCAAACCACACUUUCUUCUUCUUAAAAAAGAAAAAUAUCCUGUCUCAAGGACCAAUAAAUAGAGAACAAGAAUUGAGAAUUUUGGCUAUAAGCAUCAGGGCCUAAGCAAUAACAAUCAUCUUCCAUCAACAGCCGAUUCCACCAUGGAAACCAUACAAUCUCACAUAGCCUUUUUACCAUCUCCAGGAAUGGGUCAUCUCAUUCCUCUCACUGAAUUCGCCAAACGACUUGUUCUUCACCAUAACUUCUUAGUCACUCUUAUACUUCCCUCAGACGGUUCACCCAUGAGCGCCCAAAAAUCCUAUCUUCAAUCACUACCCGCAACCAUAACUCCCAUCUACCUUCCUUCGGUUAGUUUCGACGACCUCCCUGAGGAUACCAGGGUCGAAACCCGUAUCGCCCUCACCAUUUCUCGAUCUCUUCCCGCAAUUCACGAUGCAUUAUUUCAGUUGCUAAUAACCAAGCCAUGCUCACGUCCUAUCUCAGCUCUAGUGGUUGAUCUUUUUGGUUCAAAUGCUUUCCGAUUGGCUAGGGAUUUAAACAUGUCAUCCUACAUGUUUUUCACAUCGACUGCAAUGUCCUUUUCCUUACUCGUACAUUUGCCAAAGCUUGAUCAAACCUAUACAUGUGAGUAUAGGGACUUGACCGAAGCAGUGGUGUUACCCGGAUGUGUUCCACUGCUCGGGAAAGACUUUCUUGAUGCUAUUCAGGAGAGGAAGAAUGAUGCUUAUAAUCUUCUUCUCGAAUUAUGCAAGGAAUAUGGUUCCGCCGAUGGGAUACUGAUUAACAGUUUUGUGGAGUUGGAAUUCGGUGCUCUCAAGGCUUUGAAAGAAGAGGGAUGGUUUAAACCACCGAUUUAUCCAGUUGGACCGUUGAUUCAGACAAGAUCAAUAAACGAGGUUGUUCCGGAAUCAUCAGGUUGUUUGGAAUGGUUAAAUAACCAGCCAACAAAGUCGGUUUUAUUCGUUUGUUUGGGCAGCGGAGGAACUCUGUCCCAGGAGCAAAUAAAUGAAAUGGCUUUCGGUCUGGAAAUGAGUGAACAAAGAUUUCUCUGGAUUGUUCGAAGCCCGCAUCAAACCGCUGCAAAUGCUGCGUUCUUUACCAACAAAAGCGUGAAUAAUCCUUUGAAUUUUGUUCCAAAAGGGUUUUUGAAGAGAACAAAAGAAAAGGGGUUAGUGGUUCCCUCAUGGGCUCCUCAAAUUCAAGUCCUGAGCCAUGGUUCAACCGGAGGGUUCGUGAGUCAUUGCGGUUGGAACUCGGUUUUGGAGAGCAUUGUCCAUGGAGUGCCUUUGAUUGCAUGGCCACUUUAUGCGGAGCAAAAGAUGAAUGCUGUUGUGUUGACUGAAGAUUUGAAGGCUGCCUUAAAGGUCAAGGCGGAUAAAAUCGGACUUGUGGGGAGAGAACAAAUUGCAAAACUCGCAAAAGAUCUAAUUCAAGGAGAUGAAGGAAAGGAUGUUCGAGAUAAGAUGAAACAACUCAAGGAUGCUGCUGCUAGAGCUUUCGAACUGGAUGGCUCUUCUUCAAUCUCACUUGCCCAGGUGGCUCAGAAGAUGAGUGUCUUGAAAUCUAAGUGACAAUUACGGAACACCACCAAUUGUUGAAUGUACUCUUGGCUAGCUAGUUGCUUUCCUGUUCGAGUGCUCUAGAAACUAGAAAUUUGUUAGGAUCUUUGGGAUGAAUUCAAAUUUGUUUUGGAUCUUAGCUAGCUAGUUUUGGAUCUUUUCUUUCUAGUUUCCAUUUACACUACGCUUGCUUCCUAAGCUAAUUCCUUCCUAGUAUUUUUCUCUUCAAUUUAUUAGGCCCGGUUGAUGAAUUCAAAUUCCCUCGGAUCCCCUCCAGUGGAAUGAACCACAACAAUUUACAAAAGAAGACAGAAAAGAAAAUACAGACAAUGAACUUAAUGUCGUCCAGCUCCUAAGCUGCCCCUUCCUUUCAGCUUUCAGAAUGGUAAAAUUGAAAAGAUGCAUUAAAAUAGAGGAAAGAAGAAAUGGUAGGGCUGGCCGUUGGAUGUCAGCACAGAAAGCAACUGGGCAGGAGGUGACAUUUCAACUGCUCUAUUCGUCGUUACACUGAAAGAAAAUAUCAUACUUUUCAUUUUUUAAUGUCCAAAAACAUUUGUUAUGUUAGAAAAUUCAAAGAACAGUAUCUUUUUUUAAUAUAAUGUUUCUUUCUAAUUAUAUGUAAGAGAAAAAUUAGAAAGAGAAGUACAAAUAUCACAAGUAAACCACUAUUCUUAAAAAGUUGGAUUUCCAAAACAUAACUAAAUAAUUGGGACGGAGAGGGAGUAUUAUUGUUCGUCUUAUUAUUUUUUUGGUAAAAUUUCAGAAACUUUCUCUAAGGUUUUUGACAAUUUCAUUUGCCUCCCUUUAACUUCUGAAAAUCUCAAAUAUCUCCCCUAAUAGGGAAUUGGGAUCAAUUGCUAAUAUAAUGUGUGGCAAAAUGACUAUUAUAUCCUAAGUAUUUAGUGAGAUUAAUUAAACAAUACCUACAAAAAUCGCUAUUGGACUAUAUUUGAAGAAAAAAAAUAAAAAUUUGGCCAUUUGUCUUUAGCAAGUUGGUGUGAAUUUCUCCUCCAAAUCUAGAUGGCACACUUUUCUAAUAGUAAUUACGUACUAUUAAAAAAGUGUGCUAUAUCAUUUAAUUUUUUAAAAGUUUUUAAUGUUGGCCUUUAUAUUUUGUUGAGUUGCUUUGCAAAUUUAGAAUUUAGUUAGUCAAAUCAUCUAAAAUUUGCUAAUGCAUUUGCUACAUAUUUUUGAAAAUUACCUCCAGACUUUUGAUUUUUUUUGCCUAGUUUUAAUCCAUUUAAUAGUUUCUCAAAACAAUCGUUGUAACAAUUGGUAAGGGCAUUUUUUAUGCCAAUUUACGUUCUCUCUCCAACAAUUAUUUUCCUAUUCUACCUUUUUUUGAUUUGGGAUUACAUGUUACACAAAAGUUUCAAAUAAGAGAGCUAAAUGAAAAUUUCAAAAUUUGAGAGGAACUGAGUGAAAUUGUCAAAAACCUCAAGGGAGGAUUUUGAAAUUAUCCCUACUUUUUUUUUGGUAAGAACAUUUCAACUAUUAUCACUCAUAAACUUUUUCGUGCUUUUUAUGUUGGUACACAUAUUUUGUCCUCCAUUAGACUCAUGAAUGCUCUAAGCAUUAUGAUGUUUUCUUUUCUAAGAUAUGCUGGCCUAUGUGUUAUACUCCGUUAGUUAAAAUUUUUACUUAAUGUCAUGAUACACUAUUGACUGUUAUGAGAUGAAACAGAAAAGAAAGUGAAGCAUUCAGUUUUGUUAGCCAUCUAAAAAUGCAACGAAAGAUAGUUGACACAUAUAAAGAAUAUGUGGGAAAAAGUAGUUUAUUAUUGUACCAACAAAAAAGCAUGUCCAAUUCUUAUAUUUCAGUAUUGUUCUAUGCUUGAUGCAAACUAAUACUCAGCAAAAAGUAUUGUUCUGUAUUUAAUGCAAACUAAAGCAGCAUUGAUUUGAUAUUGUGUUCCCAAUAAAUGUACAUUGCAAAAUGAGUGCAUCCAUGUAUAGGUAAUGUAACUUUGGUAUAAUGUUCCUAACACAACACCAAUGUGUCUCUGUCUAGGGGUGGCAAUGGGGCGGGGGACACCUCGCCCCGUCCCCCGUCCCGCUCCGCUUCCCUCGCAGGGCACCACGGGAAAAUAUUAAAAUUAAAUUUUAUUAUGUAAUUUCAUUAUAAUUAAAUUUGAACAAAUAAUUAAGUACUAAAAUAUUAACACAUCACCAAAUUAUUAUUCAUUAUAAUUUUACAAUUGAAACUCAUAAAAAUAAUUAAACAAAGGUUAUUUGAAUACAAUCUAAUAUGAUAAAAGAAAUAUAACUAAAAUAACCAAGUUUUCACUUUUGAUACAAAUACAAUCACUAAAUUAUUAUUGUAUUUUUUUUUUGAAAAAAAUGUUAUUGUAUUAAGUGUAGUUAAGAAUUUAACAUAAAUAUAUUAAUAAAGUUAGUAUAAAUAAUUAAUAAUUUUUAUUAAUAGACAUGUAUAAUUAAUAGUAUAAUUGAAAAUAUCAAUAUAUAUAUAAUUAUGUACAUAUAUAUAUAUAUAUUUUCAAAUGCCCGUUUCUAAACGGGGAGAAAAAAUUCCCCCCGCCCACGCUCCAAUGACCCCCCGUGGGGAGGGUGCCCGCCUCCGUCCCCAUCCCCAUCCCCAGACUCGGUCCACAUCUCAAAGUCUAGGAAGAAAUUAUGAUCAUAAGAAAGCUCGAAAACGCAAAUAAUGGUUUAAGAAGAAUAUAUCCACGGAAGAGAUUUCACUAGCAACUGAUUUAAAUUGCAAGACGAAUGUGAUUGCUACAUUUCGUUCAUGUAUUCAACACUGUUACAUUUCGGGUCUGAAUUUGGACAGACCACAGAUAUUUUUGACGUUUUUUCUUUUCAUAUUCGUCUCACUAUUUUUCUCUUAUGUAUUGAAGGACUUGUGCAUAUUCUUCUUCUCAAUCAUUAUCGUUUGGAUUGUUAUUUUUAAAAAUUUUUAUAAAAAUAUAUAUUAUGAUGAUUUGAUAUAUAUAUAUAUAUAUAAUUAAAAAUACAUUUCCAAAAAAUAUAAAAAAUUUUCCGUAAAAAAUCACGAUCCAAACAAGGCAAUACAGUCUUACUUUCAAGAAACUGGCACAGUACCCAAAACACCGAGAAGAUAGAGCAUGCGAUGCAUGUAUUGGUGGAUGCGUUGCCAUCUGAAAAGGAAUCUAAAAAAUAGGCAGACUCAUUCCAUUACCUAUUGAGUAUAUAGUAGCGAGUGAUUCUGUAAUUCCUCAUUCCACACAAUAUUUAAUAAAAUCACCAUGGAAACCACAAAACAGGAAGAAGCUCGUCAUCUUCAACCUCACAUCAUCAUACUUCCAGGUCCAGGACUGGGUCACCUCAUUCCCUUCACUGAGCUCGCCAAACAAACGUCUUGCCUUACACCAUAACUUCUCCAUAACCUUCAUAAUCCCCACCGACGGUUCUCCUACCAAUGCCUAGAAGGCCUUCCUUGAAUUCCUAGCAUCAACUCCAUCUUUCUUCCUCCGGUAAACAUCCAUGACCUCACAGAAGACACUCCUGUUGAAGUCCGCAUUUCACUGACCGUAAACCGCUCGCUCCCGUCCCCCCGCCGCGCGUUAGUUGGAACUAAUUUCUCAAUUGGGUCAUCAUCAUGUAGUUGUACUCGUAUUUGUGCAUUGGUUGUUGAUCUUUUUAGUCUUUCAGCAAUUGAUGUGGCAAAAGAAUUUGGCAUCCCAUCUUAUGUAUUCUAUCCCACCACAGCUACGUGCUUCUCCUUGGUCUUGCAUAUGCCGGAGCUGGAUAAAAUUUACCCCGGCGAAUAUAGGGACUUGCCUGAACCAAUCGAGUUACCCGGGUGUUUCCUGUUGCACGGGAAGGACUUCAUGGACCCGGUUCAAGAUAGGAAGGGUAAGGCCUACAAAAGGUUGCUGCAGAUACGCGACCGCUACAAUUCAGCACAAGGGAUAUUGAUUAAUAGUUUUAUGGACUUGGAACCGGUUCCAAUUCGGGCUCUGAAGGUAGGUAGAGUAUUGUCCUUGAAACCACCGGUUUAUCCGGUUGGACCGUUGGUUCAAGGCAGCGGUAUAAUAUAUUAAUAUGAUUAAUAUCAUCACGCGGAAUACACGAAUCUGAAUCGCCAGGAUAUUGUCUGAUGAGCAGCCGGAGGGGUCGGUUUUGUUUGUUUCGUUUGGGAGCGGGGGAACGUUGUCUCAGAAGUAGUUGAAUGAAUUGACUUUUGGACUGGAAAUGAGUGAAGAGAGAUUUCUUUGGGCUGUUAGAAGCCCAAAUGAAUUCGCAGCCUUUUUUGGUGUCGAAAGCGUGGAAAGCCUGUCGAUGUUCUUCCCGAGGGGUUUUCAGAGAGGACUAAAGAGAAGGGUCUUGUGGUAGCCUCAUGGGCUCCUCAAAUUCAAGUCCUCAGCCAUGGUGCAACUGGGGGUUUUCUUACUCAUUGUGGGUGGAACUCAGUUCUGGAGAGCAUAGUGCAUGGGGUGCCUUUGAUUGCAUGGCCACUUUUAUGCUGAGCAACAGAUGAAUGCUGUAUUGUUAACUGAAGAUUGGAAGGUUGCCUUGAGGGUUAAGGUGGAUGAAAAUGGACUGGUGGGGAAAGAAGAAGUUGCAAGAUUGGCAAAAGGCCUAAUUGGAGGAGAAGAAGGAAAAGGACUUGGGCUCAAGAUGAAAGAUCUUAAAGGUGCAGCUGCAAGGGCUUUGAGAGAGGAUGGAUCAUCGGUUAAGGCACUUGCUGAAGUGGCUCAUCGAUGGAGUUCCUUUAACGUGCAAAAGUAAAAUUCUUCUACAUCACAGUCCACCACCAACUCUGAAAUUUUGUCCAGGGUGACUUAUAAAUCAACGGUUUCCAUGUUUCUUUUACAAGAAAAAAAGGAGCUCCAUUGAGGAAUCGAGCUUGUUUUAACUCUUGAAAAGAUGAGCUGGAUUAAGGAAUUAAGCUUGUUUUAAUGUAGCAUCACUUCAAGACUUACACUUGAGGUCCGUUUGAUAAAACUGAAAUCUGAAAAAUAAAAUUGGAAUCCAUUAAAUUAUUAAAUUGUUAAGUUAUUAAAUCAAAUACAUUUAAAUGUAUAUCAUAUUUAGUAAUAAGUAAAUAGUUUAUCAUUUAUUUUUGAGAGUAAAUUUUACCACUUAAUUAAUUCAUAUAUUCAAUUUUUUAUUUUCAAACGCGUUUGAACAUAUUAAGAACUGAAUUCAUUAAUUUUAAGUAUUGAAUUAGAUUAUCAAACAAAACCUUGAUCACUCCCAAACUUUUGAAUAUUAAUCAAGCUAAGUAUUCAGCCCACAGCAUUCUCCUUCAAAGGAGUAUUUGCAUCCUCCUAAAAUGCCGAAAAGAGCAGAGAGAGCCCUUAGUCACUGGGCCCGUUAGAGAGACAGAAUUAAAAGCAGCCCAACCCAGGGCCAUAUGAGUAAUCUUCAAUCAUAGCAUGUAAACCAAUUACCUAGUAGAGAACAUUAAAAUUUUCAAAUGAACCCAAAAACCUAAAACCCUAGAGAAAAAUCUGAGAAAGGGGUUUAGGAUCAGCAGAUGGAGGAGACACUACUGACACUGGAUCAGGAUACUACUUGUACAGCUUGGAAUUAUAGUGGGCAGAGACUAGCUGCUGGCUCCAUCAAUGGGACAUUAGCCAUUUACGAUUCAAAGGAUCCAGCUUCUUCAUCCUUCACCUGCACUUCCAGAUUUAAGGUGCGUCACAAAAAUUUACUGCACCCAUUUCUUGCCUUUCUUCUUUUUGCCUUUUUUAAUGUGCAAUUUGCUAGUUGCUGCUAUAAAUGCAGUGGGCUUUAAAUUGUUAAGUUAAUAAUCAUCUUUUCUUGAAGAUUUUGUUGGGUUUUGUUUAAUUUGUGAAAAGGAUAUAGAUUUUAGUGACAAAAACUUAUUCGAAAACUUACUCGUUGAGCAGGGUUUUCUGUGUUGAGAAAGUAACAUUUCUGGGUGUAGUUCUUCUUAUCACUGCUCUGAGGCAAUAAAGAAAAAUAAAAGGAACUUUCACUGUAGUGGAAAUGCUUCAUUUUCUAAAGUUGUAGCUUUGGAGUUGAUGUUUCUGUGAACUUAAACACUCAAAUUAGUUGUUUGUUCUUUAUAUGGUCAACUGCUGUAUUCUGAUGUUGCAUUUGUCUGAGAUCCAAAUUCCAAACAUGAUGCAAUUUCUUAUGCAAAUUAGGUGCAAGAAACAAGCAUUCUGAAAAUUGUCUGGGUUCCCCCAGAGUUUGGAGACGCAGUUGCCUGCAUUUGCUCUGAUGGAAGUUAUUCAUUGUGGGAAGAAGUUGUGGAAGGUACUUAUUGAGUUUAAUACACGGUGUUUAUCCUUGAAGUUAUAGUCCUAAAUGAAAAUUGUUACCACAAUCUUUUGAAAUGCUGGGCUUGUUUAGUAGGACCAAUCAGUGCAUCAAAUGUUUAAUCUUAGACCAUGUAACCUGACUCUCAUCAUUCUAUUCGUUUGGUAAUUCUUUAGAUGCUGAUAUUCUCCAGUGGAAGCUGUGCAAACGCUUUGACAGGAACUCAAGUCGAGUUUUAGACAUUCAAUUUGGAGUCUUUGCCACAUGUUUGAAAUUGGUAAGUUUUGGACUUAGUUGUUGACGACUUCAAUCUCAUUAUGCCUGUCAUGUCAUGAACAAUUGACAAGGGCUUAUAGCAAAAGGAAGAACUAAAAGUUCUGCAUUUCUUCAACCACCAAAAUCUAAUAGUCUGCAGAGUAUUACAUUGUAAUUAUAUUGAAGAAGGCCCGGUAACAUCUUUUCUCAUUAUUUGUACUUUCUGAUGCAUGUGUGAUCAAUGGGGAAAUUACUGAUAGAAUUAUCUCUUAGAUAUAUUGUCUAUUACUGUAUCAAUGUGUUGAAGAAGUUACUCUGUAUUUUUUUGCCGCAUUGAUUCCUCAUGCUAUGUUUUACCUAGUCUUUGAAGCUUGAAUAAUCCAGCAUGCCUGAUAUAACACUCUUAAGCCUUGUUUGCAGUGACACUGUAUAUUGUACUUGAAAAAAUUGAGAAACUGUUUCUGGAUAUUUAAUAACCAUUGCUACUCUACAUUGAAAUUUCUAGUAGUGGGGCAAUGGGAAUUACAAAUUCCAAUUUCUGAGCCGAAAUAACUUGUAAGGUUUUUCUAUUUUUCUGCAUCACUAUGUGCCUCGUAAGUGGCCCCCUUCUUUGUUUUUUGGUUCUGCAUCAGUGUGUGGCUUUUAAGUGGCCCCCUUCUUUUUGGGUUUUAUUUGUUGUUGAAGGAAAAACUCCAAUUAGCCAAUGAGUGAAUGCUUUGUUGUUCACUUAAUGGUACUUAAAAGUAAGUUUAUAGGGUUAUGAACACAGGCUACAUAUGUUGAGUGCUUUUUCUACUCUAUAUUAAGUCAUUAUUCUGUAGGUUGUUGUUCAAAAAUUUGUAGUGCCUGUUAAGGUUGCAUUGCUUUUUUGUGUACAUAUGGAAGAAAAGACUUGUUAUCCUUCCAUUCACUACACAAAGCUUCUUUUAUGAAUAUUGAUAAUAAAUGUUCCUGAUAAAGUUGUGUUAGUCAUGUGUACAUCUCGAAGGAAAGAAGGGUAGCUUCUGAAAGUGAGAUGCUACCUGAUACAAUCUUCCUAUAGUAAAACCUCUGUAAUUGUCUACUUGCAGCACUCAACAAGUAGAGUUCUUGUACGCUCAAUUCUGAGGUACAGGGUGUAUAUGCACCAGUUUAAUGACAAUGCAGUGUUGUUUCUGCUGUAUAUACAUCUGUGGCUGGCUUCCUAUUUCUCAUUAAGGAACCUUUGGAUGAUUUUUGUGACUUUCAAUGGACUUAAUUAAUCACCAAAAGGAAAUGGGCUAAUAGUAGAACUCCUGAUGCGAUGCUCUGAUGUAUAUUUAGGCAAAAUUUUUCUAACAGGAUGAGGGAAUCAUUCAGCCCUGCCCUAUUGAAUGAAUAAGGAGAGACAUAUUCCAUGACUCUGCCAUUCUUAUGCUACUCAUUCUUUACUCCCCCUGUAUCUUCUUAAAGGAGUUUUUGCAAGAAAGAGUUGACUUUUGCCCCCCUCCUGGAGUUCAAAACAUUUACAGUUCUGCUAAUCUCCAUUCUUAUCUUAUGAUUGAACUGCUCUGGCUUAGCUAAUAUAACUAAUUUAAAUUUGAGUUUUUUUUUUCGUUCCUGCUGUUAUUUAUUCCAUAUGUGCAACAAGCUGCUUAAUUAUGUCACUUUUGUGUCUUUUCCAGGUUGCUGCAUACUCAGAUGGCCAAGUGAAAAUCUUUGAUCUCCUUGAUCCCCUGGAUUUGAUAAAUUGGCAACUUCAGGUGGUUGUUCUAUAUCACUUAAUUACUUUAUAUUACUGCAAACUAGUCACAGCAAGUAUUGCUGCGAUUUCUGUCAUCUUCGGAGUUCCAAGGCUUUUGUGUCUUAUAGCAAUUGUUCUCCUUUUUCCCUUUAUUCUCUCUUUCCUUGUUUUUUUUUAAUAAUAUUCAUGGUUCAAGUAUUGAGUAGAUUUCCCCUGCCCGCUGCACCUUCAGAUCCUAAUACUUGUAUGUGCUGGAAGACUUUUAAUAUUCACAUUAACAAACAUGAUAUUUUGAUCUUUUGAGAAUGGUGGAUCUGAAUAUUGUCCUUGUAGGCUGAAUUUCAGAAUGUCAUUGAAUCUACAUCCAAAUUUGGUAGACCUUCGUGCUUGUCUGCAGCAAUGUGUUGGAAUCCUCAAAGGGGUGAACUCCAGCAGUCAAGCUUUGUUUUGGGUUUCAAUUCAGAUAUUCCGCAACUCAAUUCCUCUAAGGUAUUACAGAUUCUUUCUUCCUUCUUUCUUCACCUCACGCUACAGCCACUUGAUGGAAACAUAAGGUUUUGACUCUUUUACCUGUUUGAUAUUCAGCAUCAAACCUUGUUUGUUCACAUAGUUUAUUAUUAGAAUAACUAGUUACAAAUGUUUAGUUUCUCACAGUGUGCUGUUUGUUGUAUGAAGAGGAUCCUGUCAAUUGUUUAACUGUUAAGCUUGUGCAUGCCUUAAAUGUCCCAUAGUUGUUAUUGCAUGAAAUGCACAUAUGUUGGUCCAUAUGGUGAUGCAUUAUCAUGAGGUAGCUUCCAUUUCUGUUAAAUGUGAGGGGUGGCACUGUAUGUGUUAAUUGAGAUUUUUUAUCUUGUCCAAUUGAAAAUCAUCAUUGUCCAAGUAUUGAGUGAACAACGAAAUGCCGGGUGAGACUGGCCCUGGAGGUUUCCAUUGUAUGACCUUUUUAUAGGCUUCCACAGGUUUGGGAAUUUGAUCAGGAUCACCAGAGAUGGCUACCUGUUGCUGAAUUAGCUUUGCCAGAAGAUAAGGGUGAUCAAGUUUUUGCUGUUGAAUGGGCACCAAAUAUUGGAAGGUGGCAUACAGCUGUUCAUUUCAUGAAUUUGUCCUUUAUACAUGAGAUCCCUAAUAGGAUUUGGUUUUUCUGAUUUGAGAUUAGCUUUCAAGAGCAUGGAAUCAAAACAGCAAGGAGAUAAAGCUAGAUAGCAAUUUAUUGAUGUGACAAUUUUAGGUUAUGAUUAGUCUACUUUGUCAUAAGGCACUUGAUCCAACAUUUCUGUUCCGUUCUUUUGACUUCUAAAGCAAGAUUUUGGUUAUGAAAAAGUUAUAGGUGAUUUAGAUCUUGAAGCAUUCCAAUGCUUUCACCUAUGUUAAAUUUAAUAAUUUGAAAUUGUGGAGCACAUUAAACCAUUUAUAAAGCUGCAAGGACUACCAUAGCACAUUAUCAGUUAGCCAAAACUACUAUAUGCUACCAAGACAUGAGUCUGGACUUUAUCAUCUCACUGGACCUCAGAUCCUUUACUUAAUUGGUGCAAUUGGAAUAAGAAUCAGAUUAAAAUAUUCAAGUUUAAUGAUGGUGGAUAAGAGCAUUGUACUUUGUGCAGGCCAUAUGAAGUGAUAGCAGUUGCAACUUGCAAGGGAAUUUCGAUGUGGCAUGUCGGAUCAAACCAUGAUCCUAAUGGGAGGCUCUCCGUGGAGAGGGUUGCCUUGCUCUCAGGUCAUAACGGCGAGGUACCAUUUGCUAAAGCUUAUGUACUCCGAUGUCAUUUUCCUUUCAGGUGUUAGGUAGCAAUUCUGAAUAGUGGUAUGAAACUACUUGUGCAGCUUUUCUGGCUUUUGGGUGUGACAUCAUAUUGCACUCUAAUCCCAAUAUGGUUUUGCAAUGCUUUUGUGUCCGUGGACCUUUUACCAAUCUUUACAAAUUUUUCUCUACUAAAUCUUAUUGUCAGUUGGCACGUAUGAACUGUGAAAUGUUUUUACAUUGAAUUGUUUAUCCUUGCAUCUUUAACCUCCAGCUCACCUGGCACACCAGUUAUUUUUGGGUUGACAAAAACAUUAUAUUUCUUGUAUAGGUUUGGCAGAUGGAGUGGGACAUAAGCGGAAUGACAUUGGCCACCACCGGCAGCGAUGGAGUUGUCAAGUUAUGGCAAUCUAACCUAAAUGGGGUUUGGCAUGAGCAGGCUCUAUUUGAGCCAACCAGUUAGAUUGCUUCACUGUUAUAGAUGCAGAAUUUGGGUUUGCUCGUCUUUCUGACUCCUCUUGGAUUGUAAUUCUUGGAUUCGAAUUGGAUUGGAGGCACUUGUGCUAAUAUUUGACUGUAAAAUUGCAAAUGUAGUUCUCACGACAGUUACAUGUGGCUCCACAAGAUGGUAAUUACAAGAGCGAUGAUAAUACCUUUAACCAGGCAACUGGAGAAGUUGGGACCAUUCUGCUUUGUCCACUAUAACGUGAUCUACUUGAUAUUGGGGAAGAGGAGACCGAUGGUCCUGAUGGAUUUGACGAAAUUCAGAAAAUUGGGAUUUUUUCCGCAAGUGAAAGGCCUUGAUUGACUUCAGGAUUUCUUACUUAUAAUUCUUUCCAUCUUAUCACUCAAUUCAAUCCACCCUCAAACUGGGAUAUAUAUGUUCGAAUACAAGGAGUCAAAGAUCUUUUAUUAGGCCAAGCCAAUGCAAAAAUAACGAUACUGGAAAAAAAAUUGGAGAUAGCAAAAGCGAGAAACAACAGAAGGUAGAACUCUUUACGCGGAAUGAAUCGUCUACUUUUGACUUUUGACUACUUGAAUCUUCUUACAAAAUUGUUGUUGUGAAUUUGUUUUGGAAUUUUGUCUUUAAAGAAGGAAAUGGCAAUUUCUUGAACACCCUCAGUUUGUAAAUUUUACUUCGGUUGACUGCAAGUGUGGUGCUGCAAACCUUGUAACACAAUCACUACAAGCCCUUACAAUUUCCUGUUGGAAGAAUAGUUUACUAGAUGCACAAACACUGGAAAUUUUCAUACUUUAUCCCCCUUCUGUAGCAGAAUAUAUAUGCAGGAACCAAAUGUUUUUGCCUUUUCAGAUGAUGCAAACAAAAGAAAUACAAUUAACCUUUAGUAAGGUUGAAUUUAACCAUUAACAUUUAACGGAGACCAUCAACAACGCCUUUGAUCAAUUCCAAUUCCGCUAUCCAUCAUCUCUUAUGGCUCAACGACUUGUGCAAACUAGCUUAGGUAAUGUAGUAAAUUUUUUUCUACUUUCUACAAACAGCAAUGAAUUUAUAUCAAAUACCAGUGUGAAACCGUCCUUCAAACAAGCAUAUUACUUGGGUAAAUCAUUUUUUACCCGCAUGUGGUUUGGUGAUUUAUCAUAUUACCCCCCAUAGUUUAAAAACCUAUACAUAGUCCCGUCACAGUUUGAGUUAAAGUAUCAUUAUUAGUUUUUUUUUUUUUUUUGUUAAAACUAAUGAUCAAUAUUAAAAAAUCAAAGCGAAACAGUUAAAUUGACAAAUUCACUUUCCACUACUAUUUUUUCUCUUUUUCUUUUCAUGUCUAUUUUUUUUUAUUUUUUUUUCCUUUGGGAAGAUAAGAGAUGAUUUUGAAAGAUUGUACUUUUGGCCUACUAAAUCUUAACUUUCUCCAAAUACAAAAAAGAAGAAAGGAAAAAAAAUAGAUAAAUAACAAAUAGAGAAUACUAUUAAAGAUUUGGUUUAAAAUCAUACAAUAAUAUUUUCAUUUAAAGAUUUAACAUUUUCUAUUUCUUAUUUAUCUAUUUUUAUGUCCUUUUCUUUCCUUUUUUUUUUUUGUAUUUGGACAAAAAAAGAAAAAAAAGUAGUAAAAAGUUAAUUUAUUAAUUUAUUAGUUUGACUUUGACAUUUAGUUUUUAGCCUAGACCAUGGGUGGAUUGUGUAUAAAUUUUUAAACCAUAUUGGAGUUAUGUGGUAAAACAUUAAAUCAAAGUAAAAAGUAAGUUAUCCUAUUUACUUUUUCGAUUAAUCUUCUAUACAAUAAGAAUGUAUACAUUGUCUCACAUUGUAUUGUAUUAUUAACCUAAGUAGCACCGCAUGUAUCAUGGAUCUGAAGGUGAUAAUAUAUAUUCUAUCAAUAUAUAUAUAAGAUUUACUCGUACUUUUUCGUCUUCCACGUAGUAAUCUCAUGAGAUCGCACGAAAUGUUUUUGAGCCAACGGCAUAAAUCUUAUACAUGCCUAAAAUAAAGUAUUAAGCUACUCCCAUUAAAAAUCCUGAUGCCUGUAGGAGUCUAGCAAAACUGUUCAUUGUAUAUCCACAGUCUGUAUGUUUUACGUAAUUAGUGCUUGGUGUCUGAUUUUAUCCUCAAUUGUAAGCCCAACAUCUGAAUGCCCAAAAUAAUUGGGCUGAGCCUUCUUGUGUGUACUUGUUCCACCGACUACUAGAGCCUAGAUAUGAACAAGGAUGUUUGUUUGAUUGUUACUAGAACACCGGGAUAGAAGCAGCGACCGUGCAAACAUGUUUUAGGAAAGUUAGAAUUCCAGAAUCAGUAGGUAUUCGACGAAUCUGCUGAUUUACAUUGCAUUGCACUCACACGUAUCCCUACAUAUAUGUAUAGACACCUCCUCUCUGCCUCCACAAACUUUUCUCCCCAUUCUUCUCUGUGAUCAAGAAACGUUAAAGAUGGUGAGAAAGAAAGUGGACAUCGUGAAAAUUGAGGAUAAAUCAAAAAGACAAGUGACUUUCACGAAAAGGCGGCAAGGGCUGUUCAAGAAAGCCAGUGCACUUUGCAAUAUUAGCAAUUAUGAGAUUGGAAUCGUCACUUUUUCCCUGGCCGGCAACAUGUAUGCCUGGGGACAUCCCACAGUUGACUCCGUCCUGCAGCGUUACAUGGCCUACAGGGCCCAGAAACCUGAUGAAAAUCAUCAAGAAAACGAAACUUCUCCAGGCGAUCACCAUCAGAACAAACGGGAGGUGAGUCUGGCUUUGUCUUUAUCACUACCUGCAGAUGAAAAAGAGACUCCUAAAAGAUCUGACGAAGAGAAGGCUGGUCAGGAGAAGGGUUUGGUGUUGAAGAACAACAAGAAUAACAGUAGUAAUCAAGAAGGGGAGAAGAGAGUGGAGGGGCAUGCAGCAGCGGCGAAGUCAAAGGUGAUGGCCUCAUGGAAUUUGCCAAAAGUUGAUGAUCUAGAGAUUGAUGAACUUGAACGACUUAUGGCAGAUAUGGAAGAGAUGAAAAAGAAGGUUGUUGAUCGCGCUAAUCAGAUGAAAAGCAGUGCUGGUCGAGUUCCAAGUUCCUAGUCUGCCUAAUUAGUUGGUACAUAUUUCGGGGGAGAAGAUUUCAAUCUUACAAGUCAUUCAAUUGUUAAUUGCAAUCGUUGGUCUGAAAGUCUACAAUUUUUUUUUUUUUGGGGUUUUUGAAGGUUUGGUCAUGUUUCAGCCAGCCAUUGGCAGACAGGUAUUUAGGUGAGUGAGCAGGGAUCAGUAAUUAGGACUUAGUAGUUAAAUGGGGUUUUGUUUGAGUUCAUAGGACGAUGGACAAUAUUGCUGCAUGUUCCUUUUCCCCUUUCUCCUCAGAAUGUGGCACUUCUACGUUUAAUUUUUCUUUGUGCCUUAAUAUGUGCCGGGAGCAAGAUAUGCACUUUGUCCGACUAAAGUUUCUUCUUUCCUACAUCACAGGCGAACCACAUUAUAAUGACCUUAACCGCACCGGCACCGGCACCGGCACCGGCCCAGGCACCGAUUCCAUUUGUUUCACUUGAUUUUCACCAAUAAUAAGCAGUAGUAGAACUUUUCAUAUAAAAAUUCUUUAAUCAUGUUGAAUGACUUUGCCCGGAAAGGACUCGGCAAUGUCUUUCUCAUCUAAUUCCAACCUUUGGGCUUUUGGCACCUGGGCAUUUGGGCCUACUGGUUUCCCUCCGGCCAUUUUAGUUCUCGAAAACAGGAUAAGGCUCUGCUCAUAUCCAACACAAUUUUCCUCCAAAAAUAAAUAAAUAAAAAGACACAAUUUUCCUCAAUAUCACCCUUUAAUUUCCAACGCAGAACUGCAGGUACACAACUGUAAAACUACGCGUUGUGCAAAAAUGAUAUCAGCGAUGAACUCCGUACAACCUCUCUGGAGUUUGAAGAGCCCCAAAUUGUCACUGGGUUCUUCUUACUCUUACUCACUUCGGCCUAGCGUUUCUCAGACAAAUCUUGGGAGUAAAAUCAAACGAUCCAAGUUUGGCAGGAGAUUCUUGGCAAAUAGAGCGAGACUUGUAGUGUGUGGUGGGUUUCUUUUGCCAGUGGAUCCCUGGGCACCUAAUGUUGAUUCACAAAGCAUAGCUCCACCGCUCUUUGCUUUAUCUCUUUUCCCCUACAUUGGUUUCUUGUAUUACAUCACCAAAUCCAAGUCUGCCCCAAAACUCACUCUUUUUGGAUUCUAUUUCCUGCUUGCCUUUGUUGGUGCCACCAGUGAGUUUCUUGCUCUUUUCCUGUCACUGAAUUUCUUGUGUUUUCUUUGGGGUGUGAACAUGAAGAAAGUUGCAAUUAUCCCUUUGUCUUUCCCCCUUUUCCGCGUAUUCUUUUCAAAAGAAAGCCAUCUAUCAUAUUCAUCAAUACUUAAUCCUUUUGCCAACUAUAACUGUAUUUACAAAUAAUCAAAUAGUUCUGCUCUUUUGAUUUCUAAUUCCGAUUGUCCUUCUUAUCUAUUAUGACUAUAACAAAUCUAAACUAGGUAUGAGUUGCUAGUGGCUUCUUAAUGUUUUCUGGUUCAACAUCUGGAAUUAAACAAUCAGUUCCCUGACUUGGUGUACCACUUGGAAAGUGAACAAUGUGCGCUAUGUUGAGUGAAGUUUCUUACCAUUAAAUUGACUGCAAUUGCUUUUGCCAUCCUAUGCUUCAUAUUUUUGCUACCGAGAGCUACUAUUCCACACCACUAACAUUUUGCAUCUUGGUUAUUUCUGCCAGUCCCAGCUGGAAUAUAUGGUAACUACUGUCCCUUAUCAAAAUUUUUGAUGCAAAUCAAGUACAUCUUCCUCAUAGUCUAAAAUUGUCUAAAUUUUGUGCUCUUGAGCAGCAAAAGUGCAAUAUGGAACUUCCUUGUCCAAUGUAGAUUGGUUGCAUGGUGGAGCUGAGUCACUGCUGACUUUAUCCAACUUGUUUGUUGUUCUCGGGCUGAGGCAAGCUCUUCGAAAGUUGAAAAAUGCAGACGAAACCUCCUCUAGUUUGGCUUCUGGUAUUGAAACGGAAAAGUCAUCCAAUGUCAAAUUUUAAGAGAACGGACAUUUUAUAUUGGAUACUUAUCCUUGCCAAUGUUUAUACGUAGCUAAUUCCGUCACCUCUGUCUUUGGACAACUUUUGGCAUACAUUUGAUCUAGUAUUGACAGUCUGCUGUUUGCGAAAAUCAUGCAAUUUGGUUGUGAACCUAAUUUUCCAGGUUGAUUCUGUAUCGUGUUUAAAUAAUCAUCCUGAGACAAUAUUAAUGGAGCUGAAACCCCAUCCACCCUCCAGAAAGGACAGAAGAAAAUAUUAAUCAUGUUACAUUUUUCAUAUCAGGUACCGUAAAUAGUGCCAUGCGAAGAAUUUUUGAUCUCCUUUCCUUGGAGCAACUUUAUCUUUUAAUUCUCAAGCGCUCAUGCACAUAAUUGAGCAAUUAUGCUAGCUAAAGAAAGGCCUAUGAACACACCUAAACAGAAAAGAAAAUACAUAUUAAAUAAUCUGUGUUCAUGGUUUUGUUCAUCUGAGAACUCUUAGCUUAAUUCUUGGCAAACAAGAGCAACUUCUGUUCAGUGAAGGCCUGCAAAUUGAAGGCAAUAUCCAUGGAUACCAACAUACUAGGAAGCAGUUGGCGGCAAAGCCUUUGUCAAGAAGUUGUCAAUCCAAUGCGACUGGUUAGUGGUUAGUAAGAUUCUUAAGCUUCUCAGGAACACUGGUCUAUUCAUAAAGAACAUUUCUAGAGCUUAACUGCUAGAUGGGAAUGUUAUAGCUAUGGCCCCUGUACUCAGAGAUGGGCCUCUAUAUUAUGAGGUUCAUAAACAAUUUUAGAUACUCUCUUGGCUAAAUAACUAAACAAUUCUGGAUACUAACUUGGCUAGCAUUAUUUAGCUGACGUACAAAUUUGUACAGGCACAUUCUCAUUCUACUUGUGAAAAUGGGAAAGAUUAGUUGCUCAAAUUAUCAAUUUUGGAAGCAUGGCCAGUUUGUUUGCCUAUUCGCCUCUUCCUUUUACAUUCAAGCCUGGGAUCAUGUGAAAAAUCCAGGCGCAUUGAAUGGGAAAUUUGGGUCUAGCUCAACAGAGUCAAUUGAAAAAUCCAACCCUGCGAUUGGUGAAUUGGUAGCUGAUGCAGUGGCUGAGAUGAUCUCCGUGAGAUCAGAUUCUGAACUGUGCAAAUUUUUAAUCCUUCCAAGGUUUGCCAUGUGGCAGGGUGACAUCGAGAAGUAGUUCGAUCCAGACGUUGCUGGAGAGACAAAGGAUGGAGAAUAAGUCCCCAAGAUGUUUUCAUCAACAAGUGCUGACAUUGGAAAGAGCUGACUUUCAUCAUCCAUAUGUGUUGCUGAAGGGAAAGAGAAGGGGGAUACAAUCUCCUUAGCCUCUGAAUCCCCAGUAUUAACCCUUAAAUUUGCUCGAAAAUUCAUUAGGAUCUGGUUUGGCUGUUGAGGUUGUUGGUGGUUAUUGUGAUUGUAACUAUGUUUAAAUUCUUGCUUUGCUGGUGAUGGGUGUUGUGGAACAGAAAUGCUGGUGCCCGUGUUGCAUACGUGCGUCCCUUUGUAAGUGAUCUCAAAUAGAGUAGGAUCAUCAUCAGACCUCUGAACUUGCUUUGUUGCCCAGCAAUUUCGCAUGUGGCGGUAUGUGCAUCUAUAGUAGCUUCUGCAGAUAAAUUGAAAACAGGGGUUAGUAUUUACAUUUCGUGCAGAUGAUUGUUUAUCUGAAAAGCAAGCACCUUCUUAGGUAAGGGUUACUUUCAUGUUUGCAGAGUGUUUUACAUAUUUUAGUGCAGUUUAGUUAAGGUAGUCAGGUCAGCUGGAUGUACGCAUCGGUCGUGUACUUGUUACAGUUGUUUGUUUGAACUUUAAAUAAUAAGCGAGCGUGUAGCUUUAUCAAUGACUUUUAUGCGGGAGGACAAAGGAAAUUGACCGCGCUCACCUGGGAUAUUUGGCUCCCAAAAUGUCCUUCUGCCCGUACUUUCUCCAGCUAUAGCCAUCAUCAGCAGGUCCUUCAAGUCCGUUCUCAGGGCUAACCCUCACUUGUUCUGUCCAUGUGGGCUGUGUCUUUCUGCAAGAUUAAUGGCGAAUUUUUUAGCAUAGUGACAUCCUAUCAUAAACUUAAGCGUUGUGAUAAGAUUUGAGUUCGACGAAAUUCACCUCUUCUUAGAUACAUCUCUGAGGUCCUGAUAAUCGUUGAAGUUGUUCUUCGCUUCCUCAUUCUGAGGGCUGCCCUCCACCGAGAUUGAAGACUCCGGGGCGCCAGAUGCCAGUGGCGUAGGCUGUGAUUGUCCUACCGAGCCGCCACCAUUCCACUUGAGGAUCGAGAGAGCUUUCUCAUAAGAAGAUAGGAUCCUUUGCAAGAGCAAAUCUUGAGGCUCCAUAUAUCCUGAGCUCAAGUGAACUCUGAGCUGCUUAGCUUGCUCCAUCCCUUGAGUUAGCUCAUUAACCAGCGUGUAGUAAUCCCAGCUUGAUCCGUACUCCAUCUUGAUAUAGUUCCCAACUAACUGCUGUUUCAAGAACAAUGCCUUCGAUUUCUUUAAAUGGCUUAUCUCAUCCAAGUGCUAUAUUAGUGACGCUCGGUCCGCGAGUUUGCUGCUGUCGAAGUUUUCAGUUUGCAGCAUAAGCAGGAGACGGAGCAGAAGUGGAGCAGAAAAAAUUUGGAAAUGUUUUGUCAAACUCAAAAGGGUCGAUGAAGAAGUUGCCAGGCUGCAGAGUGGAGUGAUUUUGGAAGGAGGACUUGGAAGUUUGUUUCUGGGCAACUAAACUGAGGUUACGCUGUUGGGUGCAACUGCUAACUGCUAAGACGCUACUGAAAAUGAGAGAAGCCGCAGCUGCUGAGUGCUGAGGAAGAAGCAGAGUGAUGGAUUUGAAUUUAAAGAGACAGACACCUUUGAGUAUUAAUCUAUAUGAUUUGAAUACUUGACAAAGAGGAGGGGCUGUGGAAAAAGACUGGGAGAGUUGAAGUUUGACCGAGAAACCGAGUUUUUCCGCGUAGAUUGGUCUUUGGUCAUAUUGGAAUUUAGAAGUAAAACGUACUCUUACUGAAUAGUGUGGCAGUGGAACUAAGGAAGAAUGCUGACCAAUUCAAAAGGGUUCUUUUUCCUUGAAACAGUUUCAAAAAGCACGUUUAAGGUUUGAGUUCCGGUAAGCGGUAGUGGCAAGUCCCCUCUCCAUCUAAGUGUACCUCCUCCACCUUUUUUUUUUUAAUAAUAUGUACCGAGAUUGGUAACUUCAAUUGUUUAGAAUAGUGCAUGUAGCAUUGGAUGUUUGAAAUUUUCAAUUUAAUCCUCAAAAAAAAAAAAAAAAAAGUUCCCAAUUUACACACACCAUCAUGGACACCAAUUAUUGCUAACUUUGAAGCACAUAAAUUUUUUUUUUCUCGAAACGAUAGGAUUUUUUUAUUCAUUAAAAAGGGAAUUUAUAUGCGCGAGAACAAAGACUCGAAAAGCUGUACAACUAAUACUCAAUUGCACUGAGGAAAACACCACCGUUCCUCAUCCAAAAGAAUGCCUAAGGCAUAAGAACUUAAUCUUCUACAAUUUGUCAUGAAAAAAUAAAUUUCGCUUAUUUAGUAGUAAUAUAUUAUUUACUCCACAAUUGUUGACAAUUGGAACUGGAAACGUUGAGACUAGAUUUAUCAGAUUCUAGAAUGUAACACCCCGGGGGAAGAAAAACCGGGCCGGGGGGGGGGGGGGGGGAGGGAGGAAUGCAGUGGUAACUGGUAAGGUCCAAGUGCUGACCAAUUCAAAGCUCCAAACCAAAUGGGCCUCCUUUCUUUCCUUCUCUCCUCCUUUCUCUGAAAAUACUUUUUGACAGCAAAUUCGUGGCGCACAUGAUUGAAGUUUGGAGGAGCUUACCAAGUCAGAGAAAGGGAUUUAGGUGAUUUGGAUAUGCAGCUGCCUAGAUAAAUCCUCAUACGUCAUUCCGCGUGGUUUCUUGAUUGCAGCUUCUCACUGCUACGACACCACAUACUAGUACUUCGUUCAAUGGCCAAAUUAUGAAGAUUCCAAUUCUAAUACCGCCCUCCCCCCCCCCCCCCCCACCCCACCGCACUCCAGCAAAAAUGAAAAACAAAGGAUCAGAGUUGGUGAGUUUAACUACUAGUCCCACUCGUAAAUCGAGUUCUUAACCUUUUUUUUUUUAUUUGUUUUUGAGGAAAGAGUUCCUAACUAUGUUACUAUUAUAUAUGAUUGAGAAUAGGCAGGAUGGUUCGUCGAAAAAAAAAAAUAUAAGCGGUAAGUUACUAUUAUAAUACAGUAGUAUUUAAAAGAAAGAAAAAACUGUUAAUAUUACAUGUAUGCAUCUGCCACCGGUCUUGUCUAUAUUAACGAAUUUAACUGAACAUCCAAGACUCACCGGGAAGUGUCUCUUACCAGUGAAUUUUGAGGUCACAAGUUCGAGUCUCCGCUCUGUUGGAUUCCUCCGCGCACUUAGCGUGUUCGGGCCGGGAUGGGGUACCGGGCCCGGGUCGCAGGGGAUUAGUCGGGCCCCGUAAGAAUUGACCCGGACACCCCACAAAAAAAAAAAAAAAAAAAAAUCCAAGACUCACCAGGAAAGAAAAGAAAAGAAAAGAAAACAUGUUGUGUCCAUAAUAUUUCAAGAUAGGCCUCGAAGGAUUUCUUCUUUUCAAAAUGUACCAUUUGUACUCCACUCUUAUUCCUAUAAGGGAACAGAUUAGACAUGCAUAUGAAAGCCUCUCUUGUCUUGCAUCAAGAUCUGAGUAGUGGAGAAUUUCUUACUUUCAAUUAUUAAAAAGAGUGUAGAUUUCAGCUCUACAAUUUAUAGAGUAUUCACACCGCGAUAUAUACCAACCAGUUCUUCCCAGCUGUAACAUAAAAGCAAUAUACUUCGCCGGAGUUUAAAUCGCACCAAGGACAAUGGUGAAGCUUCGAAGCACUAGGAAAAAAAAACGAGAAAUUAAUUUUUUUUUUUUCCUCCCGCGCAGGAAUAAUAGCAGUAUACGGCUAGUGGAUUAUAGAAUUUGACUAAUGAUAACAUUUUCAACGAGGCAGCCAAUAUUCAGAAAUAAGGAGCACCUCUCCAGUCACCAGGAUAAAGCAGCAGUAGUAUAUAAUUUCCUACGAAUUUUGUAUGGUUACAAGCCAUUAACGCGUAAAAUUCAAUGGGAGUCUCUAUAGCCGUGUCUUCUUGCAAAGUUUGUUUACUUUAGUGGUAAAAAAAAACCUGAGACUAUAGAGAGAUUUGUUGUCAAAAAAAAACUGAGGAGGGAUUCAUUCAUUGAGAGCUCAGCUCACAGAAGGAACGUCAGCUAACGAUUAUUUGGAUCCGCCAUCCAACUUACAAAUGGUUGGUUCAGCACUGAAUUGAAUGGGCGAUGUAAUUUAAAUAGUAAAGGUUUUGCUGCAGAAACUUCAACCUUGAAGUAGCCUUAUUUAUACACUUGUAAGCCAGGAUUUAUCUCCUUCGUACUGUUUCAGAAUUAGGAGGAUAAAACAUUUUCAAUUUGCUUUUUUUUUAUAGCAAUUGACUUGAGAAUUCGGUACUUCUGUAGCUUCUGCUUCAUAUUUUUUUAGUCCCUUGCUAUAUAGUUUCAUCCCUCCUCGUUGAUCUUUCCCAGCAGCAUUCAGUUCUGCACCCAAAAAACAAACUUUAAUUAGUACCAUCAACCGGACAAAGAGUAAUUUCUUGUUCUUACAAAAACAUCUUAGAGAUUAUGUUGAGAUAUGCAACUUUUCCUACAUAUUUUGCUAGAUUAUGUUUGAUAUCAAAAUAAUUUGGUUAUUAGAAAAAUAAGGAUAUUUGUUAACAAAAGAUCAUGUUGGUUUGUUAACAGAUAUUUUAGAUAAGAUUUGCUAGUAGAAAGAGAUUAUAUUUUGUUGAGAUUUUUAGGAUAAUUGUUAGUGGGAUAGUUUGCUAGUUUGUUUCAUGUAAUCACUAUAAAUAGUGAAUUGAUGAAUGUAAAACAUAAGCUCAUUUUCCAUCUUCAAUACAAGUCUCUUAUAAGCUUUUUUUGCAACACUAAGGUGUUGUUUCUUAGUUCAUGCCCCAAAAAACCAACAAAGUGGUAUCAAGAGCCUAUAUCUUAAGGGUCUGAGUCUUUUUUUUAGAGUGAGUGCAUUAGUGAGGAUCCUUUAUAAGUUCAAAGCCAUGACAGGAAAGAACUUUUUGUCAAACAUUUCAACUUUUAGUGGUGAAACUUACCAAAUUUGGGCCAUAAAAUUUUGGACUUAUUUGGUAGUCAAUGAUCUACGAGAUAUGGUAGAGACGAAUUUUGUUUCAUCAGUAUUUGAAGAGCUGAUGGAUACACAAAUUAGAGACCACAGAGUUGCAGUUAGACAGAGAUCCAAGGCCAGCAUUCACAUAUCAAUUUUUGAUGCUGUUUUCACAAGGAUAAUGGCUGAUGAUUUGAUUGAGAAUAAAUUAUUCUCAAUUAAAAUAGAAAGGAGAAGUUUCACUAUGAAUUGGUCAAAUUUUGACAAUUCUAAAGUGGAACAUGAUGAUGAAAUCAAGAAUCCAGAUCCUGAAAAAAUUCAGGAGGAGAUCAUUGAUAAGUCAGGAGAUAUCAGAUUGAUUCCUGAUAUUUAUCAAGAUUAUAACAUUUCUGUUUUUGGGUCUACAGAUUUUGAUGGUGAUGGCAAAAUGAAGAAUCAUGCAAAAUUUCAUAUUUUCUAUAUAGGUUCAAACAUCGUCAAAAGAUGUUCCAUUUUAAACCUAUGAGAAAGUUAUUUGGAAACAUUAAAAAAAAUCAUCUUUUAUGUGGAGUUUGGCAUGAGAAGACAAAAGAAGAAGUUCAUUGCAAGGCUAAUCAUCAAUUGCAGAAUUUCUUACAAAAGUCUCGUCCAAAACAAGAUUCAAAGAUUUGAGAAGACAAUUCAAAAUCUGCAGCAAAAGUGGCAAGGAGGAGUGUUGAGAUAUGCAACUUUUCCUACAUAUUUUGCUAGAUUAUGUUUGAUAUCAAAAUAAUUUAGUUAUUAGAAAAAUAAGGAUAUUUGUUAACAAAAGAUCAUGUUGGUUUGUUAACAGAUAUUUUAGAUAAGAUUUGCUAGUAGAAAGAGAUUAUAUUUUGUUGAGAUUUUUAGGAUAAUUGUUAGUGGGAUAGUUUGCUAGUUUGUUUCAUGUAAUCACUAUAAAUAGUGAAUUGAUGAAUGUAAAACAUAAGCUCAUUUUCCAUCUUCAAUACAAGUCUCUUAUAAGCUUUUUUUGCAACACUAAGGUGUUGUUUCUUAGUUCAUGCCCCAAAAAACCAACAGAUUAGAAUACGACCCACUGAUCAAGUCUCCUUGUCUUAAAAUGACGGCCAAUUCUUAGUUGCCAUAUUUCCCUCUUGUAUUUUAGUAUUAGACAUGCAUUACAUGGGAUAUCAGUUCAUAUAAUAAGCUAGCACACAGUGGAAACACACACCUCUGCAGAAGUUUCUUUGUCACUCUCAUCGUCGCUGCUGCUUCCAUCACUGGACUUGCCUGCCUUGUGAUUCAUUUUGUUCUUCAUGUUCUUUAUGUGCUCGCCAAUAUUGGCAAUGAAAUGGCCUCCAUGGCCUUCCUUCUUUUUCUUGUCAUUUGCUGCAGCAUUAGCUGCAUACAUUUGUGAUCCUUGACAUGCCGAUUGCUGAACAUGGCUUGUAGCGUGGCUCUCAUGGUCAUGGUGGAGUGAAACGUGAUUCUUGGCCGCACCAUGCUGUGCAUGAUGUCUGUGACUGUGAUGCUCACCAUUUUGCCCAUUAUGCUCUUGGUGCUUGUGCUCAGUGAAUAUUUUGCGGGCCGAAUUAGCCAUCUCCUUCACCUUGUUGGUGACAGAGUGUUCAUUGUUAGCCUUUUGGGAAGUCUCAGUGGUUGUCUUCUGGCUGAUGACAGUAGACUCCACAUGAGUGUAAGUUUGCUCAACAGGCAUAUGGCAUUGCAUUGAAGCCAUUGAAGUUCAGUUUCUGGCCGGCCUCCGUUCCGAUUCUGAUUGCUAAUUUGCUAGUGCUUCUUGAGCUUUCGAGCUGUUGAUCAGAACUUACAUAUAGUUGUGGAGUGUUAGUGGGAUUGCUUUCAGUCCCCCCCCCCCGUCACGCUAUACUCCGAAUCUCCUUUUCCUGCGAAGCACGCGUUUGGGAGAAUUGAUUCCCUGAUGAUAACAUUCGCCUGACUCCUAUUCAUUUAUUCCAUGUUCCAUCACUUUGAGAUUCUCUGAAUGGCCACACUUUCAACAAUGCUCUUGAAGAAACGAGUAUGGGUAAAUGGUACUGAUCAAUUUUUUUUUUUUUUUUUUAAAUCUAGCUAGACUAUGAUCGCAAAAUCUUUUGACUCAACCAUCGGUAGAUUCUCUACAGAGGCAUCUUGCUUAGAGCUUUACAAGAGGUUUAAAAGUAAAUUCUUUUCUGAAAAUAGUAAAUGGGCACUUCCAACCAAAUUACAGAAACUCUAGAAAGCACAAAUUUCAGGAAAGCAAUAGGUUGUCAGCACAAAUGCAGCGUUCUAGGCACUGAAUGAUCUGUCAUCAUGUAAAGAGCUGAAUAACUCAAGUGAGAAAAAAAAAAAAGCAAAAGAAACAAAACCAAAAUUGGAUCAAAUUUGGUGGCAUUGAAUUGGCAUAGAAAACAUGUCACGGAGGAUCCCAAGUUGCCUUAGAUAGGUACCAUUCAGAAGUUCACGCACAAAGUGUCCCUGGAUGAGAGUCAAAUGAUGAGAUUAUACUAGAGAACAGAUGUUACUUGUAUUUACCAGAAACACGAUAAAUUAGGAAAAUGAUAUAAAAUAAAAGAAAUAAACAUAUUAUGUGUAUCCAUAUAGACAAACAGUAACAAAUUUUGCACUUCAAAGUUUUCCGAGGAUCCAAGUAGUCAAUCCACAUCCUCCUGCGACGACCAAAUGAAAACUCACAAAAUCCUAAUAACUUGUUUUCUAGGAGCAUACAUGCAACAAAAGCUUUAGUGAAUAAUAGAGAGAGCAUCUCCUUGUAAUAACCAAGACAUAUGCACAAAAACAUUGAUAGCUCGGCAGAACAUGUCAACCAAAUAUGUUCGUGCCCAUCUGACAAACAAAAUACUCUUCCACCAAAAGGGUUAAGCUGCCACUUUGUCACCUUCCUUUUAAAAGAUUGGAAACAAAAGUAGCUAUAGCCUGGAUUGCACAGUCUUCAGCUUCAUCUUGAGAAGUUCCAGAUGAUUGUUGAUGCUUCUUAGCAAUCUUGAAAGAGUGAUCACCACCUUCAAUAACAUGCAAUUCACUGACUACAGUCAUCUUCUCCUUUACAGCGUCCAACUUCUCCAGUGGACAAAGCCCAUCUUUGCUACCCUUUAUGAUUGAAUGUUAUGUAACCCACAGCCAAGUAUGACACAGCAGAAAAUACAGUUAAAAUUUCAUGUUUGCAGGAAAAAUUAUGCUUAAACAUUGAGGAGCCUAUAAUGCAAUUAGCAGUGAUAACUUCAAUUGAACCAGCCAUGUAAAUAUUCAGUAUCAGAGUACAAGAAAGAUGGAAACCAAAGCAAAUAUCAGAAUAGAAGCCAGAUUCAUGCUUUUCAACCAGGGAAAAUUUCCACAUAAUGGGAAAGAAAGAAAGGGGAAAAAAAAAGCAGAAGAUAUCAUCUUGUCACCUGUACAAACAUGACAGGAACUUUGAGUUGCAACAGUGUUUCAUCUCGUACUGCACCAUUCAUCCCCUGAAAUUGAGAGGGAUUAAACUGAGUAGAAGAAUGUAAAUUUGUGCACCGAAGCAGACAUGCAUACAUACACACACAGAAACAGAGACUUCAACAGAUAAAGCUAUAGCAAUUUGUUUUUGUACUCCCCAGUUACUUUUGGCCACAUUAAAAUACUGCCCAGUGCUAAUAUAAAGGGUAAAGGGCUUUUGAACUUGUUUUCAUGGCUUAAAUGGAAAUUCACACUCCUUCGCCUUUGCCUAUGAAAUUUAGUCCUCCAGAAUGUUUAUACUUGCUCAAGUCUCAAAAAUCUGCUUGCCAAAAAAGGCAAGAAGUCUUAAUUGGAUAAGUUCUUUUCAUCUUUAAUACCCAAGUAAGAUGCACCAUGACGCAUCUGCCUAACUUACAUAAAUAAAGACUACUGAUCUCCAGCUCGUGCAGAGACAAUACAUGGAAUCGACCAUUGCUUAAUUGCAGAAUACAAAUUGAAAGAUCAGUUCGAAAACAUCUGAUAUGCAUAAAAAGGGACCAGAUCAUCACUAGUAAAACUACCAGAAAAAAUAAAAUCAGAUGUAAAUGAUGUCCAACCUUUAACGGGUAGCCCAAACAAACUACUGCCAAAGCAUCGACUUCUUUACCACUAGCAACCAUGCAGCUUACCCUAUACACCCAAAGCCAUGACAAAAAGAUCUGCAUCAUGUACCAUACAUACAGCCAGGAAUAGUCUCAAUAAAAAGUAGUCAAAACUAUAGAUAGCCGUUCUGCAAAAUAUUAUAAUUGUCUCACUCGGCUAGGAUGAUAGAGUGCAAAAAAUCUCAUUUGACAGACUCAUAAGUAUAUGAGGUUUCAUGCUGUACCCAGUCAUUUCCAAAAGUUGAUUGGUUCCUGCUUUUUUGGAGAUUUACUCAUCAGCAAACCAGUAAACUUUGUAAGGACCAUUGCCUUGGCCACAAUUGAAGAAAACUUACAAACAGAAAGACAAUGUAUAAGACUUCCACAACUUUGUCACAAACUGAAGAAGAAUAACGCAAGAACUAGUGUUACCUAGAACCCAUGGAUUUCCCAACCAUGAUCAACGGAUGCCCAGCGUACAUCUGCAUCGUCUUUCUAACAAUAUCUGCAUGGAAUUCAACCAGUUUUUCUGCCUUAGGAGGAGCCUUUCUUUUCCCUCCAGCAAUAUCUGCCAAAAAUCCAACCAACAGCCUUACCUUAAAAAUUCAAACUUUUUGAAACACCAUAAAAACAUCAUGCUAUUUUUUACUCACUAACUUCAAACUAUACCUCCUAAUCGAACACAAUAAUAUGCCCACUAUCAUUUCUCAUAUUAACAGGAACCAUGUGACCGAGAAAAACAAAGGAAGUACUACAACAGUUGGGAUUGGCAAGAAAAAGGAACAGCUUACAUGGGUAAUCGAAGGUUACAACUUCAACAGCAUUUAGUGCCUUGUGCAACAUCUUCUUCCAUCUGGUUUAGAAUACUAUUAAGUUGGGUUAUUUACAAAAUAAAGGAAUAUUGAUGUUUUUUUAUUAGGUUUCCAGAAAUAUACAAGUCGAUUUCACAAGCUAAGAAGAUUCAAUAUAGCCAAAGCGCGCUCACACAAAACCAGUAGAGGAAGGUGAAACGCGGGACCCACCUGACCAUCCAGUCAGAGGAAGAAGGAGCACCAGCGCCAUGAGCAAAGACAAUUACAGGUGAUGAAUUGUCUUUCUUACCCUUCACAGAUGCGCUGGUAUUGACUGUCAUCUCUUCCCGCCAUUCUUCUGCAUUUUGUUCCUUAGGAUCGUUUUCGAGGCUCUGGCUGCUCGUGCGCCGACGUUUUGAAGCCCGCAUAGCUGACACUAUUCUCAGAUAGAGAGAAGCGAAGAUGAGAAGAUUUAAGAAAUGGGUUUUCUGAAUUCAUCAAUUCAGCAGCUUCAUACUUCCUACUUUUCUCGAUUCUUGCUGUGAUUUUCGCGCCAUAAGAUUUGGGGGGGGGGGGGAAUAUUGGGCAAGUUUGGGCAUCAGACUCACAGCCACAGGCCCAUAUUUUUAAAAGUUUUGGGCGCUAAGCCCAUUUAGUGGCCUUUCAGAUCUCAGCAAUAUAUAUAUACCUUGGGUCAAUUUCAUACCAACCCAUUUACACUAGAGGUCUCCAAUUUAUGUAUGCCUUGGUAUUCAAAUGGUAUUUAUGGUACGAAUUUUAUCUUAAAAUUUUAUUUUGAUUGAAUAUUUGCCAACCCCCCCCCCCCAAAAGUAAAUUUUGAGAUGAUUAAAUAUUUGUUCCCCAAAUUUUGAGAAUACUAGUAAACAUUACUGUCAUACAUUCUAUCUUUGGCUCCGUUUGAUAACACUGAAUCUGAAUUUUGAAUACUGAAAUAAUUAAUUUGCUGAAUUUUAAACACUGAAAAGAGAUAUAUGAAUGUCUGAAUCUUAAUGUUGAAUCUAUUUAUACUGUUUGAUAAAUAUUCAUAACUUAAUGCUUAAUAAGCUAAAUUGUACAAUUUUGCCCUUAUAUCUUUUAAUCCAAAAAGGAAAUAGAACCUAUGAUUUAAUUAGCUUGAAAUUGUUAGGUAUAAAAAAGACAAUAUUUAUUUUUAAAUCAAAUUAAUAUAAAAGAAGAAAUAUAUUAUGCAAAACAUUAAAAGAAACAUUACAAUCCAAUAAUUCAUAUAACAUAUAAAUUCGACCUAAAAAAUUUAGAAAUGAUUGUUUGAAUAGAGAAUAUCAGAUUGUUUUGUUUAAUUAGAUAAGGAUUUUGAAUAGAGAAUAUUAGGUUGUUUAAUUAGAUAAGGAUUUUGAAUGUAAUUAACAAACAGGGAUAGAUUUGGUAGAUAAGAUAAAGUAGUUGAAGUAAAUCUCUUGAUUCUUAUCGAAUUAAGCAUUCAGUUAUGAUUCUUGUGCUGAAAAAACUACAUACAAAUUCAGCACCACUUAAUAAGUUCAGCAGGUGAAUUUUUAUUUAUCAAACACCCAAAACCUCUUAAUGUCUGAAUGGAUUCAGUUUCAGCACUUUUUUAUGUUAUCAAACAGGCACUUUGUCUCCACAAAUUUCAGAAAUCCUAAUUUUAGAUAUUUAAGCCUUUGUAACUCAAUAAACUAAUCUAAUAUUGUUCCCCUUGGAGAAGGGGCCAGUACAACCAAAAUUUUCGUACAAUUAUGUGGUUAUUGUUCAUUUUAUAUGUUUUUGCGUAUGUUUACAUUUCUGUGUUGUACACGUAAUUUUUGUUCUUAUACGCUAAAUCAAUAAUUUAAUACAACCACGAUUGUAAACGUAUAGCACAUUCUAAAAAAAGUGCAAUACCUGUAUCAAUUGUACAAAAUUUCAAUUUGCAAUAACUUUCCCCUAGUCCCACAUCGAUUCUAAGGGGUUCGGGGGUUGCGUAGUUAAGUCUCCAAGUUUGCCUCAAAUUUAGAUGUAAGGUUUGAACUCUUGACCUUCCGCCUCACAAGAUAUGCGAUAGCCAACUACUGCGGGGGUAGUUGGUUAAUUCGCUGAACAUAUUGGACAUGAAGAUUCCGACAAAUGUCAAAUAAUAUGUUUUAGCCAGCAAAAGCGAAUGUCAAUCAAAUACAGAGGAAUCGCAUCUGUGUUAUCUUUCAAGCCUUGCUGGAUAUGGUUUUGAGAUGCCUUAAGUUUGCCCUUUGUUUAUUAAUCUAAUAGUUGAUUGCCCAGUCGUGGUUCUUAGGGGCCAACUUCUGUUUAACCUUUAGCGCUGUUUCUGUGGUGGGUUUGGAAACUUUCAAUUUCUCAAGGUAGGUGUCUGAGUGAUCUCCGUACUCCAUUAUUUGCAAAAGUCAAAAUUCUCUUUGGUCUUUGUUUAAUGAAAAGCCUUUAAGCGCAUCUAUAUCUAUCCAUUGAAUUAUUUGAUUCUUUACUAUAGUAACGUAUUACUUUCAGUCACUAUAUUGCCAGUUCGCAUUAGAGUCAUAAUGCCUAAAGAGUUACAAAUUGAGAAUAUAAGUUGUAUUUGCUUCAUGAAUAAGUCGAACUCGGAUGUGUAUUAAUCUUAAUACCAUCUGUUUGUGACAGUCCCUCCAUCUUCUUUAGUGCAAAUAGAUGGCUGAAAAAUUAGUUUUCACGUGGAGAAUACCAUUUGAGCCAUAGUGGAUUUAAAGUUUAAAAGCCAGUUGAUCAUAGGCAAAUAAUUUAGCCUAUACCUUUAUCCUUUUUGCCAGCUCUUUUUGGAAGCAGUGGGAUUUGACGAUGCCGAUAAAGAUAACAAGGCAAGAUAUGGAGACCCUACCAUCAUACCCUGUCGAUCGGUUCACGUUUUCUCCAUUCUUGAACUCGCAGGUCAACUUUAGUAACGAAAAAGUCUGAGUUUCUCAGUCAUCGGAAAAAGACAGAAACCUCGGGGAGGUGAUCUCUCCAUUUCAGUGGGUGUCUGGGGGGUCUUUACUUCUUAGCAGCGGGGCACCCCUGUGGGGUUUCUAUCCCACAUCGGUUCGGGGGGGUUUGGGGUUUGGAUUUAUUAAGGUCUGCGGGAGCCUUCAAAAGUUGCCGGCUUUUGAAGGUUUCUCGCAGGUCAACUUUAGUAACGAAAAAGUCUGAGUUUCUCAGUCAUCGGAAAAAGAAUUAGAGAUGUCCUCUUUACUAAGGUCUAUAUAAAGGGCUGCUUGUCGAAUCCUGGUCCAUGGAGCAAGGUGUAGAGUCUCAUAGACCAAAAAGGAUACACAAGAAUCUUCAUUCUUCAAGGCAUUGGUUGUUCACUCUCCCUCAAGGGCUUCCCCGACCUGGGCCACGCACGAAUGGCCCCAAUAAUUUAACAGGGGUUAACGUGCCUCAAGGCUAGAGAAGCUCUUGGGGGAGUAUUGAACAGGUCAUGUCUUGCGUGCUUGUGCCAAAAAAUGAUGAUCAUGCCGACAACCAUCGUUUCAGAAGUUUGAGAAUCGUUUCGCAUUACCAAUGGCUUUCAUUGCUCACUCUCCCUCAAGGGCUUCCGAUCGACUUGACUCUUCAAGAGCGCCCGAGCUGAGGCGCUUGGGGAGAGUGGAUAAUGCUAGCCAAUGUUACCGCAUAUAGUUUAGUUAUCAGUUAUCACUGCAGCUGGAAGCCUAGAAUCAAGUGGCUCCUGAGCAACUAUUCCUCCGACCCUGCCAAAAUUAAGUUCUCUGAUCAGGUUGGAAAUAUUUGUGCUAGUUUUUUCUUCCUGCUACCCAUUUGGAUACGAUAAAUACAUGGUAAGAAACAAUCUCCAAGGGUUAACACAUGCAUUACCUAUCCAUGAUUGAUGUUAAGUUGUUAGCCCUAAUUCAAUAAUUGGUAAGAUAUUCUUGGAGGGAGAGUCCGUAUUAAUUUGAAUGCUUGAGAAAUUUUAUUCUGGUCUGGAGCAGCUACAUUCCUUGGUAUCAUCUCAAAACAUUACGCAUACUCGCGUUAGAGAACAAGGAUUCGACAGGCUACCAUACCGAAGGCUCACGAUCGGUGAUAGGCGUACUAAUUGUGUAAAAGUGUGACAAUUAUCAAAUUACUCCAUCAACACAAAAAGUUGGACUUAAAAUUCCAACAUACUUGUAAUAGUAGUACUAGUAAAAUAGCGAGUGGAGAGGGGUUGUGGAGGUGGUACCACAGAACUUUGACAAAACAGUGCCGUUGGGGAUGCAUGUGAUGAGUAAGUAGUGGCUUGACCCCCCACCCACCACCAGGCACCAGGGCCAUCACCAUGCAUGUCAGCUUUUUUGGUUCUCUUUCAAACAUCUUUGUUGAAAAUGGAAACGCAUAAUAUAGCAAGAAGUAGAAACUCUGUCGUCCUCUUCUGCAACUCGUAGGAUCCGUAAGGACAAGAUAGUGAAAAAGUGGGGAUGGAAGGACGGGGCCUAUGCAUGAAUGUAUCACAUCUAACUUAAUCAGAAGGAAUCUAUCUAUCUGCAUUUCUUCGUUUAUCGAACCUCAUUGUUUCUGUCCGCAUGUUUUGUGUGGAAGAAGAAAGCGAGAAAUUGGCAGCUGGACUUGUGUAUCAGGAUUCUCAGGGGAACCCUGAUUGAACUUCAAAUCAUACUUCUCCCAGUACACUAGCUAGGAACUGUCAACCUCUUUGUAGCAUUUUUAAUUUUAAGCUGUCAGAAGACUCAAAACCACUCUGAUCUUGGUGCUGCUGCUUCACAUUUCACACAUAUACACCUACACUCGCUCUGUGUGAUCGUGUUCCAUUUCAUCAGUAUCCCUUCUUUAGGUUUGAUUUGCCUUGCUCGGUUUAAAAUAACAUUGAACACACACACGCACACGCACACAUUUAUUUAUUUAUACUGUUUCAAUUAGCAUAUUAACUAUGAAUAGGGAACGGUGUUGAAAGCAUAAUUAUGUUUCUCUAUGGAUAAUGAAUUUAAUCCAGCUGACGGAGUCAUUGACUUAUUCUUUCGAGUUAUUGCUUGAUUCGUGAUUGGCUGAUGAGAAAUAUUUAAAACAAACACACACAUGCAUCCACACAAGACUUCGAAAGUGAAACUGGAAAUAUUAGGCAUUGGCUCAAUGCGAUGGAUCUUGGACUCUUGGUAUGUGUUACUAGUAACAUAAGAAUCAUAUUUCUGUAGACUGUUACCUAAGGGAGUAUAUCUGAUGAGCAAUGACUGCUAUUUUUUAACAUUUUUUGUGGGGUAGUAGAGAAUGAUGUUAUUGUCUAUUUUUGCCUUGUGAGUGUGGUAGAAAAUAGCAAAUCCUUUCCUUGUGUUUAGGCACAAUAAAGAUAACUUGAUCAAUCCUAAACCAAGUCACACACACUUUCUUUAAGUAAUUACUGCAUCAAAUGGUAACCAUUCAACUACUCGACUCAUUAACACAACAAUAUUCCUAACACAGGUUACUCUUGACUUUAUGACCAAUGCUAGUCGUAAUAAUAAAUAAAUAAAGUUGCAGUUUUAUUGAGUCUCUUUCUUAUUUUCAUUCUAAUUUCUGUGGAACAGAUCCGGCUUCAUAGAAAUAGGUGCUUCCCAAUGAAAGUGUAAGCUGACAAGAAAGCAAAAUGUAUGGUUCAUGUAAUUAGGACCUUAAAAAAUGCAGGAAUGUAUGUGCAAUCUUUUGGCUAGAAGAACUGUUAGAUAUGAGCUCCAGAUCCCAGAUUGUAGACGAUAACUAUCAUGUUAUGAUUUCUAAUAAUUACACCAAGAGCACCCAAAAAAAAAAAAAAAUUAAAGGAACAGACUUCACCGUAGGAGAAGGCCGAAGGACAGGCAGUAAAAUUAUCUCCAAAGAGAAAUAUCCUAGUCCUUAGUGCCUGCUCAUCACUUACAAUGCUCAACACUUCCACCCAAUCUUGCAUCAUAAAACCCUAGUAUCUUAUACUACGCCUUCUCGUACUUGUUUUCCCAUAACUUCUACCUGCAAUGAUGAAAGAGCACUAAAGUGUGCUACCUACGAAGAGCAGCAUGAAAUAGUAGUGUUUUCCACAUGUUUAGCAUCAAGCAAGCUCUUGAUUUUUCUCCACAAGCCUGACAUCUUUAGCAGAUCUAAGCACAUUUGCUUGAUCAUCAGUGAUUUCUACCGCGAACCCGUCAACGAUGACCAAUGACAGAGUCUUCUUGUAGCUGCCAGGUUCGAGGGUAUUCGCCAACAAAUCAUCGUGCUUCUUGCUUAAGUACAAAUGAAGUUCAUGCGCUCCCCUCUUCGUUCUACGGAAAAGAAUGUUGAUGCAUAUGAUCCACAUGUUUAGGAAAUCACAUAUUAAUGACGAAACCGUUGUUAAUACACUUAUUUUUGUUGAAAUGGUUUCUUCAUAAUGGAGAAAAAUAAACAGCAAGUUAGGUGAAAAACAAAAGACAAACCUGCUGGAUCGAAGGCGCUCAUAUUCAGGAUCAUAAUUCAUGAAAACGAAGUGCAACUCGUUGUUUGUGCUUUCCAUCACUGCUUCUGGCUAAGUAGUUAGCACAUGUGCAGAGGAUACAAAUGCCACUGCCUGGCUAUUUAUACAGGAAUGUGAUGCCAGGUGCCAACUGUUCACGACUAGGGUAAAGAAAAAUUACCCUCUUAGACAUUUAAAAGCCGACCUAGAAAGCAAAAUUAAAAUGAAAAAGAAAACUUUUGCCAAGACAAUCAUGGAAUCUUGAUUGCAUAAGCAUUUCUAACCCAAAGAAAUUAUUAGUUACUCUAGCCACCUUUAAAAAAAAAAAAUGGUACUAAGAACUGCAAUCAUGUAUAUGGAGAUUAUACUGAUCAGGAUUGAUUGCAUAAUGCAUCAAAAGUUUUAUUUUUCUAUGUUGUUAUACUCGAAUAGAUUCCUAUUCAUGCCAGCCACACAACUCGAGCAAAAUAUGCCACCGCCAGAAUGCUAUAUAUUGACUAUAUAUGUUCAUCAUGCAAGACUUCAACAGCUGAUUCUUCGGUUAAUUAAAGACUUUAGUCCUAUGGCAUUUGGGCUGAUUGGAAAGAUGCAGAUCUUGUUCAUUUUCCCUACAAGAUGCAUCACAAAGAAGAAGACAUUCAAGUAGCAACAUUUUUUUUUUGGUGGGGGGCCAAGUCAUUCAAGUGACAACUUUGACAACAUUAUAUAUAUUCCAGUGGGACACUUUUGCGAUAAUAUAAUUAAUCAAAUGCUUUAACGUCUUUUUUUGUCCCUUCUUAGGGUAGGGUUUAAUUAGACGAUACUGGAGACAAUGCUUUAGUUAACAAUAUCUUAAACUGGAGCUUUGUUGCCUAGGGUUUUGCUUUAGUUCGAGUUAAUUGUGAUUAUGGUAGAAAAGUCAACUACUAACAUUCGAGGAAAGCGCGAGGCUCUUUUGGUACCUGUAUCUGCAGAUAAGAUGUAUGUAUAUAUACUACGCAAAGUAAUUACAACCCUGUUCUUUAAACAAACAUGGUGGACCUGUUCAAACUUGGCUGCCUCAGUGAUUAAUCCAAUGGAUCGCUGAGGCGGUAUUCAUCCGUCUCCGUGAACAGGCUGCAAAGGACAAAAUGCAAUGAGCGGUUCUUAGAGAAAUCCUGCAGAAGAUGUACAGGCCCAUCUGGUCUGGUUAAUCAAAACCUCGACUUUAAGAAAGACAAUGACAAAUAUCUCUUCAGAAGAUAAAAAUACUGUUAAAUCACAGCUUCCGAAUGAUCUGAGCAUUAACAUGAUGUAGCCAAAACUUAGCGGCCUUUAAAUUCAAUCAACGUAUAUGCUCCCAGAUUGAAUUUGGUAGCAAAAACUCAGAGAUCGCGUAAUGAUCUGCUUUUGAAAGCAUGGACAGGCUUUUGAAUGAGGUUAUGGAUGCAGGCAACAAAUGAAAAGAGCUUCAAAGUUUCUUCAAAUGUACUUUUCUUACAAUCAGAUUAGUAUGUUAAGCGAGUUUGAGCUUGAAAUUUAUAUAGUUUUAUGAACACAGGAUUCUUGUUUCCCGAGGAUUUAUAAGUAGAGAAAUUCUACUUAACCUUCAAAUGCAGGUGAGAUUUGGGGCCAAACUAAAAGAGAUAUAUACCAAAUUAAAUCUUAUAAACACGCACGCACGCACACACACAGACACGCACUGAACUAAAGAGGUAGCCUUACAUUUAUAGCAGCAUUUAUAGGAAAAUAAAAAGAAAUCAGGCAAAUUGUGUAAUUUCAUCUAAAUGGACUUCUUUUUUUUUUUUUUUAGGGUAUCUAGAUCGACUUUACUUUCAUUGUUAUUCAUUAGUAUAAAUUUUUGUUAAAGUCCCAUUGCUAUUGCUAAUGUACCAAUCAAAGAGACACGAGAAAUUAAAAACUACAAGCUGAAAAUUGCUCAGAUUCUUGAUUGCGGGAUCUAGAGGUCAGAAACGAAGGCAGUUAGCGGAGGGAGGGGGGGGGCCGGCCGGGAGGGGUUGGCCGACUGGCCGUACUGUCUGAGCGGUGAUAACAAGGUCAUUAAAGCACACGUGUAUCCACUGACAGCUUCCUCAGUCACAUGGUGCCGUGGUCCUCCCAUGUGUCGAUUGACGAUUGAUUAAUUUCUCUCCUUUUCUUUUUCCCACAAAAUGAAAAAUGUUCAGUCAGCCAAGUCCAUCAUCAGAGUUCUGACCCACACGUAGGUGAGGUACUCAACAUUCACCAAUGGACACAUAUGCUGCAUCUGUUAAAAAUUGACCUUUUUUUUUUUUUUUUUGGUCAGCAAUGACGUGGAGUAUACAGACCCAACUAAAUCAAGAAAGUGCUAUAGCAUAAUUCUUAGAUUUUUUUCGUUGCAGGUGAGGACUUAAACCCCUCCCUGGUGGCCACUAAGCCAUUGGCCUAGUGGUUUGUUAAAAAUUGACCACGUCGUGCACUUUUCAUGUUUUCCUUGAGCUUGGUGGCUCAGUGGCUGCCAAGUGGGACUUAAGUCCUUUCUUGAGCUGUAGGUAAGAGUUCAAUUUUCACCUGCAGUGAAAAAAAUUCAAUGGUGGUACAAGAGCACCUCUUUGAUUUAGUAAGGUUUGUAUAUAUAUCUGGUAGUCCCCAAUAUAAGCCUCUUUAGGCUCUUCCUCUCCUCUAAUGUAGGAUAGAAUAAAUUAUACAAUAGUUAUGGUCUCGAUAAAAAAAACAUUUAGGAAACGAUAGGACAAACGAGAUUAACCCAAAAAUAUGAUUCAUCGAAGUCUUCACUUGAUAUAAUCAUUGAAUUUGGUCCGAUGGUUAAGAAGAGCCUUUUAGAGCUCUCAUCUAUACUUGUCUAAUUUAGCGAUUCAUCCUCCAUACAGGUUCAAUUUAACUUCCUCUCUGCAUAGGAUAGUGUAAAUUAUUUUUGUUAGACAAAAAAAUUGUCUUAUCUAGUCUGGCGACUCACCCAUUAUAUAGGUCCAAUUGAGUUUGCUCUCCCUAUAAGAUAAGAAUAACGUAGGAACUGAUAUAAGGAUAAGAAAAAGGAUAAGGUAAGAACUCAUAUAAUAUAUAAAUAGAAGCAGUCUAGUGACUAAAACAGAAACUUCCGGAUCUAAAGGUUCAUUGACUCCUGCACCCAUUCUUUCUUUUAGUGUAGAAUAUGAAUUAUCGUAUUGAUAUAAGAGAGAGAGGCAAAAGUCAGACGUCUAUGGCCUAGGACCAGGAAUUCUGUUUAAUUAGGCCCAAUGGGCAUAAGAGUGUUAAACAGCAAGCCCUAUACAGUCGCUUCCUCCUAUUCUUUCCUUAUGGCUAUUGUAAUAAACAAAGAAGAUGAAAGAGUGGAUUGGCUUAUUUUUCCUAGGUUAAUAUCCCUGCAAGCUGCAAGAGUCGGGAGUAAUAUAAAAGCCUUCGGGCCAUUCAGCAGGACUUCGGCUAUUCCAUUUGGGCUUUGGCCCACACUGAAGCGCAAUAUUCACCAUUGCAUCCCAGCGAAAAAGUACUAAAAACUUGGAAACAUCUUCCACAUUUCCUUUCCUUCCUUCCCUUCAUUUCCUUUCGCUUCGCUGCGCUAGACAUGAAGUCAUCAACCUUCUUCUUUUGCGCAAAAAAGAAAGAAAAAAAAUACAGCGGGUGCAACUGGAUACAGUUUUUUUUUUAUAAAUAAAUAAUAUUUAUUUAUAUUAUAAAUGCAUUUUUUAAUUAUCCUUUUUAUAUUUUUUAUUACUUUGUUUUAUCUCACAUACAAUUUACCACAAAAAAAGUUACAAUAAUUAAUUUAGAUAAUAUUUUAAAUACACUCACCAACUUCCUAGUUAAAGACCCAUUUAUAUUCAACUAUUGCUCAGCUGGUCCAUCCUACACAGUCUCGCGUUUUGUCUUCCCCCGUAACUGGCAAUUAAAGAUGACAAUUGAAACGAGGUUAAUGAGCGUGGAUUGGAGCGAAAUAGCACGGGACGGGUGGGGGGGGGGGAGAAAUUUUUCCCCCACGCCCCCUGCACCUACUAAUAUAUAUAUAUAUAUAAAUAUAAUAUUUAAUUUAAUUAAUUACAACCUUAGAAUAAGGGGCGGGGCAAGUAGUAGGCAAUGGGGCCCUAAACCCGUCAUGUUGCCAUUCCUACGUGCCACCCACCAAUCAAAGCUUACAAGUUACACACCAGCAGUCUGCGUCCAAAACCUACAUCAGUCCAAGCCUUCACCAUUAGAUACUUUUGCUUGUGCCGUACGUAGCCAGGUGUUUUUCUUCAUAAAGUAUUAUGCAGGUAAAAUUAUGGAUCUGAUUAUUUGACUUGUGUACGUAUUGGUCUUUCUCAGACAAUUGGCUGAGUGAAAGGGGGAGCCAAUCGAAAUGUUUGUUUUGUUGUAUUCAAAGUCAAUAAUCUCAACUAAGAUAACCAGACACUUGUGCAAUCUAAGGAGGCAUGUAAUUGAUAAAAUUGUUGAAGUAGUGGACAAAAAGUCAAAAAAUUGUAUGAGCGAUUUUUCAAAAAAAAAAAAAAAAAGAAAAAAAAGAAUUGAGCUCACAUCGUAAUGGAAAACCAGACACAUAGCCGAAGUCAACUAUCACGAUUAUAACACGUGUACGGUAAACCCCGUUGCCCGUUGCCCAGUUUCCACUCUCCAAACUCCAAAAUCACUCCAAACCGUCAAACAUCCACUAAUUGCCCAAACUGCCCAGUAUCCCCCCUAGCCCCUAAGCAUCCUAUAUCUACCUUUCAUGCUCGAUUUUCCGACGAGCCUUACCGUUCAAACUAUGGCCCGAUACUCCGCCACCGUCGCCUUUACUUUCACACUUGUUCUCCUCUUUCUAGUCACAGUUUCCCAUGCCCGAGUACCAUCAGAUAUCCCAGAGGGUGAUGUCAUCGACCUUGCACUUACACGCUCCCACGCUGGCUCGGACGCCAGCUCCGUCCUUCAUCUCCCCAGCGACAGAGUCAACGAUGAUGUAUCUCGCUCUAAUCAGCCCGCCGUUGACAUCCCUGAAUCUGUAUCCAUCUCCGUCGGAUCUAUUCCGUUAAGGGUCUCUACUUUCCGUCCGAUCAACCGUCACUUCCCCAUCAGUUCAAGUUUUCGGUUCCGCAACUGCCGACAUCACCACCAGCACCACCAUGACCGCCCCUUUUUCAAGCCCAUCGGACAACAACAACAACAGCACGUGAAAGUCCCAUAUGGAAAUGAUAUGAUAUUGUCCACUGGCGAAAGUAACGAGUUGGAUCCGUUUAUAUUCCAUCACGGCCGCAUGCGGCGGAUCCCGGCAAAAUUGGUCAAGUUCCAUCACCACCACCAUGAUGACCAUCACGAGGAGGAUGAUGAUGGGUUUUCCAAGUUUGUUUCAAAGCAUAGCCAUAGGUUUGGUGAGGAGAAGUUUAAGAAGCACUUGCGCCAUCACGAGGAGGAAGAGGACGAGGAUAAUCGUGAAGAAAUGAAGGAGCGGGUGGGAAAGAGAGAGGAAGAGGGUAGUUUUAUGAAACGUAUUCGCAAGUUCCUGGAUCGCUUCUAAGAUAUAGUGUUAAAAGUUUUUUGUAGAUGUCUGUCUGAUGAGUUUACAUGCUUGCAUGCAUGUAUGGCGCUGCUGAUCUUAGUGAUUUUGUUGUCUGUUUCGUCAUAUUUGUAAAUAAGUUGCAUCCGUCUGAGAUGUAAGGAAGGCACGAAGCAUAUGUAUUACUGCAACAUAUGUUGUAAUCACACUUUAUCAAUCUGAUAGGAUGGAUUCGAUUUGCUCAGAUUUUCAGUCAUUAGUUCCUUCAAAUCGUGAUCUUGUUGAAGAUAUCUGUCCAGUUCAUGCCAUCAGCCCGCGUUUGUAUUGUAAUAUGAGUUAUGGCCUGCCCCUGCUUUCAUGUCAAAAGUUGCAAUUUUUGUUUGGUCUCCGCUCACGACCUGUUCUCCUCAUGUUAAACAAAAUUUUUUUUUCCGAAGGAUCAUGUUAAACAAAUUUACUACUUCAUUUCAUAUUUGCUGCUUGACUUGUAAUAAUAAGUCCCAUCUAUAAUAUGAUAAGUGAGUUUCCGAUAAGAGGCGGACUAUCUAGAGAGAAGAAUGGAUAAGAUAAUUGAUUUUGUUCACCCAAAUAUUACAAGUGUUGCAUCAAGAAAAGGUAUCAAGGAAAGGAUGCAACAGAAAUGGUUUAAUGUUCAUUAGAAAGUUUUAGGCAGUCGAUGAUGUUUAACCUUUAUAUGCAGGUGUACAACAAAUCAUAAGAAUACUAUAUUUAGUUGAAAAAUGAAAAACGUUACAUUGUUCUUAGAACGAAUUAGAGCAAGAACCAGCCUGAUAGGUGCUGGUCAGCUCCGAACAUGGCCAGGGGCUAACUCGAACAGCAGCCCCACUUACAUCAGAGCAUUUCCAUGGAGGAUUUCUUGGCCCUACGUUCCCCUGAAGGUUGAUGUUGGAGAGGCAGAUCCCCGUGAAUGGGGAGUUCUUCAGACCUUGUAUUUGCCCAGACUGCAGAACCCCCUCACCCCAGACGUCCUUUAUCGUGACAUCCUUAACAACUGGUAGAGCAUUUGGGUUGUAAUUGGUGUCAGGAUGGUCUCCUACAUCCCCUGCAAUUUUUAUCCCUUUCCUGGCAUUUUGCAUAUAGACAUUUGAGACUGUGAUGUUCCUUAUGACGCCACCCCGGCCAACGUUUGUCUUCAAAUGGAUGCCAACUCCCAUGUUGUACAGGUUUAUGUGCUCAGCUAACACAUCCUCUAUGCCUCCAGAGGUUUCACUUCCAAUUGCAAUUCCAGCAAAUGGGGAUGAUCCAGUUACCCGCCUAAUUGUGAUGCCAUGGCUGGGGCGACCAUAAGCAAUACCAUAUUCGUCCCAACCACUCUUCACAGCCACAAGGUCAUCUCCAGUGGAAAUGUACGAGUCCUCAAUGCAAACAUGGGUGCUUGAAUCUGUUUUAAGUACAUCAAGAUUAUGAAACAUGUUAAAAUUAUUGUAGAUGCAAUUCAAAUGUAAGAAUUAGAAGUUUUAGCAUGCUUUGUCAUAUUAAAAAUUUUCAAGGAUGGAAUUCACAGUUAUAUGUGAGGCAAGUCGACAUUUUGCACUCUCACUAUUGUAAUUGAGAUCCUAUUAAGGUAUUGCGUCAGCAAAAGAUCUUUGCUACUGUUUGUUUCUUUAGGUUUUCACACUACAAUAACAGUUGUGAAUGUAAGAUCACGCAUAUUGGGAAUAGUCUCCUAGAUACAUACUUCAGAAAUCAAAGGCUGGAACUUAUGCUGUUAAAAAGAUGCCAUCUAACAGCAGGAUAGAUAAGAAUUUCAGCAAUCAUCCUGAUGUUCAAUAUUUUGGUGCAGACUAGCACAUAAUGAAAACAAUGUAAUCUUAUAAGUGUAUUAGUGGAACUUUUAAUCAACAUCAUCACCAAUAAAGGGAGCAUUAUAUAACAACUGUUGCUGAAAUGGAUUCUGUACCUGGAUCAAUUCCAUCAGUGUUUGGAGAAUCAGCUGGAGCCAAUAUCGUGACAUAGUUAAUAACAACAUUGCUGCAAACAGAUGAAACAGAAUCCUAUCAGAUGCACAUUUUGUUAUUACUGUCCAGGACAUCAUUUAAUAACAUUUGCACUAUUUUCAUGUUGCAAACUCUUUGCUGAAAUGAUCAUUAGGCUUAUUUCUCCUUAUGCUUCUUAUGCCUCAAAGAGUUGAAUAAUGGAGUUGAUCGCGAAAGAGAAAUAAUCUCAUUUAAUUGUCAAAGUGAGACCUUCUACUUAUUUAAUUAUCAAAGCAAGACCUUCUACUGCAAGCAAACCACCAAAUUUGGAAAGCUUAAGAGUUGCACAGUUAAGUAUCAGAUUCCAUUUUCAGCAUAUUUAAGGUGCUUAUGGACAGAAACAACCCAUAAAUAGCAAACAAAGAGAAAGAAUUUACCUUUAGGCAGUUAUUCUAGAGACCUUUAUUCAAAAGAUCUAAACACUUUUGACUUGUAAAAGAAACUUAUUUUGUGCGCGAGGUCAAGCUUAAAAAUAUGAUUGAAACUCCUCUUAGUUUGAUUUGAUGCCAUAAAGAUGAUAAGAAGUGGCUACUCUAAUGGAUGCAUGGUUAAGCAAAGAUAUAUUACCUGCAAUACACGGGAUGGAUGUUCCAAAAUGGUGAGUUCUUGAAGAUGACGUUCGAUACAAUUAUGCCUCUGGAGUUCAUAAACUCAAUAAGAUUUGGCCUAGUAAAUUGGAGGGUCCUACGCCUCCACAUGUUCCACCAUAUUUCACCUUGCCCAUCAAUGGUCCCAUUCUCACCUAAAAGGGAAGCAGUUCAUUGUACCAACACCACUGAGAAAUAAAGGUAGGAAAAAUACAAUUUUGUUAUACCAACGCCAAUAAAAUGACACUGUAAUCUUUGUCAUCAAACAUUAAUAUGUGCAUAUUAAUAGACACAUGUCCACCUAGGAGUAAUUACAAAUAAUAUAUCUUCACCAAGAGAGACGGUUUACAAAGUAACAAACCAGUGAUUAUCACGUCAUGGAGUCCAUUCCCAUGGAUAAAGCUCAUGUACCUUCCUCCAGGUAGUUCUCUUCCUCUUCCAUAAGAAGGUAAGGGAGCAAUUAAAGGCCAAUAUCUUGUAUCCUGAAGUAUCAAUUAAAGCAAAUGUGCAUAUUAAUGUAAACGGAUUACUGUUUAAAAUAGGAACAAUCUAUCCCUAGAUUCUUUCUACUAGCAAUCGGAUCUGAACUAUUAAUAAUAGCUUAGCAUUUCCCUACAACCUUCACUGUAUAUCAUGAUAUGGACGACAUAGGCAUUAGCGAAAAUGUUAGCAAACUUGAGGGAGAAUGGGAACCACCAAUUAUUAUUAAAAUUAUAAUACUGAAGAUGAUAUCCCUCUCCCCUGAAGUGCCAACACUAUUUAACUUCAACUUUCAGUUAAACAAAAAACAAACCGCUGUGGAAACUAAUAUAUCUUGUCAAUGAAAGCCUCUAUUCGAAUCACCCGAGUAACUGAAUGGGUAUGAUGAUACAACACUAAGUAAAACUGGUGGAUUUUAUUGGAACCAGCCAUCAGUAAGGAAAUAGCAGAAUCACUAAAUAAAGGGCCUGGGUCUACGGCUGGUUGCUUUACAGUCUCACCAGCAACAAUGUUAUGUACUGUAUAUAGUCAUCAUCUUCCAUGUUAACGAACAUUGAAGUGGCAUCAUGCCAUAUCUCCAACAGCAAGGACAUAUCAAUAUAGUAUAUAUAUCCCAUCUUGAAGAAUUAAAAAAAAAAAAAAAAACUUCGGCUUAGGUGUCAGAUUGGCUAGGUUGUCCACACCUUAAUAACCAUGCACAUGGGAACAAUUGUCCACAUCUAUAUCAUCCUAGGCCCACAAGUAAUCCUUAACGUGUAUCCUUAGUCUUUUAAUAGUACCAUUUUGAUAACAAAAUAAAGGUUCCUUCUUUUCGUGCAUGUCCUACUAAUUUAAGCUAAUGACCCACAUAAUGCGACUCAUGUUUGGCCCCUCUAAUUUUCCGACUUAAAAUAAUAAUCCGCUCCGUGCUCCUUACCCUUUUCCCUCCCUACAUAAAAUAAAGGUUCAGGGCUCCAAAUUGGAUCAUGGUCAAACCUAAUUUAAUCUGAACUCUAAAAGCAGACCAUCAUUCCUUCCUUAAUCGCAUGAAAUCGAAAUUGAUCCGUCCGCAUUAUACCUACCAGAGUAAUGAGCCCAUAAGCACAUGCAUGUCGUCACAUUUCACAAAUUCUUUUUCAUGACAAAAGAAGUACCACACUACUAUGGUAGUGAAGCUUAAUCAUUGCAUUAAAAGUUCACCAUCAUAUUCAAAACUGUAUCUAACUAUAGCAACCAAAAAACAUUAAAAAAAAAAAAAAAAAAAAAAACAGUUGGAUUACCGUGGUAGCUUUGAUAACAGCACCUCGAGCCAAGUAAAGAGUCAUGUGGCUAGUAAGAUUAAAGCUCUCAGUUAAGUACACCCCAGGAGGUAUGUAAAGAAGCGUGCCACCCCUCCUCCUCAAAUGCUCAAUUCGAUAAAUUGCCUCCCUAAAUGCCUUGGUGUUCAAUGUCCUUCCAUCUCCAACUCCUCCAAAAUCCGUGAUCGAUAUCUUAUCAUUCCGGUACCUCAUCGGGACAAUGCCGGAGCACGUCACCCACUCAGCAGCUGCCUUGCAGUGGUUUAGCAGCAGGGCAGCCGCCAAGAAGGCGAAAACUAUAGAUGAAAUUGGACGCAUACUAGAACCCAGACGGGUUUUUCUCCUUUUUCGAACUAAAAAUGACGGAAAUAUGUGAAAUUGGGGAGUUUCUUUCGAGAUUUUCAGCCAGUGUUUGUGGUUGAAUGGAGGAAAACCAGGAGGAAAAGUACAAAAGAGUCUUUAUUGACUAGGAAGGAACGAGAAAUAGAAUAAUUUCUGCGGUUGACAAGCCGGCGAAUUUCUGCUGUGAAGUCCAAGCAAGUAAGUCCAAGAAAGGCUAAAACUUGAUAAGGGCUUCAAAUUUAUCUGCAUAAACAUAGGCAAGAUCCAUAAGCAUUCCAAACAGAAAGCUCCAAAAGAACAUAUCACGACCGAGAAAGCUGAAAAUGGAUGCUGGGAAAUUUGUCAAUAAAGAAUCUUACCCAGGAAAGAUUAAGCUGAACCUUACGGAAAUGAACAAAAAUGAACCUUUAAAAGGGGAAAAAAACAGCACCUGAAGAAAUCAUCCGAAGCCGAUGAAGGCAGAGUGGCUCUGAAGAAGCAAAACCGAAGCUUCUACUUGUCUAGAAGUAAUUCGACUUUUGAGGGGAGCGCAAAUUUCGACUGAUAAUAUAUGGUGCUAAUGCGAAUCGCCAGCUAAGGAGGGACACGGAUGUAUGGGCAUUUUUAUUAGUGUUUUGUAUUUUGCUAUAUAUUCUUUUCAUUUUUCAAGGCUGCCGACCGUCACGGAUAGUUGACGGUCGGAUUUGAGGAGAUCCAUCAAGUUAUGAUGGCUUAAAACUGAUUAAUUAGUGAGGGUGUUUGGAUUGUUGAAUUAUUUCACAUAAAAUUUCGAUUGCAUUAUAAACACGUUUCUCAAUAUAUUUUUUUAUAUUCUGAACUAUCUUUUUAUUUUACAUACAUCACAUCAUAAAAAAUAUUACAAUAAAUAAUUAUUUAAAACACACACUCAGUAUUAUACUCCCUCCAUCCUAUUUUGAUAGUCCUGUUUCUUUUUUCACACAGUUUAAGAAAAAGUAGUUAACUUUGUUAGAAAAGUAAAUUUAGAUUGUUAUUUCCUAAAAUACCCUCACAUUAAAUAUGGUACAAUUUUAUGGGAACUUGAAUUGAUGGUAAAAAAAGAAUCAACUCUCAUUAAAUAGAAUAAGUUUAUAGUAAUAAUUACUUACAUUAAAUAAGGGUAUUUUAGAAAAAUUAAAAUACAACUACAUUCUUCAAUUUGAAAGUGGACUACAAUUUGGAACGGAUGAAAAAGGAAUACAGGACUAUCAAAGUGGGACGGAGGGAGUAAUUGCCUUUUGAUAUUGAUUGUAACUCCCUCUUCCGAGUGACCUUUCAAUUUCAAUACCCCUUUAUUCCGCUCCAUUGGCCAAAUUCUACGACAUUAAAGCAUAAAACUUGUCAAAAGUUGCAAUUGAUAUAGAGGUCAAAAGUUGCAUUUCAAAGACGAGAAUUGAUGUGUAUAAUGGCUUUACUGUCCCAUUCAAAGGGUAAUGUUUGUUUAAGACAGUUCUAGGCUGAGAUGUUCUGUUAUUGUUGAGAUGACGCAGUAUUAAGUAACCCAAGAUCUCGUUAAUUUCAAUUUGUGGUUCAAUCGGACCAUGUAGCAAAUAAACAUCAAACUUGGUUGUUGUAUUAGCAAUUUAGCAUAUUUAAAACUGUUGGAAGAGGAAUUCAAGGCGGAAUCUGGAUUGGACUUUGCGAUAGCAUUCGUCUUUACAGACCAUUAUCAUUUGUUUAUAAUACCAUUAGGAGUAGACAGUCCCUUGCUUUUAGGUACAUCAACAGAUUUCCCGGUCACGGGGUCACGGUGGUUUUGUUUUUCUUGUUCUUAAACAGCAUAACUCCUCGUUAAAAAAAAAAAAAAAAACAGCAUAACUCGUAACUCACAACUAAGCUCGCAACACAAAACAGGAAGUUAAUGGCUCCAUGCUGGAUCGGGUACUGACGUGGCAGCAGUAAAUUGAGAAGCAUGUUUUAGUUUGGCCAAGGGGCUGAUCUGUUGAUGAGCAGAAAUGUCAUGUAGGCAAGCACGCAUUUCAGGAAUUAGGCCACCAUUACUUGAUAGAUCAUUCUCGGGGAUACCCUGAUACUGCCAGUUGCAAGAGCUUUCCGUUUACACCCCAAACCCAAUGCCACCUCCUCCGUCCGUCUGUCUCUUUUGGGCCUUUGGUUGGUCGUUGGCACUGUGCUAAUUGCUAGAUUUGUUAUCUGAGUUAAGUCGGGAUGCGUUUGAUAAAAUUGAAAUUUAAAAAUUAAAAUUAAAAAUUUAUCAAAUUAUUAAGUACUAAAUUUAUUAUAUUUAAAUAUUUAUAUCACAUUAAGUGAUAAAUAAAAAAAGUCAUCAUUUAUUUUUUGAGCGUAAAUUUUAUUUAAAAAAUUCACUGUCACUUAAUUAAUUUAGAUGUUCAAAAUUAUCUUGAUUAUCAAAUGCAUUUGAACAUGUUAAAUUUUGAAUUCAUUAAAUUUAAGUACUGAAUUGACUUAUCAAACAGAACCUUACUAAUUUUCACAAAUAAGUCACACAUUUUUCAUGAUUUUUCAUGAAAAAAUUACUGUAGCGAUUGAAUAUAUGUGAGGAAGAAAGAUAAUAGGAAAAUGUGAUCACGAAAAACGACGUAAUUUUUUGACGGAAAACGGUAAUCCAAACAAGGCCUUAAUUAUGGGGAAAUUUUUUUUUUUAUAAUUAAUUAUGGGGAAAGUUAAAACACUACUCCUAGUUUUGUACGUUACAGGGACCCGGCACUAGUCAGAAUCAUGGAAUCAGACAUGCAUACACCACAGCUAGACCCCGCGGCCACUAAAUCAUCAAUGACUCUACAGGAAAGGAAACUCUAGCCUUGUUUUGAAAGGAAUUUUUUAUCAAAAAAAAAAAAAAAUUCUACUCAUUUUUUUUUUGUGAUCAUAUUUUCGAAUCAUCUUUUUACCUUAUUCACAUGUAUCAAAUCGCAAUAAUACAUUUAAAAAAAAACCAAAAAAUUACAAUCUAAACGCAACCUUAGAAAAGCUGACUGACAAUGGUGGAGCCUAGAAUAUUACUCGCAAGUUGCAUACCUCAAGGACCACCAUUAACAAGUCCUCUUAAUUGCUCUGGCUGCAAGGCCAAUUUCCGGCUGAAAUUUUGUGAGAAAAUGGUCCUCUUGGCUCAAGGCACCCCCUUCCGUCUGUUCAUUUGGUCCAUCAUUUCUUCUCUGUGGAUGAGAGAGGUGGGCGAGGAGCUAGCAACACAUAAAUAUUUUGUCGGCCCUCAAGGCCCCUGAUCUAAAUGCAGACCCCAUUGCCCUGUCGAGGUAUUGGGUAGGGAUUAACUACCCACUCAUCAAGUCACCACUCACCACUAGCCACUAGGCCAUGGCCAGCUCACCCAAAUGCUCAACCAUGCGCUGAUUCUCCACCCAGACAUUUUCCAGAUUCAGCAUGCAACGUUUUUGUCCUUCUUGCGCUCUCUUUACCAAUAACCGACCACAUUUUUACUUUUUUUUUUUUUUCUAAUCGUUUGCCCGCUUGAACAGGCUUCACAGCUUUACAUAAAGCUACAGAUAAGUAAUGGGAACAUGAAGAAUAAAGCUAAUAGCACAACACUUCUCAUAGGUGGUCACGAAUCAGAGAAAGUUCAUUGAAUCUCUGCUUUCAGUUUCCCAUAUUCUCCAUAAGAAUCUGCCCAUGCUCUUAUCUUCUCCAUGGCACCACUUCUAUUGCAAAGAUACCUUUAAUAUUUUAUACUGGUUCAUUACCAAUAGAACAGCAAGGUCCAGUCCACAACAAAGAACAGUAUCUAUAUACUUUGCCUUCCUAAAUUCCACUAUUGAUGGCAAUUCAUUGGAUAUUCAUGCCGUAUAAUCUAAAGCUCAUUGAAGCUAGGUCACAGCUAUACACUGACCGAUUUAAACUAAUUCAUUCCCUUCAUCAUCCGUACCUUAUAACGCUGCAAACUGCUCCAACAUGACCACUUAAAAAUUUUGAUGACACGACAAUUUGGUUUAUGCGCCCAGAAGCUCAAACUGGACACAAGAAAGAAAUUAGGCGCUCGAGCUUUGCAACUGCUUCACCAUAGAAAAAUACAGUUAAAAUUGCACAUUCAUCAAACUGGCUCAUCCAUAAAACUAGGAAAGCUACACAAGCAGUUCAGGUGUGAAUCGCUGCAAGAAUAGUAUAGAGCUCGCUGACAACCCUCUAGUGAAAAGCAGGCAGGAUUUAGCAUUUAAAAGUCAAGCUUAAAUCAAUAUAGUUUCCAGAAAACAAAAAAGAGUAUCCUAUAUUUUUUUUUUUCUUUAAAAGGAAAUGGUACAACGGGAUAUAUUCUAGGAAUGCAACUAUUAAUCUAUCAUGGCAUAUCACCUAUCCGGUACAAACAUCUUCACAUUAUAAUAUGACAAAUAUGAAGGAAAACCCAGAGAAUAUGUCCUUAGCCAAGCAUUACAUACACCUGGAAUUACACAACACUUAAAAAGGCAAAUAUAUUUACAAGCCAAACUCGAGAAUAACAUGCUAGACUUAUGGUUUAAAAGUCUGAUGGGAUGUGAGACACUAAAGAGCAAGCAUACGCCAUCAAAUGAUUAGGUUAUGCAGUGGCAUGUCCUUCAAAGAUUGAGGAUUGGCAAGAUACCGCUCUUUCUAGUCAUUGAAAUGAAAAAUCUUGUACUUCGAUGACGAUAACUGGAUGCCUGAAGCUGCAAAUCAAGUGUACCUCUUUCAAGCCUCAAUCUCUGUCAAGUGGCUCAACUCUAUCCUGCACAGCUAGGCGCUCUGAGACAUCAGCAAGUGACUUGAGGUUACACUUUAUUAGAGCCUCAACAAAAAAACAUGUUUCAUCCUUGGUAUUUCCCUCUGGCACGUCCACCACAAAUGAUUCAAUAACCAAUGUCCCUGGCCUCCCAUCAAUAACCUCUGGAUGAACAGUGACGGUUGACAUGUAGUUCUGCAGAAUUUUUCACUACCCUUGAUAUCCAUAUAGUAAAGAAAAAAGCACAAACAAGACAAGUUUGGCCAAAGAAGCCAUGAAAAAUCAAUAGAAUCUAAAUCCUGUCCGUGUAAUUUGCAGCUGAUGCAGCUAAUUGCGUAGAAACUAGUUACCAUAAACGUGCUUGCUCAAAUGCACAAAAACUGUAAUCAUGGCACAGAGUUGCAUGUGAAUUGGAGCAUCUAUAACUCUUUUUUUUUAUUAUUUUAAGUGCAAGUGGGAGAGCUUGAACCUGGAAACUCUAACUUACACUCAAUCCUCCCCAGAUCUGCACAUGCCAGAGCAUUUCAAGUUAUGAUUCUCACAAUGUUCUAAAGCACCGAAGGUGACAAGUAACUCAGUGCGUUCUCUCGAGAAUGAAUUGUAUACAGUAGGUGAAACAAGAAAAAAAAAAAAAAAAGAAGAAGCUAGUACAACUAAAAAGAUUUAAAAAAAAUGCAUUCAUGGGCUAUUCAUACUGAAGAAAAAUAGUUGUUCACAGGAAUAAAUAUUACACCUCAAGUUGUGACUGAAAAUCAACAGUCAUCUAACAAACGUACGAAAUACAGCCGACUGAAUACUGAAUCUCCUAAAUUCCCAGGUCACAAAAUUUCCCCCCGGUUCACAGGUAAUUGUACUGGAAAACAUGAAGAGGUUUCAAGAUAGAAUGAGGAGGACAGUUUUUCAGCAUGAGACCACCUUAUUACCUAGUAAACUCCUCAAGGCAAUACAAAACUCAACCAACAAGUGUUUUACUGGCUCAAGAGAAAACAUAGAAAGAAAGAUACUUACAUUAAUAUAGUCGAUUUAGACUGCCAUGGUAAAUCCCGAUGAAAUUGCGUAUCAUCAGUAGUCAACUUGUAUUCUCCUAGUCACAUUUUGAAUUUGCCAAACAGAGAAGAAUCUAGAAAGUAUAGUACCUUUAGCCUGUGAUCUCCACCUACAAUCCGCAUGCUAAAGAUGUGCUCCUCAUCAUCCAGAAACUCUAAUCUUUCAGUGCUAGUGGUAGCUGGAAGUCCAGACUUGACAUUAACUUCUCUUACACUCCCGAUCUCAAGAUCACCCUGCACCACGCACCUGCUCACAAAGGGCUUGUACCUUUGCGGUUGAUCAAACCUCCUUACUAGAGACCACACCUGAAAUGCCCAAUAGCUAGCUCAUUUAUCCACUCCCCACAGGAAAAAAGAAUCAGAAAAUGCCAAGUUUACCCUGUUAAUGCUAACAGUAUCGAUGUGUAAAACUUGCAAGAAACUAGCUAAUCGUUGAAGUUCCUGCUACAUACUGCAGGAGCUCACAAGCUCAACUACUUAGUCAUGACCUCUCCCCCUUCCCCAAGUAUCAUAAAAAAAAAAAAAAGAAGAAAAAAAGGAAAGAUGAGUAAUUUUUCGCAGGGGAAAAGCCUCAAGAUUAUCGUUGCCUGCAAUAUCUCUCACGCUUUCGGUAUCAGUGAACAGAAAAAGCACUGCUAAGUGCCAGUAAGCAUUAACAUGCCAAAGCGUCGGACAAACUAAAAAUCCAAGGAGACGAUGAUGAAAAUAAAGUAAUCCCAGAUCAAAUUCGCUCAAAAAAAUUCCAAAUAAAAAUUACAAAAAGAUUAACUGCCUGUAAAUCAGGAAACACAGAUCCAAAGCCCAACUGAACAGUUUUGUAUGAGCAUAGACCAAAAAAGGAAGAAUCAAGGGCCCCUUCGACUUACAAGGUGAACUGGGGCUUUAAUAUGUUUAACAAGAGACGACGAGCAUUGGUUGGCUCUGACCUCAUGCAUGUGAUGCCGUCUGAUGUGCUCAUCAUCUUCCAUUCCAGUUCUUUUUUCGCCACUCAUUAUGCUGAACAUAAUCACUGCUAAUCAAACAAUAAGCAAUUCCGUGAGAGCCUAUUUCCACCGACAGAAGCAGGAACUUGAGUGGAUUUUGCGUGUUAUCGGACGGGAUGGAGAGAAAGGGAAGAGGGAGUGGAUGUUUGCGGUAAAGUCAGCCCUGGAAGGGUCCAAAAGACACCGCCAUUGAAACCUCCCCUGGCUUCAAAUAAAUAAUGGGCCUAAAAAGUGUGAACAGAAGUACACUCUCUCUCUCUCAUCCACAUCUCAUUUCCAUUUUGUGUAAUUAAAAAAAAAAAACAAAAACUUAAUUGCCUACUGCAUUAAUGGCUGCAAUGUCUCCCGUUUCUUGUCAUUGGUCAGAUGGAUUAAACCAAACUAAACUUCUCGUUGCCUGCCAUUCUCCUCUUUCAUAUAAAAAUAAAAAAAAAUUAUUUGUAUUGAAUAAUGGCUAUCGAGUGGCUCGAUUCGUUUGCAGCCCUAACAGUGAUGUGAUAUAGGUGGCAAGAAAUAAAUAAUUAAAAAAUUUUCCUCUAAUAUUCCGGGGGGGGAGGGGGGUUUGGUAAGAGCUUAUUCAUAAUUAUUUUGUUGCGGACAAAUCAAAUGAAAUCGGCCUGUGAGUUAGUGCUCGUCAAAUAUUAAACUUGACUAAAACGUGUUGUUCGGUUAGUAUUUGCCAAACAGCAUUAAACACGAUCUGAGGAAAAUUUACAUGUAAACUUGACUAAAACGUUGUUCGGUUUGUGAAAAGGUUAAAAAUUUACAUGUAAAUAAUGAGGCUGCUCAAGGCCAAAUUGCCUUCCCUACGCACGCGAACAACCCUUUGGGUUUGUUUGGAUUACUUCAUAUUUCCCCAAUUUUAUUUGCUUAAAUCAUCUUUACAAUUUCCAAUACACUUUUUUAUCUUUCCAAUAUCUUUUUAUCUCACAUACAUCACAUCACAAAAAGUGCUACAGUAAAAAUAUCCCAAAUAAUCCCAAAUAACUUACAAUCCAAACAGACCCAAAAUUUGACGACAAUUUCAAGUUAAUCAAAGCAUGAAAUAAAAAAAAGGUUUGGCUAAUACUUAUACCGUUGAAUUAAAAAAAAGAGGCAUGGAGAUGGAGGGUAAUCCCUUUCAACCAUCCAUCAUUUGCGUUGGCUAAUUGAUUGUUACCCAUCAUCUUUCGACCUUACCUACAUAAGCCCUCCCUUAAUAUUUUUAUUUAUUUUUUUACCAAUAAGCCCUCCCUUAACUAGAACUUGAAAUGAUGUGAGGACUGAAAGCGCGUACGUAGUACCAGUUACCAAAUGAUCCACGUGACCAAGGUGAAAGGUCUGCCCAAAUAUCUUACAGUUACAGAUCGAAUAAUUUAUUCUCUUUCAUGCGACGCUUCUUCUCUCUUUUUUUUUUUGGGUAAAAAAAAUGAGAUCCCAGCCCUUAUUUGAGUUAUUGGAUUAUUCACCAUUUUUGUUAUAAAGGUUGAACUCUGGUUGGUAGAUGCCUUGAUUAGGGACUACACCACCAGAUCAGCUACUGCUACCUUGGGGGGACACGACGCUUCUUCUCUUUCGAAAGCCAAAAUUAGGAGUUGUAUGUAUCAUGUCAAUAAUGGCAUUCCACUAGUAGUAAACAUCAAAAUUAGCUUGAUCAAGUGUUUAAAAAAAAAAAAAAGCUUGAUCAAGAGUCUUUCCCCAAGCUGUGGUCAAGUAGAAUGAUGUCGCUUAGCCUCCGAGAGCCAACUUAAGUUGCAAGGACAUUGAUCGUAAGGUCUCUGAUUCAAACCCUUCAUUUUGAGUUUUACUGAUAGUCUUUCUUAAGGUUUGAUAGUCUCCCAUUAGAAGAAAAAUGUUGGUAACAUCAUUUUAUUCAGAGAUUAACUUUUGAUAAAAUCAUAUUGAGUUCCCAAAAAAAAAAAAAAAUGACCAAGCCUAGUAGUUGACUUUAGAACUCACGUUUUGUCUUUUGUUUGCAUUAACUGGUGCAAAAUUGUAGCCCUCUCGGAGAUCAUGCAAGUGCCUCAUAAAUCCGGUACUCCACAAGAUACAACUUUUUCCUUCUUCUAGGAUUUAACAAAGAGUAAAUUUUUUAUACACUAUUAAUAUAUAUACUAUCACAAUUAAAUGAAUGAUACAUACGUAAAUUUUGAAUUUUACACAUAUAUUAUAUACAGUAUUUAAUAAUGACGGUGUAUAUUAGAUUAACUCUUUGACAAAAUCCCGGACUUGUAAAUUGCAACUGCGCACGCAAAGAAAAUUUGCUGGAAAUUUCAUUGGGCCGACCCCAAUGAAAAGCCCCUCAGUUUGCAAACUGGCCCAGAAGACGAUCUUCCCGGACAAUAAUUUCCCGCCAGUACUGCUCCUCGCCUUCAUCGGCCUCCCUUUUUCCCGCCAUUCCGCAAAUCUUCUCAAUCGAUUCGCUCCUCACAGUUCAAAGCUCCUUCUCCAUUCCUCAGCUCGCCAACCCCACCCGGAUCGUAUGUUUUCUUCUUCGUUUCUGCAAUAUCUCAAAGUUUUAAUUACAAAAAUCAGUAUAUAUUAAGCAGUAGUAAUAUUUUAAUUUUCCUUAGGGCCAGGUUUUCUUUUUCUUUACAGUAGCCCUUUUUGCAUAUCAUCUGUGAAAAUAGUGUGACGAGUUUCCUACUCAUGGCUGGAGAGGGAGCUGAAAAUGGAAGAGAUGAUAUGAUUAUUGAUGGAUCAGGAGCUGAUCAGCAGAGGCAGAAUAAUUUAAUCUUUGAUGGAGUCAACGUGAAUUACCUCAAACUUUAUUACGGUAAGUUUUCUUCGUCUUAGAAUAUGAAUGUUCAUUUCUUAACCUUGAACAAGUCUACUGCUUUUAAUCUAUCAUCGAUUAUCCAUAAAUUCGAGAAUUGUAUAAAUCCCAGUGCCUUUUUGUUCCUCGUCUUAGGGCAAAGAUUCUGGAUUUAAUUUUUAGUGCCUCCAUUCCCUUACCUUCCCCAUCCUACUUCAUCCUUCCCACCUCUCCCCCGUUGAAAGAUUUCUUUUUUCGGAAAAAGAAAAACCUAUUGUCUACCGGAUGCUUCCUUAUAUAGUUUCUGUCUGUGGCAGGGAAGCUUUUUCCUCAUGCUGAUGUGUUUAAAUGGAUGUCGUAUGGGAACGGUAUGCUGGAUAUCUUAACCUACAGGUUCCCCUUUUUGUGGGGGGACAAAAGAGAGACUGUAUUUUUUCUUUUGAAGAACUCAUAGAGUUAUGUUUUGGCUGGUUAGAUGGGAAGCAUCCCGGGUGCGACCAUUCAUACUUCGGGCGCAGAGAAUUCUCCUUCACCUUGGAUAAUGACAUAUAUUUGCGGUUUCAGUCUUUCAGUGGCUUGUCUGAAAUGGAAAAUUCUAUAAGGGAAAAAUGUCCCUUUAAAAUUGAUAUUGGCCCUGUUUACAGUGUGGAUGUAAGAUUUCUUUGCUUUGGUCCUGUUUUAUUGGUAAAAAUGUCCAUUUGUUUACAUUCUGGGUACGUAUGAGUUAUGACAUAUGUUGCAAGCGCAAUAUGAGAAUGCAAUGAAUGAAUAGCGGAAGACUGGAAAUCGAUGUUGUUUUUAUCAAAACAUGCUUGAGGCUUCUUUUAUAUGAAUGCUCAGUACCAGCCUGUACGCAUGAAUGAGUCAUCGGCUUUUCAUUUAGCAUUUUAUGUGCUUUCUCGUUUCCUGCAGCCUGCAAGGAGGCAUGCCUAUGCACAAGGGAGUGAUAAUGUCUUCACUCCAGUCGAGAGGGAGCUCAUUUUUGAUAUAGUGAGUUGCUUAAUUUUACAAUUUAAGACUGCAUAGUUGGAAUCCCCAGCCAUUUGACAUUUCUAUGAUACAGGAUAUGUCAGACUAUGAUGACGUAAGAUAUUGCUGCUCAGGGGCCGAUGUCUGUUUGGAUUGCUGGCCAUUGAUGACAGUUGCUAUUAAAGUUCUUGAUUCUGCCCUUAGAGGUAUUCAUACUGUUUUCAUCUAUGAUCUGAGUAUGUUCUCUGCUCAUCCUUAAAGCUGUCAUUUCUGGCAUUUAUAUGUUAAGAGAAAUUUCUUUUCCAUUAUCACUAUUGUAUUGCGGCUCAUUGAUAUGCUAAUUGACAGCGUUUUUUUGUUUUUUGGUACUCUUUGUUCACUUUCUGAUGUAGUAUAUGAUCUUGCGUACUGUCAAUUUUUAACUGUUCGAAUAAUAUUUGAUCCUUUUUGUCCUGUCAAACAGUAUUUUCUUCCUCUUCAGAGCAGUUUUUAUUUUUAUUUUUAUGUGAGUCCUUACUUUCAUUUCAUUGGAACUUGUUUUCAAUUUCUGUUGAGGUUCGAAUUUUUUCUUAUAAUCUCUUAGAUACUGAAAUUAUUUGUGGAUUUAUCUUCAAAAGAAUAUAAUCUGUUGACCAAAUAUCAUAUACUACAAUAUCCUAAUUUCGCUCAACUUUGUCCUGCAGAUGACUUUGGAUUUAAUCACAUCCUCUGGGUGUACAGUGGUCGACGUGGUGUGCAUUGUUGGGUGUGCGAUGGAAAAGCUAGGAGGUAAUGCUAACAUUUGAGAAAAGUAAAGGAAAUUUAGACUUGUAAAUUUGCUAUUCACCAAUUGAGGUGUGCCUUAUAUUGCUACUACACCAGGUUGAACAAUGAACAGAGGGCAGCUAUUGCAGAUUACUUUCGUGUGUAUAAGGUAAUCCAUACCUAUCUCAGAUCUCCAGCGAUUCUGGAUUAUUUUUUCUUAGCCCAAGAUCUAACGAGCACAUUUUUCUGUUCAGGGUAAUGAGAAUAGUCAAAAAAUGGUUUCUCUAUUAGGUCAAGCACUUCAUCCCUUCCUUGUGUAAGUGCAUUUGUCAUUUUCUUAUGAUAGGUAAUCAAGUGAUUCUCUAUAUCUAUUUGCAUCUUUGUGAAUAAGUCCUCAUUAUAUCUCUGCAGGAGAGCACACAAUGAAGUUCUGAAAAUUUUCUUCGAGGAAAAAUUGCUUUCCACUCAAAAUCUAUUAUUAGAUGAGGACCGAUACGAGAAGAUUCUAGGAAUGAUUCCUGAUGAAUGUAUGUGUAUUUAAAUAUCAUUGGAAUUCAUCUCCUGGUCCUCGUUCUGUUGUGUUAUGGGUAACCUUUCCUCAAGCACUGGGAAGUUGUGAAACAGAAUGUUUAUUUUGCAGCCAUUACUUCAGAGCUUCGUGGAAAGUGGGCUGAUAAUAGGCGCUCCAAAGAAGAUAUUAAUGUUGUCCGCUGGCAGCAACUGAAGCACAUGCUGCAAUCAGCGAAACAAAAGGUCAGUAGGUCAGAGUAAAGGAGCUGCAAUUAGCUAAAGCUAAUUCAUGUAUCCUGCUCCUUCUAUGUACUCCCAGUCUGGAGUUACCGAUAAACAAUCAAAUCUUGAUUGAGUAAAUCAAAAUGUACUUUCCUUUUCCCGUUUCAGUUGCAACUUCGUCGGUGUGUGGAAGAGAUAGUUUUUUCUUUUACAUAUCCAAGGCUUGACAUGGAGGUCUGUAAAUUCCCCCUACCUCUUCUACUGCCUCUCGUCAGACAUCAUAUUUCCUUGCUAAUCACCUUAACUUCUUCUGUUCCCAACCUGAAUGAAUCACUGAAAUGUAUCAGGUUUCAAGACACAUGAACCAUUUGCUAAAGGCACCCUUCUGUGUACACCCAAAAACAGGUUUGCAUUAACCUUCAAGAUAUAUAGAAGUUCAGGAUUUUAUAAAUUCUGAUGGGUGGUCACUUUCAUUUGAUUUUGGUAUUAGAAACCGUGUGCAUUGAUUGGAAAACCUAUCUUUGGACUUUGGGUUCAAACUUUAGCUGUGAAGAUAUGAUAGCUGUUGAGCAUAUGUACUGUGAUUCAUCUGAAAUGCAUUUUUCUUGUUUGCAGCUCCUUGACAUACAAUUCUUGCAUCUUGCUUCCUUUUUUUUCUGCAGGCCGUGUGUGCAUUCCUAUUGAUCCAAACUGCUGUGAAGAUUUUGACCCUACUGCAGUACCGACACUUUCCAAGGUAAGCGUCAAUGUGCAAGAAAUUAUUCAUCAUUUCUACAAGAAUUUAUUAUGGGAAUGCUGAUAGCCUUCUGUAUGCCUCCUUAUUUUGGGAGUGGUCAAAUGGUUUUAAAUAGUUAAUUCGUUCUCAAAAUAAAAAUCUUUGUUGUUUUUUAUCACAAAUAUGUUUCUUAUCUAUUCAUUAUCUCCUUACCCAAAUAUGCAGAUCCUUGAAGAACUUAAUACGGAAGGUUCAAGAAAGGAAGGUGACAAUGGUAUGCUUACAGAACCAGAGAUUCUAUGAGUGCUCUUUGAUUUGGUUGAUGAAAGUUAAUCUAGCAAGCAUCCCAGAAUGAAUAAUUAUUUCUGGCUCUUCUUAAUUGCCUAAUUAUUUAGAAUAUAUGUUAUGUUCAUUGUGAAUUAGAUGGCACACAAUUGCUUCAGGUUGGUGUUUCUUCCUUUUGUCAUUAGGUGAAUUUAUCUGGAAUGACCAUGAUAAAACUUGAAAACUGUCAUGCCUUUUAAACAUCUUCACAUUUAGUAGUAUAUUCCAUUCAAGAUAGUUGUCUAAUGACUCCAAGUCUUUCCAAACUGGAAGGUCAGAUAUUAGUUAUACAUUAUGGUAAUUCUUGGUGGCAGAAUGGGAUAGAACAUCACUGGGAGAUCCUGUCAGAUAUUUUCGAUCAUCUUUCUUGCAGCCUCUGCUAAAAUCAUGCAAGGUAUUUCUCAAUUAUUAUGAUAACUUGUUCUCAUACUAAAAGACUAUGCUCUUUUCCAUUUUCUUCCUUUAUUAUUUUUUUUGAAUUUUGGGGUUGUGUUCAUUGUUUUCUGAGACGCAUUAUAUUUUCUCUAUGAACACUAGUGGUAUAUAGGCUAGCUCUUAUGUCAUCUAAGGUCAAAAGUUUUUUAACACCAUCUAAAUUUUGUUAGCCCUAGGCCUUGAACUCCAUUUUUUUUUUAAUCUUGCCUUUUUCCUGUAUUAGUUAUCUCUUAGCUAUUCCCCUGGACUAGCAAUGAAAUCUGCAUCUAUUUCGAAUUUGAAUGAACAGAGUUGAGAAACAUUAGGAUUGACCCAAGGCAUUUUGUGAACUGCGCAGGAGGAGAUAGAGAGUUCCUAUAGUGCCAAACUUCAGGAGUCAAAGAACUCACUGAACUGGUAGAGUAUAUUAUUCAUCAUCAUGUGUAAUUUUACCUCUCUAAGUUGAUAGCUUGGCAUAAAAGUGUCAAGUCCAUUUGUUUUUCUGAGGCAUGCUGGUAGUUUGGCUCCACUUUUUUCAGUUAGCAGUUGGGAGUCAUUAACGGUUGUCAUGUACGUAACAUAUUAUAAUUGUCAUGGCAAAAAGUUGUAGAGAUCAGUAAUUUAUUAACAGUUGUCAUGUGUGUAAGAUAUCUCAUACGGCUUAGGCAAGUAAUCUGAAGAAUUUUAAGUGCAAUUUAUUCCAUGCAAUGAAUAUCACUAAAAAUUUAGACGGGCUUCCAUUUGGCACCUGUAGGUGGAAUCUUGAGUGGCACUUUGAUCAGUAGGAUGUACUGUUGUUCAGAAUAUAAUCUUUGUGCUAACUACAGAACAUAAUCCAUUAGAUGUUGUGCAAAUGUUUCAGACAACUUUGCAUUCCCUAGUCCUAGUAAGGAAUGUUGUGUACCAACAGGUCUUGUAUUUUUUUUUUUUUUUCUUCUUCUUCUUUUUCUUUUAUUUUAACCAAGAAGUGGAAGCUGGAAUGGAACGUGUAUCCGUGCCAAAAUAACAUGGGUAUUAAAUCCUCCAUCGUACAACACGAAUUAUCUUCUGGUCCUCACCCUUCUGAAGUGCUAAAACUAAAAGAGCACUGCUGCGUGUUCUUGGAAAGUAAAACUGCGAAUAAAUAACCUCCUUGUCGUUCAUGUCUUCAAUCUUUGCUUUUAGAAAAUCGCAUCAGUUCCAAACGUUUUGAGAAUCGGAAGAGAGAAUUUUUGCACUCUCGGUCUAAAAACACGUACACUGAUAACUGAUUACCAAACCCAAAAUCAGUCACCACGGGGGACUUUACCAGAACGAACUCUUCAUUGUCAAAAGCAGCCAACCGUCCGUGGUACUCUCCCUCUGUGGUUUUCCUUCGCGACAAUGAAAGGACUAAAUUAUUUUCUCCAGGUGAUUGAAUUCGCAAGUUUCUAACAAAAACAAUAAUAUGAAUGUUGCAAAUGAUUCUGCGCGUGGAUUUCUGCCUUGGUGAAAGCUUGUAUUUGUAGCUCACUACUAUGGUUACAUCUUCCAAAAUGAUCAACCACAGAUAGAUAUUAUAGACAGAUCCAGAGGAUAGCAGAAAUCGAGUACUAACCAGACGUUCUUUGCAUCUUCUUGCAUAUCGAAGUAAAAUUAACAAAUCCUUCACGACGAAUCAUUAUGAACCUUUUUUAGUAAUCAUCACGAGUUGCAAAGAACGAGAUAACUUGCUACUUCUCAUGCCCUAGAUGCAUAUGAAAACUUCGUCAGGGUGAAGUGAUCUGCAAAAAUUGAUGAUUCAACACCCAACUCCACUCACUAAAUAUUCGAACUCCUCACCAUCCAAACAAAGGUUAAAUACCAACACGCAACUGAGCGUAGCAAACCUGACAGUAGUACUACUACUACUAGAUAGGGUACCACCAAAAUUAAGCAUUUACACUGACUACUAGUAUUAUUACAUAAGACGUAAGAACUAAAGACUGGAUUCCCUAAAUUUCUAGACGUACUAAUAGUGACUGGAAGAAAAGAAAAAAAAAAAAAAAAAAAAAAAAAAUCUCUCCUCAGAAUCUAAUUUCUAAUUAGCCAGCACUUCCCAUAUCAAAUCAGGAUCAAAGGAGGGAAAUCUAGCAAGGGAGCAAUCCUCAAACUCUGAACCCAUCGGUCCAACUGGAAAUUCACCUGAGAUCGAGGUAGAUGAAUUCUCACCCUUCCAAAUUCCAUCUUCCGAAACACUCGGAGUCGGUGAAACCAAUUCACUACUCCAACUGUUGUCGUUACCAAGCGGAGGCAGUGAGGAUGAGGAUGAGGAUGUAUCAAGAAUCUUCAUUUCCUUCUUGCUCUCUUUAACCUUUGUAGCAUCACCACUCCCGCCACUACUUUUCUUGGCAUUCUUGUUGGCUCUCUCUCUUUUAACCUUCUGGCAAAUUGCUUGAAUUUUAGCAUCCACAGCAUUCUUCAGAGCGUUCAACCUGGCACCAUCUCCAAAUCCCAACUUGCUAGGAUCGCGAAGAUUGGGAAAAUUCAACCUGGCAUACUCCCCACGAAGCUUGUAAGCUGCUCUGUCGUAUGCAUACGCUGCUGCUUCAGCUGUGUCAUAGGUUCCAAGCCAAACUCUCAUUCUGUUCUGAGGAAGUCUUAUCUCAGCUACCCACUUGCCCCAGUGCCUCUGCCGCACCCCUCUGUAUAGCUUUUUCUUGCACGGAUGCAUAAAACUCUGUGCAUAUACAGAGUUCUGAAGAGGGUUCGUUAGCCUAAUUCUUGAAACUGCAGAGGAGUUUCCUUUAUUUUCUUCAUAGAAUUUGUGGAGCAGAUCUCUUUGUUUGAGGUAGACUGAAGAUCCUAGUGGCUCAAAAACAGAGUCCGCCACAGGAUUUGGCUGUUGGCCGUAAGAGAGGAUUGAGUCUAAGGUGUUAGCACCACCAGUUAAAAUGAGAUGCGAGAGUGAAGAUCGAAUGCUAGCACCAUCUUCAAAUGCUAACGGCACGGUGUUUUCUUGGACUCCUGCCAUUUUACUUGGGAUUUGAUUUUCAAAGCGAGACAAAACAGGGGAGAAACAGAGGAGGAAACAGGGGACUCCAAAAAAAAAUUUGUCCCUUCUUCCUGGAUCAGGAGAGUGAGAUUGAUGAGAAAAAAAGGAAAUCUAUAAGAAGAAGAAUUGGCAACGAAAGGAAAGAUAAUAACUCUAUUCAGUACUUAAUGGCAGCUGAUGAUCCACACAAAAUAUCUCGGGAUCAACUGGGAACCGGGGUUUUCGGGGAUUUUGAGUUUUCAAAAAUUUGAUGCAGAAAUGGUUAGUGAUACAAGAUGAAGACAAGGAUUGAAGGACCUGAAUGAAGAGAAGGGAUGAAGUUGGAGAAUGAGAAGCAACAGAGAGUAUUUACUCUUUUGAAUAGAGAUAGAAAUGUGAAAGCUGUUAGUAAAAAGUAGUAGUCCUAGCGCAGAGAUUCUAGCCUACACCCUGCAAUAUGAGAAUUAUUUCAGGGUUGGGUCUCCGCUCGCUGUAUUUAUAGCUGCAGGCGAUUUUUUGCGCGUCAAUAGUUCACAUUUGUGAUUCAACUUUACACUCUCGUCUACUGAACAGAACGCUAAAGUUUUUAACUUAUCCCGUGUGGACCAAAGUGGUCCGUACAAGUGAUUUAAAAAGCUUACUUUAUGAAUUUAUUACAUGUGGAGCCAGCCCAGUUGCGGUUAAAGUCCAAAAUGUACGCAUUAACUCAGUGCCACGCGCCCCAUUCUGGUUGAGAUUUGCCUUUGAUUGCCAUUUUCUGCUCAUGUAUGGCAGGGGAAAUUUGCUUCCACUUUUUUUUUUUUUUUUUUAAUGAAUGAACGAAUGAAUCCUUGCGUCCGCUUCUUUACCAUUGCUCAGGAGGAGAGCGACGGCCGAUCGCAGCUCAGCUUGGUUAACUUGUUCAGAUGAAAAUCUUCUCAUUUCACAAUGCAAACUCAAGACCAGGAUAUUUUCAACGUUCCGUAACUUUCACAGUACAGGUAAUUAUUGGGAUUCAGCCCAUUUAGAUUUUCCAUUUGCAUAAAUCAAAGAAAGGCACGGGUGUAUUUGGAUCGUAAAUUAUUUGAGAUAAUUUUAUGAAAAAAUUAUUAUAGCACUUUUUUGAUACGAUGUAUGUGAGAUAAAAAAGUGAUAAAAAAUAUAUUGAUGAUGCAAGCAAAUCAACGUAUGUAAAUAAGAUGUAAUAAUUUACGAUCCAAACACACUCUCGUGUGUGUGUGUGUGUGUAGAUGAGAAAAAUCCGAAAGUAAACCUUUUUAACGUUUGAAUUUGCUUCAAACCCCUUUUUAAUAUUCGGAUCGGGAGAAAUCGUACACCUCCUCAAUAAUUUCUCCCUCCUUGUUACUGUUAAUAAAGAGGAAUGAUUUGCUAUGUACUGGUAUCCUUUGUACUGACUACUUUCAGCUAUGGUACUUGCCUAAAAUUUCAAUGGAAGUGUCUUGACGACUGUUACCCCAAUCAAUUGUGUAUAUUGCUUCGGAUUUGUCUUGACAACUGGAACAUUAAACAGGAUCGUACGUCCUUGACAUUCGACUCAAAGAUUAUAAUUACUGUUGUGGCUGUGGCUGACAGACAAGCAAUUUCAGGAAUAAUCAACGAAAGCUAUCCUAAACUCUGCAUCGCCAGCAUUUCAAGAAUGAUAAGACACGCUUCUGUCCUGCUACCUUAAAUUGUGCCCAAAAAAAUUCGCAUCCAAACACAACCUUAAUCUACAAGAGUAAUGCUCCUCCUGCAACACAGACUGCCAUGCACAAAAUCAUCUACAAAGUCCUGAUGAUUAAUUCACCAUUUAAAGUCUCUAAACUCACAUCAUGCCAUGUGUAAUUUAAUUAAAGUUCACGUUUACAGAGACCAAAUUGGAUACAAGUUGUAUGAUUAUGCAUAAUCAUCGGUCAUGGUCUUAAAAAGAUUUCGCGGCGCAUAAACCAAAAGCUCCUACUCGCAUAAUUCAGAGUGGAACUAACUAAUGAUGUGGUAGUAGAAAAAGAUCAAUCGGGUAGGUGACACUACUGCAUGGGUAAAAAAAAAAAACACUCAAAAGGAGGAGCCAAGCGGAGUCCAAAAGCCACUACGAAACGACACUUGCAAAAAUAUCACAGGGUGGGAGGACCAAGCGGCUCAACAAUCAACCAGUGGCUGGAAUCCAAAUGGAGGCUGAUGACCGAUUCUUUCAUCGAUCCUCAUCUUCUUUUAGAUGGGGAAGAGGGAGUGAAAUCAGAUCAGUCAUGAGAGAGUCGUUAUCGCAUCUUUUUGCAUGGGACCCGAUAUUCACUGCACGGCAUUAAAGACGGAAAGGUGGCUUUGAAGGAUGAUGCUGAUGAUGGCGUUUUGAAGACAAGGCUCGUGAUGGACCCAAUUUCAAAGGCCUAGAAACCCUUUUUUCCUGUCUGCAUGUGAUGCAAACCUAACCCUCUUCUUCUUCUUCCUCCCUCGCAAAAGUCAAUCCAUAUCCUUUUUUCCCCCAUCCCCCGUGCCUCUCAUGCCCUCCUCCUUCCCUUUAUGCAAAAUGCCCACUCUUCUGAAUUUUUUUUUUUCUUCGCUUCCCUCUUUCGCCAAACUAUCCAAGACUAAUAUGAGGAGGAUUAGGCAACGAUAAAGAAAUUCACAGAGCCAAAAAUGAUGAUGACAUCAACCUAAUUUCACUCUUUUUUUCAUGGUUGUUCAGUUUCCAAAUUUGAGCCGAAAUGAGCAUCAUCUUUCUCUCCUUCCCUUGAUUGGAACCCAUACCGGGCAUCUCUGAAUUCGUCUUCAAAUUAAACAUGCGCAAAAAAAGCGCAUUCUUUGCUAUGCAUCUUUGUUACUUAUCAGGAACUGCACGACAUUAACAACUCGUUAAAUUUGAGACCUAGAACGGGCGCCUUUCGCUUAAUUAAGAAACCAGACCUUUCAUUAGAAUUUCAUUCCGCGGUUCUACAACACCUGGCCAACUGAAAAACAUUCGAGUGAGAGCUCUCGUUCAAAUUGAACUUGACUUAAUCUCCGAUUAUCCUUUUGAUGAACACCAUUGUUCCAAAGUUUCCUUUUUUUUUUUUGGCUUUCACUUCACAUUUUCGGGUGUGAAUGUGAAAUCAUACUUGCUCGAGAAAAUGGAAAUUUCUCUUCUGGCGGUGGCGGUUUACUUGCACAAACGAAACAACAUCUUGGCCAAUUCUUUGAGGCCGCAUCCGCAUCAUCAUGGCCCAAAAUUGUUGAAAUUCCAUAUGAUCAUCCCACUCACUGCUAGUCACUCAUUCGAGUGUUUACGUGUAGGGUUGACCUACAAAAAAGUUGUAUUUUGGCUGUAUUCGGCUGGGGAUGGCCUACAAAUGCACUGGCUGACGCCGACAACAAAUGUGGUCCCACCUCCGAAUGCCGACGCGUCCCCACUUGGCUUAUCGGAUCAGCAACGUGUCACCUCGUCCAUUAAAUACUAUCCAGACAAGGUCACCAACUCGAUACAGCUGAACCUUACUCAUUACCCUCCUCUCGUGAUUUCUUUUUCUUCUGAAGCUUGCAAAACGAAGUGACGUCGUUUUGGGUCAACUGCUUGUGUAAAAUCUCUCCCCUCUUCUCUCCUCCGCACCCCCACCAAAACCUCCUUCUCCCCCACAAAAAAUCUUUUUUUUUUUCCUUUUUUGUUUUUGGAAAGUUUGGGGGUGCCCUGUAUUGAAGCUUUAUCAUCUUUGUACAUGUCUUUCAUGUUUUGGGACAAGGCUACCUCACGUCAACUGCCAUGUCAUAAUGACAUCAUCACCAUCAGUUUUGUGACGUGUCCCAGAGGCAACUGUCGAACUCACUAGUUAGAGCUGCUUUAGAAAUCAGAAGGUUUCCGCCCAAAAAUAAAUAAAUAAGUAAAACAACAAUUGAGAGAGAAGGGGAGGAUCUGAAAGGAAAAAUGAAAAUUGGGGCUCCUUUCUACGUACAACCAUGAAAUUAGAUUUUAAAGAAUCAAAUUAGAUUUUUUUUUCGAAAGAAAAAAAAAUCAAAUUUGACUAAAAUCAGGUGCAAGUGAUGAGUUUUUUCUUUAUAUAUAUGUAUAUAUAUAUAUAUAUAUAUAUAUAUCAAGCAUGCAUUAAAUUAACAUUUAUGCUUGAUGCCUUCCUGCGUUAAUUGGAUCAAAUCAAUGCAUAACAAUUUUUAAAUUUUAAUUGUUUAAAACCUUAAUUAGGUGUAAAAUUGGUGACAGCUUCAAAGUUCAAAGGCUAGAAAUCUUUACAUUUCAAGAGAAGACUUCCUUGUGGAAAAGGAGAACAUGAAGAGUUUGAGAGUUUCAAAUAGAAGACCUCAAAUUUACGGUAGAGUUUGAUUUUAAAUGCUACUAUAAAAGUUUCUAAUGUUGUGUUUGGAUUGUAUUUUCCGUCAUUUUUCAUGGAAAAAAUACUGUAGCGAUUUGAUAUAUGUGAGGAAAAAAGGUGAUAGCAAAAUGUGAUCACGGAAAAUAAUAAGGUUGCGUUUGGAUUGCAUUUUCCAUAGAUUUUUCGUUGGAAAAUUACUAUAGCGAAUUUGAUGUAUGUGAGGUAAAAAUGUGAUUGGCAAAGUCCUAAGUUUGCCAUGUACUUAGUCAAGUCUUGAUUUCUUUUGCUUUCCUGUUUCCUGUUUCCUGUUUCCUGUUUAGGUCUAGCCAUAAAAAAGCAUUAAUUGCCAAAUGCUUUAAUUUCUUUGAUUAUUUUUCUUAUUUGUAGAAUUUGAUUGAUCCGAUCUACUACAGACAGAACACUAAACAGUGAACAACACUAGAAUUUUAGGCUGUUCAAGUCACACAAAAACUUGAUUCGACUAUUUAAGCUCUUUAAACAAUAGAAAUCAAUUUCGCUAAAUUUUUUUACUUUAACAACCAAUCAUGUUACAUUCAACCUCUAAAUAUACUACUUCCUCCAUCCCACUUUGAUAGUCUCAUUUCUUUUUUCACACAGUUUAAGAAAAAGUAGUUAACUUUGUUAGAAAAGUAAAUUUAGAUUACUAUUUUCCUAAAAUACCCUCACAUUAAAAAUGGUACAACUUUAUGGGAACUUGAAUUGAUGGUAAAAAAAGAAUCAACUCUCAUUAAAUGGGGUAGGUUUAUAGUAAUAACAACUUACAUUGAAUAAGGGUAUUUUAGGAAAAUUAAAAUACAACUACAUUCUUCAAUUGGAAGGUGGAUUAUAAUUUGGGACAGACGAAAAAGGAAAACGAGACUAUCCAAGUGGGACAGAGGGAGUACUUUUUUAGUUGUUCAAAUUUCUUCUGAUACUACCCAUUAUCUUAGAAUCGAUGCUGGUAGUUGUAGUAUUUGCAAUUUUGCAUAAUUGCAUUGUCGUUUUAAGUUUUAAAGAACUGCGUUUUCAUUCUCGAACAUUUAAGGCUACUCAGUUGCCUCUUUCAACGAUUGUGAUUCUUCACAUUCUAUUUUCAGAAAUCCCAUUUCACGAAGUUUCAGAAAAAGAGAAAAGUGGCUCGUACUACACUGAAGGUUUUCCCAUGUGCGCGCUGCUGCUUCUCAAACUAUUAUAUGCUUCAGUACCCCAUGCAUCCUGCCGAUGAUAUCCAUGAGAGGAUGACUAUUCGAGAAGGCAAUCAAGGCAUAUGAACAGGAAAAGAUUUUACGUAAAGAAAAAGUUUUAUUAUGGAUGGAUCUGUCUGGUCCACCACUCGCUCUUGUAAUAUUCAAUGGUGUUUGAUAUCGAAGUUACUUAUGUGUGGACCUAGCCACUCUCGUGGCCUUGCCUCUCGAGUCUCGAGUCUCGAGUCUCGACCCUCCUUCCCUUUUGUAUUCGUUGGUGGUUGCGGCUCAUACUCAAUGACAGAGGAAAAUACAUCCAUGACUGUUCAUUCCGGAUACAUAUAGCUUACUGUUCCCAUUGCCUGCAUAUGAGAGACGUGUAAGAUUUAUCUAAAAAAUUAAGGGGAUGCGGAUAAAUAAAUGAAGAAUCGAGAAGAGGUAAUCAGGUAAAUAAAGUAGUACGUGUAAACAAUUAGAAUGAAAUAGCAGACUAAUUUUUGUAAAAAGGUAAUGUAAAACUGCAUUGGAGAAUCUAAUUAUACAUCUUGAGUUAGAAAAUUACAAAAAGCAUUGAUAGUAUCAUGAUUUGGGUUAAUUAAAUAGGUCUUUUUCUUAAUUAUUAUUCACGAUAACAAGAAUGACCAGAUAGAGUGUCGAAGUUCAUUCACUGAAGUAGUCCAAGACUCGAAGUAGUAAAGGGGGUUGAAAAUUAAUAUGGUAGAUGUUGUAGUUUGAAUCGGCAAAGAUUCUUAGCCGAGUUCUACACGAUUCCUGACAAACAUUUCCGGAUAAGGGAUAACUGGAUCUUUGAAACAAAACGAAAAAAAUCGAGCUAACGAAAAUUAUUUGGUGAGCCAAAUUAAUAUGUUAUGGCAUGAUAAUCAACCAUUUAGGCAUUAACAUACCAACGGUUCGGCAAUUGAAUUGGGCGUAAUUAAUGACAAAAUAAUAGGUAAUUUCAGAGUUGAACUCGGAUGGAAGAGAAAACGAUAAGGCAAAUCGUUAUAGACAAAGGCCAAAAGGAAAAAUUUAACUCCUGAAACUGAAAGGGGAUAAAUUGACCAACGUUUGUGGCUCAUAAAUGCAGAUUAUAUAUAAAUGAUAGAUAAAUGGGUUCCUACCAUUGAUAGAAAAAUCGUUGGCUCAUUUGCUAAAUUCGAUUGUCAUUCAAACGUUUUAGACAAAGCAACAUCUCAAACGGUUAUAUGCGACUGAAAAGGAAAAUUAUUGGUUACUAAGGGAUAUUCCGGUAAUUACACUAACACACAAGCAUAUACGAGUUGUAGAAAAUGCAAAAACAGUUGCACACUAAUUACACAUUCCAUCAAUACCCAGAUGGUUCAUCAAUGACAACUUAAAUGUAUUAAAAUAGGGUCAUUUCAGUAAACAUACCUAAAUGCAUGCUUUCUUAACUUAUACCUAAAGCUUUUAAACUAAUACAUAAUAUUUCACAUUCCCAAAAAACCCCCACCUAUGCAGUUGAAAUUCAACCUAUUCUUUGACCAAAACUCAACUUACAUACUCCCUCCGUUCCACUUUAAUAGUCCUGUUUCUUUUUUCACACAGUUUAAGAAAAAAUAGUUAACUUUGUUGGAAAAGUAAAUUUAGAUUGCUAUUUUCCUAAAAUACGCUCACAUUAAAUAUGAUACAAUUUUUUGGGAACUUGAAUUGAUGGUAAAAAAAGAAUCAACUCUCAUUAAAUGAGGUAGGUUUAUAGUAAUAACUACUUAUAUUGAAUAAGGGUAUUUUAGAAAAAUUAAAAUACAACCACAUUCUUCAAUUGGAAAGUGGACUAUAAUUUGGGACAAAUGAAAAAGGAACACAGGACUAUCAAAGUGGGACGGAGGGAGUAAUAUAAGGAAGUUACAUAAACUUUUUUUUCGAAGGAUAAUUAAUGCUGUAGUGCAAUCAAUACUUCUGUUAUGCAAGUAAAUAGGUUUUGUUAAGUACGUACACAUUUUUUUUCUUAAUUAUUAUUCACGGUAACAAGAAUGACCAGAUAGAAUGUCGAAGUUCAUUGAAGUAAUCCAAGACUCGAAGUAAAGGGGUUGGAAAUAUAGUAGAUCUUGUAGUUUGAAUCGGCAAAGAUUCUUAGCCGAGUUCUAUACGAUUCCUGACAAACAUUUCCGGAUAACUGGAUCUUUGAAACAGAAUGAAAAAAAAUCGAGCUAACGAAAAUUAUUUGGUGAGCCAAAUUAAUAUGUUAUGGCAUGAUAACCGGUUUUGCUAGCUUUAGACCAAACAAUUCGAAACAGAACCUAAGGGCUAGAGUGUUAAGAGAGAAAAGAAAAGCAAGAGAAAGUUUUAUGUUAUGAAAGAACAGAAAAGAACUGAAGAGGUCUCAAGUUGUUGGAGAGUUGAAGAAAAAGUCUGCAAUGAAGCUUUACUUUCAUUUGCCCUCCGUUCCUCUCAAUAUUUGGAGAGAAAAACCUUUUAACCAUUAGCCCUUCUAUUUCUCUGCCUCUACUUCCCUUUCCCUCCACUUAAAAAGACCCAUUCUUUCUCAUCCUUUUCUCUUGUGCCGUCCAAACCCUUCCAUCCAAACUAAAUGUAAGUGGCAAAAAAAGUGAGUAAAAUGAUGACACAAAAAAAACCAAUUCUAGGUUCGAACCUCUAGAAACCUUAAACUCAAUUUCUAUCAUCAUCCGUAAAGCUGAAGGUAGGGAAAACACAGUUAUGUAUGUUGGCUCCUUUUAUCGUGGUCUCUACGUGCCACCUUUUCGUAGCUGCUUAAUUUGCAAGUAUGACUUCAUAACAUUUUUGUUCCGAAAUUUGAGAGGUAAUUGAUUGUGUCGUAAAUGUGUUGAAAAGCAAAACUUGUUCUACAAAAACACGAGCACCUUUCGAAGCCAAUUUGGAAUGAGUUAAAAGCAAGCGUUAGACAAAAUAAGCUAGAGAGCGUUGAAAUAGACAAGUAUACUUUUUUUACUUAGAAUUGAUUGGUCAUGAACAAAUUAGGAGAGACCCCGCUGACGCUCACUUUUCCAGUUAGGGAAAUAAGUGUUGCUCCUGCAAAAUUAUCGCAAUAUCAUCAACUAAUUGGAUAAUGGCCAAUGGGUUUUUUUUUUUUUUGGUUACGUACUAAUGCAUACACAGUCUUAUUUAUUGCAAGCGUCAAUGUAUUAGAAUUUAUAACAUUAAAGUUAUACUCUAAAAUUUGUGACAGAAGAUUCAUUGCCUCGAAACGAGACUGAAAAAGGAGAAAAAUGCAACCAUUGCCUUCUCGAGCAACCUUUUUCAACGUUUUAUCAUCGAGAUGUCCUAAUCCUUGAGGAAUAUUUUAAAAAAGGUAUCAAUUGGAACAAGGUCGGUUUGACUAAUUUUGUUAACUCUGAUGACUUCAUACCAGUCUUCAAAUUUUGAGCUCUUUUUCUACGCUAAUCUGAAUUAUUUGAGAUGUUCAAUGAUUGAAAAACCGUUGCCACCUCCAGAGAUGUCGGGUUUAUAAUAGCGCAAAAUAUUUAAGAGCCAUCUCCACUCGGUUGCCAGUCUUAAUCCAAGGUCGAAUUUGUAAACCCCUGUGCUAAGGGAAUUGACUUGUUCUAAGCCCGUGGCCGCCGGCCAUGCCUCACCACCGACUUGGAUGUUGAAGUGUCUGACGAACGAGUCUACUUCUCAGUCCAUGCAUAAUCCAUUACCAGCCGUAUAAUAUAUUUCCUCUCUAAGCUCCGGAAAGCAGAAAAGCAAGACGCACAAAUGGGAAAGCCCCCGCUGUAGAGUGGUUAGGGAAUUUUUAUUUCUUUAUUUUAAUUGAUUUCUUGUUUUUGGUGGAGGGCCAAACAUGUCUUUGUUUGACCAUGGGUUUGUUUAAUACUAGUAGACACUAAGUGUAAAUUUUUUGAGGUUUGAUUGCAAUUUUUGCUACGUUUUCCGUGGACAUAUUUUCCAAUCAUCUUUUAAUCUCAUAUAUAUCAAAUCGUUACAAUGACUUUUCUACAAAAAGUCCAGAAAGAUGCAAUCCAAACAAAGGCUAAAUUUAGGUGCAAGAGAGACAAUAAUGAUGAUGUUAGUACACACAACAUUAUAGAUUGAAAGUGUGUUCAACCAGUGUCUUUGUCUCUAGCACAAAAUCAGAGCAUCCAUGAAAUAUUAACGUGAAUAUAUAAGUGCGAUGGUAGAUUGAGUCAGAAGAAGGAAAUUUGUUCAAAUACAAAUUCAUGGCACUAAUUUGGUUUGGACAGUCAAGGCAAAAUUACCCAACUUGUUAUAUGUUAUCAUUCUCAUGACUAUAUAUACAUCUCUCUAUAUAUACAUAUACAUAUACAUAUAUAUAUACUAGGGAGGGAUAGCCCGCGCGACGCGCGGCAAUUUGGUGUUUGUGAUUCAAGAUAAUUAAUAAUUAUUGUUUAAUAUUUUGUAGUAUAGGAAUUGAAGUAUGAUGAUUUUAUCAUGUGAUUUUAAUAGAAAAAUCAUAAGUUACAUAGUGAGUCAAUAAAAAUAAUGUGCAAUGAGAUAUCCUUAUUGUUAUACUAUAUAAGAAUCCGUUGUGAUUAAAUGUUAUGUUUGACUUUCAAUUGCAAAGAUAAGGGUAGUUGGAAAAUGUAAAAAUGUUUGAAGUACAAUUAAAAAGUAUCCAAAGGUCUUUUCUAAAAUUUAUCCAAAAUGAUAAAACAUUUUAAAGUAUCAAUUGGACCUUUCAUCUCUCGAAUCUAUAUAUGUUCGUGAAAGAUCCCUAAAGCAAUGCUUUUGAUUUCUCCCUCGAUUUAAGUUCAACCUGAAUUAUCAAGUCUAGUUUAUCCAUCAAUCACUUUGCGUCCAAUCUAAUCUAAAAUAAUUUUAUUUUUGACUAACUAUUUAUAUAAUUUGGUGGGCAUAAUACGACUGAAUCACAUGUUUCUUACAGAGAUAAUAAUGCCCAAAAAUGAUAGAUAGAUAAGAAACUUAAUGGUCAUUUUCAAAGUUUUGUAGAAACUAUUCAGAUUUGGUGUUUUUUGUUAAGGACAUUUCUUUAUAAUCUCAUAAAUAAGUUCAAAUAUGCAUAAUUGUUAAAGAUCUGAAUUGAAACUAUCUUGAUUAUAAAAAAUUGGUGCAAAUAAUAUUUUCUAAAUUUGAAAUUGUAGAAAAUGGUAACAAAAAUCAGAAGAAAUUCCUCAUAUGAAUUCGAAUUGCAAACUAUAGGUAGAAACUGCUUAAUGAUAUUUUUCAAUGUUUACUUGUAUAAGUAUCCAAUAUAGCAUCUCUAUUUAAUUGACUCGUUUGAACUAUGGAUAAUAGUUGCUUCAAUCAAAUCAAGAAACAUUAUUUAUCAUUGUACAACAUACAAUUAUAAGUAAAUGAAUUAAUACAAUGCAAUCAAAAUAGUGCUGUAGCUAAAGCAUUUAAACUCAUCAAGUUCCACUACAAAUUCUUUUAGAUAGCAUAAAAAGCAAAUUUUUUGUAUUUGAAACUAUAUAAACAGGAGAAUACAAGAAUGAGAUCAUAACAUGGAAAGCAAAUAAAAUGCAAAUGACAUCUUAGUACUAUGUAGCAUGAUUAAUUUUCUUUUUUAGUUUCAAUGAAGUACAGAAUUCUAAGUUAAUAAAUUUUACAAUCAUAAAAUUCCCAAUUAAAAUAAACACAAGCUGAAUUCCAAAUCAAAUUACAUGAAAAAAUAACUACUUGAACCAUAACUACUGAAAUGUAGUCAACAGAUCUCUGGAGUCAAGAACAAUAGAAGAAAGUUCAUGAGAAAUAAGGUUAUUUGACUUCAAUAAAGAGAUAAUACCUUGGCCGAGAAGGAGAAGAUGAUAAACUUACUUUUCUGAUUAUUUUAGAAAGUGACAACAUUAUCUCAAAUUGUACUUUGACCAGAGACAGAAUCUCUGGGAUCUACUAAGGAAAAUAAUACAAUUAGUCAGUCUUUGGAAUUAGAAGUAUCAAAAAACAAACUAUAUGGAGUUCUUGAAUAAACCAAUUAUAAAAAAAAAAAACUACAAUGGAAGAAGACAAGUCCAAAGAACUCACCUCAAUUUAAAGGAAAAGUUACGCAUUCCAUCAAAUAUUUAAUAGCCAUAACAAAACCAAAGGGGUGAAACCGAAAAAGAAGAAAGGGUAUCGGCUAAAUAUGGGGCAUAUAUAUGAUAAUGAUUGUUCAGAUAAUAAUUAAGUUAAUUAAUUGUAAUUAAAAUCCAAUUAUGUAAACAUCCAAUUAAUUCCUUAACGGAUGAGAAAGGUUUCAGAAAAUUGGAAGGUUUGGAUGUUAGUAUAAUAAAUGAUUAAAUGGGCUUUUAUGUAAUUCUAUCAAAACACAAGUUUAAUUUAGUUGUACUUGAUACUCAAUUUGGCACCAAACAUUGUAACAUACCAAACAUGCCCCUAACCUUAAAUGUCUGAAAGGUUAUAUAAGUAAUUAUAGUAAAAUUAAAGUUAUAAUGACUCGUACUCAAUGUUCCAAUUACACUUUAAACACUUUCACAUUCCCAAAAUAGCCCCACCCUUGCGGUUGAAAUCUAAAAACCUUCAUUGUUCUAAACUCGUUCUUAUAUAGUAUAAGAUAUAUAUUCGCAACAUGUCAUGACUAGUUAGUACAAUGCAAUUCACUGGAGACUACGUUACUCAAUCAAUUGUUUGAAUAUGAGUUUAUUUGGAUAAUUUAUUUGAGAUAAUUACUGUAGUACUUUUUGUAAUGUGAUGUAUGUGAGAUAAAAAGGUGAUUGGAAAGAUAAAAAGUGAUUGAGAUUUGUGAAGUCAUUUCAAUCCAAAUGUUUUCCAUGAUCCACUAGAGUAGAUAAAAGGUGGUAUUUUCCUGUAUCACUUCACAAAUUAAUCUUUCGUUCGAUCAUUUAUCCUACUUUCUUGAACUUGAGUGGCUUGUUCUGUACUCUCUAACCAAGUUGGUUAAACAAAAAAAUGACCCCCAAAAAAGAAGUGGACAGCCAUCAGUGGAUUCGGCCCCCAAAUGCUUUCUGCUAAAAUCCACUAAUAAGCUAUGCAAUUUAGCCCAUUCUUCGAGCGAUACUACCGGGCUCUUCAGUUUAGAAAGAAGAUGUUAACCCAAGAUGAUAGGGACCAAGUAACUUGCUAGGCUUUCUUCCAGAUAAUAAGCCCAAACCCAACAAAACUCUUCUUCAUGACCUUCGAGGGUUGCUUUUGUCAUUUCACUUACCAGAAAAACAGUAAAGCAACUGUUGACCGCAGCGCUCCAAAUUGAUAUUCCUUUGCUCUCCUGAUAGUCCACCACCCGAUGACCUUCUUUCGCCAGCUCCCACUUCCCUCGCCGGCGGCCGCCCUCUGCCCCCAGUCCCUCCUGGAAUAUUGACUUCUUCCACCCUAGCGGAUGCAAAAUUUAAGUUCUUAGAUACAAUAGUAUUUGUGCUACUUUAUAAGCUUUGGAUGUUGACUGCUGAAGACUUGGUGACUACUGGGACGUGAGGGACGAGGGAGGCACCGGAGAACGACUUCUGAGGUUGCUAUUCCUUUAAACUUUAAUUUCGAACUUUUUUGAUCCGAUUUUCGUUCUUUGGUUUAUUCGGACCCUGCAAAGAUUUCAUCAAUCUUUAGGAAAUUGACAAAGAGAAAAAAGGAAGAAAAAAGGGCGAAAAAAAUCCCAUAUUUCUAUCAUAAUUAUGUAAAAAAGGAUUUUUUUUUUUGUUUUUUUAGUUUAGAUUAAAGCAAGUGCUUGAGAACUAAAAGAUGGGAUUAAGUUGUAGGCUUCUGGGGACAGUAUUUCUGGCCUUACUCAUUAUCAACUCUUCUGAGGCUUCUGAUUUAGAGGUAAAUAAAGAUUCAAUUUUUAUGUUAACUUUUUAAUGUUUUACGCGCAUUGUUAUCGAUUUGGGAUUUUGUUUUUAGGUCCUGGGAGAUUUAAAAACUGGUAAAAAUGUGAAAGGUUCGGAUAUAUCAAACAAGAAUGAUGGUGGGAAGGAGAAAGUGGUGAACCCAGAAAAGAAAGGACAAGAUCAAGUUGGUACUGGGUUGAAAGAGGGUGCUGAUAACAAAACCACUGACGAUGUAAAAGGUAAACAAGUUGGGUCGAAAGGAGGUGGCAUUGAACAGAAGAAAACGGAUGCUUCUGGUUCUGAGCCGAAGAAAACGGAUGGUUCAGGUUCGGAGCAGAAGAAAACGGAUGGUACUAGUUCUGAGCAGAAGAAAACAGAUGUUGCGGGUUCUGAGCAGAAGAAAACGGUUGAUACAAGUUCUAAGCAGGAGAAGCCAAAUGAUAAUGUCACUAAGGACGUUGACAAGAAAGACAAGGCACGAGGGGAUUCGGGUUCCCAGUCUAAAGAUAUCUCCGCGACACAAGGGAGGAAGGAAGGGGGUGAAGCCUGUGAUUCAUCAUCAAAUAGCUGCACGAUUGAGGAGAAGUCAGUCAUUGCUUGUCUGAGAGUUCCAGGAAGUGGUAAGUGUUUUUGCAUGUUUAAGGCAAUGGUCUAAUGUGAAUUUUUUUCAGGGUACCUUGCUAGUUAGGCUUCAAUUGAUGCCUAUAUGGUUUAAUCUGCUUGCUUAAUGCGUUCACGACAUGAGGCUCUUAUCUUCUGUACAAGUAUGAUGGAGAUGUUAAUCUGAAGGAAAGUUUCAAAGUCCUAGUGUUUUAAAAAAUGACCUCAACUUGGGCCUGCACAUUGAAAAGAGUUUGUUAUAUUGGGUGUGACAUUUGCAGUGCUUUGGCGCUUUUGGCUACCGUUUUAGUAACUUUGUCAUGUUUUUAUUGACGACAUAUAGAACAUUGUACUUCUUAACAAUUUCGAGAUGGACGGUGUCAAAGAUGGCAGAUAAGUUGAACAUCUUAAAUAGGAAUCUCGAGUAUCAUAAUGGAUGAUAAUCAAAAUUUGCACUGCAUUUGGUUCUUAAAUACUACUGGUGGCUCAUUUGUAAUGCUUGUCGUGACUUGAGUGCUUCUUCUUUUUGCUAGAUUGCACAUGUGGAUAGGUUAUUAUUUUUCAAUUUGGACGUUUUACAAGUUAAUUGAUUUGUGUCAAAAAUUGGUGUAUGUAUAUCAUCUUUGCUAUGAUCACCACAAAAGCAGCCCAAAAAGGACAGGUUCUUUGCUAAUGCUUUUGAGUUUGACUUGAUUAUAUGUUGAUAAUUUAUCAAUGUACUAAGACAAUUCAAUCUUUGUUUUGUACCUCCUAGAGUCUGAAAAACUUUCACUUCUGAUUCAAAACAAGGGGAAUGUACCGGUCAGUGUAACACUUUUUGCACCUGAUUUUGUCAAGCUGGAGAAAAAGCAAGUACAAGUUCAAGCUAACAACAAUGAGAAGGUAUGUAGAAGUAAUCAUCACUUUUCAAAAGCUCUGUACAUUAAGAAUAAACUGUGACAAAUUUCCUUUGACUUAGUCCCAUAUUCUUUUUAUCCCUUCAGAUAAGAAAAUGAAAAAACAAUAAUAAGAAUUGCAGGCUAUUUGCAGAUUAUAGAUUGACACGUGUAAUCAGGUGCUUGAUCAGCUGCGUUAGUUAUUUCUUAUAUUAGAAGUACUUAGGGAUGCAACCUACUUGUAUAUGAGAUGCAUAAUACCUUUCACUUUUCAUUCAUAACUUUAGCAAUCUCAUUGGAAGGAAUCUUUUAGAUAGAAAGGAAAGAUUCAAGACCUUAAAUGUCCCCUAAUUUAGUCACAGAAAAGACUUGGCAAAUUAAUCUAUGCUGCACCAGAAAUUUAAAAGUAAAAUAGAGACUUAUGUGCUUUUCUAAACUAUAAUAGCUUUGGUCUAGUCAUGGCAUAUUCCUUUAAUUGGCUGUGAACUUGUUUGGGAGGAAGAACUAGUGAAGGAUGGUAUUUUUCAAUGUGUAGCUGGAAUCACAGCUGAAACUUAGGACAUUUGUCAUUUACAAAUUUGACUGGCUUAUAAAAGACUUGAUGUAGCACAGUGAAAUGUUAAAGAAAAUAAUUAUGGUGGUUUGUUUCAGGUCUAGUCAUUGGCUAUUCAUGUCUACUCCUUACGUAAGAAGUCUGCAUGUUAUUAAUUUUGUCGGAUUCUCUGAAAGAAGUUGCAUUUUACAUGCUUUUAUCAAUUUUUGUGGAGUUCCAUUGUAUUUUAAGAGUACUGCCGUUAAACUGUCUACUGAGGUCAGUCUUAAUUGUACGUAUCAGCAUCUUACAUGUUAUCCAGCUGAAAAUACUUUAAUUUGAUGGUCAUGGAGAAGCAAAUCAACGCCUGCUGUAUGCACUUUUAUCCUCGUGAACAUCUGAUUGUAUAUUGCUUAUUUGCUAAGCACUUUGUAAAUUCGAUUUUACAUUUUUUUUUUCUCUCUUCCAAUAGCUAGACUAAAUUUGUAUGCUUGCUGCUUACUGUCAAAAGAAAUGAGGACUCCUAGUCGUUUAUUGAUAGAUGUCAUUGUUAUGACUGUCUUAAUAUAGUUAACUUGGUAUUUCAGCUUAACUCAUUGUUACAUAUUUUGCAUCGAUUGGAUAAUGUCUUGCCUUCUCCAGUUGUUCUGAAUAGAAGUGCCUUAUAUCUCUGAAUCUGAUGAUUUUGGGUGACUCAGGUCAAGGUUUCAAUAGGAAAUGGAGAAAGUACAACUGGUAUCAUCCUAAACGCAGGCAAUGGCAAUUGCAAUAUUGAUAUCAAGGAGAUGAGUGUACAGAGAUCCAAGGAAGAGACUGCUGUCUCUGCCCAGUUGACAUAUAUUAACCUGCUUAAAAGCACACCCUCGGCAUGGUUCAUAUCUUUUGCUGCAAUCCUAGUGAUAGCAUCAGUUUGCAUUGGUAUUGGGUUCCGGCGGAAAUAUGGUGCAAGAAAUAGCCCUAGUUAUGAAAAACUCGAGAUGGAGCUUCCGGUUUCAGGUGCCAGCAAAGUAAUACCAGAUUCAAAUGAUGGAUGGGAUGACAGUUGGGGUGACAGUUGGGAUGACGAGGAGGCACCGAAAACACCGUCUGUGCCAGUUACUCCGAGCAUCUCUUCCAAUGGCAUUGCCUCAAGACGUAUUAACAAGGAAGCUUGGAAGGAUUAGUAGCUGUUAAAGUGAAUAUACUGUUUUUUUUCCCCAUCUUUCUUUUUCACAACGGGGAGUAUGGUUUUCAUUUGCCAAAAUGUUCUGCCAAAACAUGUUCCCUGACAAAACAGAAAAACAAUCUUGUCUUUGAAUUUUGGGAGGGGAGUUACUCUUUACUCUUACAAAGAUGGACAGAUUGCAGGAUGCCACACGUAAAGUAUAGCUUUUUCAGUUUUUUGUAUAAUGACAAAACUCUAGCUUCAACUAUAUACUAUUGUGAAGGUCAAUGGCAUGAACAACGUAUUAGCAAUUUGUAUCAUUUGAUAUCCCUCUUGUUUGUUCCAUAUAACUAAUUGUCCAGUUUGGAUUGCUAUUUUUUCGAGUUUUUAUAGAAAAGUGUACUAUAGUAAUUUGAUAUAUGUGAAUUAAAAAAAAUAAUCAAAAAAAUGUGUUCAUAGAAAAUAUAAAAAUAUUUUGAAGAAAAAUGGCAAUACAAACAAGGUUUGCUUUGUGCACCACUUAGACGCAUCACUUAGUAAGUAGUAGGGUUACAUGUUCAAAUUAUUAAGGAGUAAGUUUGGAAUCAUUAUUGAUUUUUUUCCGCAGGAAAAAAAAAACCAUGGAUUGCCCAAGAGGAUUUUUUUGCAACAACAACAACAACAACAAAAGAUUGCCGUACCGUCCGUUCUUUCAGGACCCAUUAGAUGACAAACUUCACUGGACAAGUUUGAUUCGAGCGUUAACAAAUGGCCCAAGUCUGAUGUCAAGGUGAACUUUUAAGCAAUGGGCCAUUUCAUCUGUGAAUGAAAGCCAUCAAAUAGCUCAUAAAAAUCGUGUGUGGGUUGGGGCAGUAUCAGAAGAAAAUUUUGGUCGGUCCAUUUGUUGCACAUCAAAUUGUACAUCGGUGCAACUGUAAGUUGAUUGGCAUCUUUUUUGUUGCUUACAUACAAAUGAAGGGUGCCAAAAGAUCCAGCAGCAUACUAUUAUGCCUGUUGGGUAUGUUCAACCGUCAAGUCUUCUUCUUUCUCCCUUUCUUUAUAAAGUUUGAAUCUUUUAUUGACCAAAAAAAAAAAAAAAAAGAGUAUAGUUCCCGCCUCUCAAUGUUGGUUGGAUCAUGGAUCGUAGUCAGGGUCUAUAUAUGUUCAGCACUUGGAUUGAGGUCGAUGCAUCUGUUUCUUUUGUGGGCUCUCUUGUUGUAUUGGGCCAUGUUUGUUAGGCCGCAAAUAAUCUAAAUAAUAAAAGGAAUGGCCGUGUGACACCAGAGCUCGAAACAAGCACACUACUUAAAGCAACAGUUUGGAAAAGAUAAAGGCCAAGUCAGACCUGAUAACAAGGACGGCAUGCAUGCUUAGAUAAGCCCGGCAAGCAUUUGAUUGAUCACGUGAUCACAAGACGCAGUUCUUAAGACAACCAACUCGUAGACGUUAGAUUUUGACUGAGUAACAGAGGAAAUAUUCACACAAGAGCGUACCGCUGGAACACCGCCCAUUCGCAACAAGGGAAGAAAGGUUAUCUCCCACAUCCCAAGUGACGGGCACCACCACAUGGAUAGUUUAGGGAAUUGUUAGCACACGGGCACGGGCAUGGUGAUUGGUGAGUUGCAACCUCCAUUUGAGGGCACAGAAAAAGGAAAAAUGCAUUUACAUCUCAGCACUCUCUUAUGAACAUUCACAUACAUAUAUGGAUGGAUUCAUACAUAUUAUUGUAGCAUGUUCGUCCAUUUGUUUUCUAGCUAUUUGUGUUGUAAUACUCCCUCCGUCCCACUUUGAUAGUCCUGUAUUCCUUUUUCAUCUGUCCCAAAUUGUAGUCCACUUUUCAAUUGAAGAAUGCAGUUGUAUUUUAAUUUUUCUAAAAUACUCUUAUUCAAUGUAAGUAGUUGUUACUAUAAACCUACCCCAUUUAACGAGAGUUGAUUCUUUUUUUACCAUCAAUUCAAGUUCCCAUAAAAUUGUACCAUAUUUAAUGUGAGGGUAUUUAAGAAAAUAGCAAUCUAAAUUUACUUUUCCAACAAAGUUAACUAUUUUUUCUUAAACUAUGUGAAAAAAGAAACAGGACUAUUAAAGUGAGACGGAGGGAGUAAUAUUUUGUGCUACCACAGGUGUCAACAAACUGGUGUGCAUUAAGAUUGAAAGAACGAAGCUCUCUGAAAUCCAAAGUGAAGAGGUGAUUUCUGUCUCGCUGGAGGGAGUCACCCGAGCUGAAAUAGUGCCUUUAUCUUGGGUGGACCACGGAGACGAAGUAACCUGCUUAAGUCAAACAAGGGAAGGGCUGGAUCCCCCGGAGUAUCUCCGAAGCCUAAGUUAGUUCGGAAGUAAGGGGGAAUAAAGGAAUAAGUGUAGUGAGUAUUGUUUACCAGAAAUUGGUCAUCCCCCUUCUUAGUAGAGAUGUUCAGUAUUUAUAGGGGCCGGAUGGGAGAGAAGAACUGCCAUCACAGGUCCCUAGAGAUCUGAUACGGUCAGUGCAUCCGGCGGACUUGACUGGUCUCUAUGACAAGAUAUGAUGGGACGUUUGUCAUGUUCAGGCGGCGUGUCAGGGCAGCUUUCUGUCAGGAGUCAGAGGUGCCAGGGGUCACACCCAACCCUUACGCUGACGUCGGAUGUCUAGGAGCCACCUCAGCUAGGAUGCUAAUCGAGGUGAUGGGAUGUCGACCCCACGGGUGACAGCCGAGGUGGCAGCCCGGGGUAGGCCUUUGGGCUACCCGGGCUGAAAUGGCCAACCUCACUAAGCCCCCCAAGCUUCGAGAAGGACAAGGUCAUUAUAAUCCGAGGUCGUACCUUCCCGAAGUUGACGAGCGUGUGGAACACGAAACAUUGCAGGGACACGUCGAUAUUGUGUGGAUGGGACUGAGAAAGGGGUGAGAAGAUGGUUGUCAGCUUUAACGUCGGAUCCGAAAAUCAAGUGUCAGGUGAACAGUAUCGUCAUUAAUGAGGGGAGAGAAAAAGAGCCGCAGGGAAUCCCAAGGAUCGCGCCUCUCCAGCUUCCCCCUGUCGCCUAUAAAUAGGGGGUUCUUUUUACCGUUCCACGCUUCACCUAAAAUCAGAAAUCACUCCAGAGCUUCAUCACUUCGUCUUUUCACUUCGGCAAUCAUUUCUAAAUCUUCUUCAGCAAUCUCUUCACUUCACAGUCCCUAAGUAAGUUCACUUCUUUUCCUUUUAUUACAAUGGCUAGAACAGCUCGUACACACAAAGAGACAGUAAGGCCAGAUUUCACCGAAGCAGAGAGACCUGACCCCUCCGAGGAAAGGACUGGGUCUGAUGGCAGAGGUGCAGAAGCUGGGAGGCCCGGCCCGUCCGAGAUAAGAACUGCAGCCGACACCGGGGAAGGAGGAGCUGAGGCGUCCCACCGAGCUGAGGCUAUGGAAGAGGAGGCCGAGGAGAUAGAAGUGGACCCUGAGGUCCUGUACAAUGAUAACCUCGGGAAUGAGGUCCCCAAGGACGAAGGUGUGCAGGAGCCUUCCACCCCCCCAAACGUGGCUACGAUGAACUACGGCCAAAUGCCAGCCUUCAGCAGUACUAUGUCGCAAGCCUCCGUAUCCGGGGUCAUCCGUAAAUAUCCCUGGAGGAAGGACUACGGCAUUUACAUACCCCAACCGGACCAAUCCGCCGCGCUGCCACCGAAGGGAAGGGUAGCUAUAUACGUGGAACAGUUGGAGGCCGGGCUCAGAGUGCCCACUACAAGGUUCCUUAGGGACUGCUUGAGGUACUAGGGGGUGAGGAUCACUCAACUCACCCCGAACGCUAUCCGCGUUCUAGUCGGCUUCCAACUGCUCUGCCGACAUCAGAAGAUCGAGCCCACCGUCAACCUCUUCCGCCGUUGCUAUUCACUUAAGAAUAGCGGAAGUGAAAAGGGUUGGUUUUACUUCGGGAACAAGGUUCCGAAGUUGGUGUACGAUACUCCGAGCUCGAUAAAGGAGUGGAAGAAGAACUUCAUAUUCGUCCCGGCUGAGGACUUCCCUAGGGGAUUCUGGUGGAGGCCUCCAACUUCGGUCAAAGAGAUUUCCCCAGGCAAACUGGAAGAACGCAACUUCCAAAAACUGACGGGGUCGGGCCUCAAGAUUAACUGUUGGAACUUCCCUGAGAAUGUGCUUGUGGAAGGAGGGUUCAGUCGAGCCUUGAUCAGCCCGGAUCACCCCAUUCUAUUAUUUUCUAGGCUCAAGAUACCUUGUACUUUUCCCUUGCCCUCCUUUAUUUAUUCUUUUUGAAUUCUAACUGACUCUGUUUCCCUCUUUGCAGUGACAAAACUUUCCGACCUGAUUACUUCGGGGGAGGUUGAGGUGGCGAAGAGGCCAUCAAAGAAGCGCAAGGACGCUGCCGAGACCUCUUCCAGGGCGGCCAAGAAGACUACUGCAGCGGCAGGCACUCGCGAACCCGCCGUGGUGAUCAUAGGCGAGGGCUCGCACACCUCGGGCACGCCUGGCAGAUCCAAGACUUCAUCCAUCCCGGUGGGGAUUCCUUCCCAGGGAGUCACGGUGGUCUCUCCACCUCGGGGGCGAGGUCGAGGUACGACCAUACUCCAGGGUAACCCCAUCUCGGGGUCAUCAUUAUUCAACCUUCACAACGUGCCCUCCAUCGCAGCCGGGGAAAACAAAAGGCACUCCGGGGUAUAAUUUUGCCCCGAGUGGGAGGUUAACGUUAAUGAUCGCUGCAAGAAUCUCCAGGUCGCGCACGAGCUCCUGGUGAACUCAGUCUUACCCCGGGACAAUACUUACACAAGGAAGCUCAACCCAGCCGAGCUGAUGCAGGGCGCCGCGGUUUCCUGGGCCUCUGCCACGGCGUUCUUUGCUGAGAUGUAUCAGCGCUUCGGGGACUUCGUAGAAACUUAUGAGUCACCCGCCGAGCUCCAGAAGAAGAUCGCCGACCUGGAGAAGGAACUGCAGGCCACCAAGGUAGAACGAGACAAGGCCGAAGCGGCAAAGAAGAAGGCCGAGGUCGCCAACAACUCCCUCAUAACUGCCCUUGACGAGGAGAGAGAGAGGAGAGCCCAAGAAGCACAAUCGUCCAAGGAGGCCAUCGACACAGCCGGGGCUACGGCCGUGGAGGCGUUCCGCAAGUCAGAGUCCUUCACCCGUGACCUCGGCGAGCUCACCCGGCCGAGCUUCAUGCUUGGCUAUACAUCGGCCAUCACCGAGGCAGCACCCUUCCUCUCCUCUGAACAGUUGGAGUCCCUUCAGAGCACCUCGCACUACAAUGAGGAUGGUAAGGAACUGUGUGACCGCAUAGCUGAGGGUAUUCAGGCUGGGAAGGACCUAGCCGAAGUCCGGGUUGAAUUCAACAAAUGGCUCCUAGAGUUUGAGCUGGAUGAGAAUAGUGCUGAAGGGAGUCAAACCGGUAAAGAAGCUGAAGGAGGUCAGGCCGGCGAAUGAGCUACAGCACAGCAAGACGCCGAGGUGGGGGGUGAAACUGUAGGACAGAGUGCCGGGAUGGGGAGUGCUUAAAGGCAUUCAAUUUUGUAAUAGGUGGGCCGAAGUCACGAAUGACUUCGUCCAUCCACUUUUGUAACCAUGAGCCGGGGUCGUAUAUGACCCCAGCUUAUUGCUUUUUCAUACCUCAAUGGAAUUGGCUUUUCUUUCAUACUUUUGCUUUUUUGCUAAUUGAGUUCGGUUUCUUUUCUUCUUUUGGCUACUGUUUUGUCCCCUUAUUUUUCACUUAAGAUAGAAUAAGAAUAAGUGAGAAAUAACUUCAAGAAAUGGGAUAUAAAUACACGUACCCCUCAAGGGUAAUACAACUUAAGGUUCUUAUCAUGCCAAGUUCGGGGCACCCGCGAACCAUCUCGGUAAGCUAACUUACAAUAUCCAUUUUGGCUGGACUCAACAACACGGUAGGGUCCCUCCCACUUGGGAUUAAGUUUUCCCUGGGGUUCGGCUCGGCUGACCGAGUUCUUCUGGAGUACCAAGUCUCCUGGACUGAACCUGAGGUGUUUGACCCGAGCAUUGUAGUAGCCAGUUAGGAUAUUUUUAUAGAUAGCAACCUUGGCUGCGGCCAUAUCACGCUUCUUUUCGACAAGGUCGAGAUCAACUCUCCGUUCCUCCUCGUUGACUUCGGCAGCGUACGUGGCCAUUCGCGGGUUGGGAGUGAUGAACUCGGCUGGAACGACUGCCUCGGAGUCAUAGGUUAGUGAAAACGGGGUUUCUUGGAUCGCUGACCUCGGCGUGGUUCGGUAGGAUCACAGCACACUGGGAAGCUCUUCCAUCCAUGACGAUCCAGCCCGGUGGAGCCUGGUUUUGAGGCCAUGGAGGAGAGUUCGGUUGAAGUUUUCGACUUGUCCAUUUGCCUGAGGGUGUCCCACCGAGGUGAAGUGUUGUUUAAUUCCUAGAUUUUCACACCAGGCCUUGAAAGGAUUGUCGGUAAAUUGCCGACCGUUAUCCGAGAUGACCACCCGGGGUAGGCCGAAGCGACAAACCACGUUCUUCCAGAAGAAUUUUUGAAUCGCCGAACCAGUGAUAUUCUUCAAGGGCUCGGUUUCGACCCAUUUGGUGAAGUAGUCCACUGCUACCACUACAUAGCCAUAAUUGCCCGGAGCUCUGGAGAAUGGGCCGAUUAUGUCAGUCCCCCAUUGCUCGAAUGGCCAUGACGAGGUGAUAGGGAUCAUUAGAUUAGUCGGUUGUCGGUGCUCAGGGGCAUGGUGCUGACAAGAAGGGCAACAAAGAACCAUGACCUGGGCAUCCACCCUCAUAGUGGGCCAGAAGUACCCGAGUAGUAAAGCUUUUUUCACCAGCAUCCUGAAACCGACGUGGGCACCACAGAGUCCCUCAUGAAUGUCUUGGAGAAUUUUAUCGCCUUCCUCGGGGGUGAUGCACCGCAGCCAAGGGCCGAGAUAGGACCUCUUGUACAAGAGGCCUUGUCGAAGAGUGUACCGAGCUGCUUUACGUUGAAUCUUGCGUGACUCGGCUCGGUCUUCGAGGAGCUCACCCCGGCUAAGGAAUCGGACUAACGGUCCCAUCCAGGUGUCCCAGGGUAAAUGGGGUACACCUCUUCUCCUUCAUACCCCGACUCGGCUAAGACUUCUACAAGGACCGUCUUGUUCAGAUUAGAAAAAGAGGAGGAAGCGAGCCGGGAGAGAGCAUCAGCUCUCCUGUUCUGUGACCGCGGUAUCCUUUGAAUCUCAAAAGAUUCGAAGUGUGUCACUAGCUGGAGGACCUUGGAGAGGUAUCGAUGCAUCACCUCUUCCCUGGCCUCGUAUUCGCCCAGUAUCUGGCACACGACGAGUUGAGAGUGGCUAUAGACUCUGAUGUACGCGGCUCCGAGCUUACGAGCCAGCUGCAGGCCGGCGAUGACCGCCUCGUAUUUAGCUUCAUUGUUGGAGGCAGUGAAGUCAAACCUCAAGGCAUACGAACAGAUCUCUCCUUGGGGAUCUUCGAGGAGCAGGCCGGCUCCACUUCCCUCACUAUUGGACGAGCCAUCCACAUGUAAGAUCCAGCGCUGAGGCUCGACGGUGGAUGGAGUGACAGCCUAGGUAGGUUCGGCGGAGGAUGGGGUGGGCAUACUCAUCUCGUCAAAAGUGAGCUCGGCGAGGAAGUCCGCGAGGGCCUGAGCUUUGAUCGCCUUGCGCGGCUCAUAAGAUAAGUCGUAUUCUCCUAGCUCAAUUGCCCACUUGGUAAGGCGCCCCGAGAACUCUGGUCGUGACAAGACUUGCCGGAGUGAUUGGUCUGUCCUUAAGCAGACGUGGUGAGCCAAGAAGUAGGGUUUGAAUCUUCGAGUUGCAUGAAUCAAGGCCAGCACGAGCUUCUCCGCUUGAGUGUAUCUGGUCUCCGGACCUCAGAGAACUCGGCUGACAUAAUAGACAGGCGUUUGGACACCUUCCUCCCUAAUUAGCACGGCACUUACUGUUUCAGCUGCGGCGGACAGGUACUAGAAUAACUUGUCCCCGGAACGAGGUGAAGUGAGUGUUGGGAGGUGGUUGAGGUAUUCCUUUAGUUGCUCGAACGCCUGCUGACACUCUUCAGUCCAGGAGAAGUUGUUGGCCUUUUUGAGAACUUUGAAAAAUGGCAGUGCCUUAGAGGCUGAUUGCGAUAGGAACCGGUUCAGGGCGGCCAAUCGCCCUGUAAGCCUUUGGACAUCGCGGACGCAACGAGGUGGAGACAUUUCCUGAAUUGCUUUCACCUUGUCUGGAUUUGCUUCAAUACCUCGCCUAGAGACGAGGUAGCCCAAAAACUUCUCCGAGGUGACCCCCAGGACACACUUCUUGGGGUUUAACAUCAUUCGCGUCUUUCGAAAGACCUCCAGGACCUCUUUCAGGUCGGCAAGAAAUGUGGAGGUGGUUCGACUUUUGAGAAGGAUAUCAUCCACGUAGGCCUCGACAGUUCGGCCGAUCUGAGAUUUGAAAGCUUGGUUGACCAAGCCUUGAUACGUGGCUCCGGCGUUCUUCAGUCCGAAAGGCAUGGUGGUGUAACAGUAUGUGCCUUGAUCGGUAUAAAAGGCGGUUUUCUCUUGAUCCUCCGGACUCAUUCCGAUCUGGUGAUACCCCUUAAAGGCAUCAAAAAAGUAGAGGACCUCAUAGCCCAUUGCUGAGUCCACCAAGGUGUCAACCUUGGGCAAUGGGUAGCAGUCCUUGGGACAAGCUUUGUUGAGGUCGGUGAAAUCGACGCACAUUCUCCAAGCCCCGUGUCCUUCUUUACCAUAACCGGGUUGGACAACCAGGUCGGGUACUGGACCUCCCGAAUGAUUUUUGCCGGGAGGAGCUUGUCCACCUCUUCGCCAACAGCUCGGCUACGUUCAGCGCCGAGGUGCCUUCUUUUCUGCUUAACCUGGCGAACUUGGGGGUCGACAUUCAGCUCGUGUAUCAUGAGAUGAUGUGGAACCCCUUGAACCUCCACUGAGGCCCAAGCAAAGACAUUCCGGUAUUCUCUGAGGAGGUCCAUCAUACCUCUCUUGACAAGGCUGGGUAAUCGGGUACCCACACGAACUGUCUGAUCAGGCUUCGUGGGGUCCAGAGGGAAUUCUUCCACCUCAUCCCCCGUCUCCAGCCUCGGUACCUUCUCAGUUCGUUGAGCAUCAAUGCUAUCUAUUGAGAGGAUAUUUGACCUCUUCUCAGUCCUCACUCCGGAGGUUGAUGGGGAGGCUGCUUGUAGGGUGGCGAGGUAGCAUUCUCGGGCAGUGCAGACGUCGCUGCUGACCUCGGCCACCCCCGCAGGGGUAGGGAACUUGAAGCUCAAGUGGUAGGUGGAAUAAACUGCCCGUAGGGCAUUGAGCGUGGGUCGACCCAGAAGUAAGUUGUACGGGGAGUCAGCCUUCACUACCACGAAGUUGACUGGGAUGGUUCGACAACGAGGGUGAUGUCCCACAGUCACCGUCAAGGUCACCAUCCCCUCGGGAUGCACAACAUGUCCCCCGAAUCCCACAAGAGGAGUCCGCACUGGGGUCAUUUGUUCCCGAGUCAACUUAAGAUUUUCAAAUGUGCGGAGGUACAUGACGUCCACCGAGCUUCCUGGGUCAAUGUAAACUUUUUUUACAAUGUAAUUGUUGGUGAGGACCUCAAUCACCAAAGCCUCAUGACUACUUGAGGCAGCAGGAACUAGAUCAGUAGGGCCAUAUGAAAUGACCUCGGAUAGGCGAGAGCUUGAAUCAGCUUGAUCCGGGUUGGCUUGCCUGUAGGUUCUCUUUCGAGAGUUUUGACUAUCUCCUCCCGUCGGACCUCCAGCGAUCGUGUUGAUGACUCCGGCGAUGUUUGGACCAUACCCUAACCCUGGGCCUGAAGAUCCGUCUGGGGGAGGCCUUUUUGACUCCCUAGGACCUUCAGGGGGUCGGCAGCUACUUCUCGACGUCCGCCGCUCGUCUCGGCGAUGGUCACCUCGUCCGUUGCGACGGUUGUCUCGGCGUUGGUCACUUCGGCGGAUGAACUGCUUUAAAUGCCCUUGCCGGAUGAGGUUCUCGAUCUUCCUUUUUAGAUCGUUACAAUCCUCAGUCUCAUGGCCAAUGUCCCGGUGAUACAAGUAAUAGAGGUUCGAGUUCCUCUUAUCCCGGCUACCGUACAUCUUGGGAGGUGCCUUCCCGAGGUUGUUUUGUUCCAUCACGGAUAGCACUUGAGAUCGGGAGGUGUUCAAAGGGAUUAAGUCGGACUCAGGGAUUGGGGCUUUCCCCUUGGAAAUCCUAUCGAACACGCUGCGGCGGUCCCGGCCAGGACUUUGAAAGCCACAUCCUGUUUUUACUUCAGUUCGGCCUUGCUUCUUCCCUUUUCUGGCGUCAGCCCUCGGGCGAGCAGCUUGAACCUCUUUUUUCAUGCAGUUGAGGUCUUCGGCUUGUAUGCCCUUCUCAACUUUUGACCACAGCUCGUAGAGGGUGCGGGGAAAUUUUUUAUGGAUUCCCGUGUUGAAUACCCCCGACACGAGCCCAUGGGUGAAAGCAGCGAUAGUAACCUGCUCAUUGGGGUCAGGUAUUUGUACACUUUCCUCGUUAAACCUCUGGACGUACGAUCGAAGUGACUCUCCCGGAUUCUGUUGCAUACUCAACAGGUAAGCCGAGGUCCUAGUUGUAGGUUGAGAUGAGAUAAAACGGUGAAGAAAUCUCUCCACUAAUUCCCCCAGGGUCGAAAUACUCCUAGGUUCCAAACUUGUGAACCAUUUUCGAGCUGUGCCCUGGAGGAAUACGGGGAAAGCCCGGCAGAUGACGGGGUCAGGGAUGCAGUAUAGAUGGAAGGCUGAGAUGAAGGCGUGGAUGUGGUCAUCGGGAUCACCUCGGCCAUCAUAAGACGGUAUCGACGGAAGUUUGAAAUUUGGAGGAAGUCUUUCCUCGUUGAUAUCGUCAGUGAAGGGUGGGACUCUCAUAUAAUCCACCCCAGGCCUUCCCAUGGGCCGAGGCUCUUCCUCGGAUCGUUGCCCCAAGAGCCCUCGAGAAAAGGCCUUGGUAAUAGAAGCCACCCUAGAGGUGGCCUUAGAGAAUGUCCGUUUCGAGGCACUUCGGCUCAGGCGCCUUCCAUCUGACUCCUCUUCGGAUGAGUCCACAGGAGAUCCAUCUGACUUCCUUUUAGAGGAUUCGGCCUUUUGCUUGCCUUGCCUCUUGAGGUAUCUCCCCAGCUUUUCAAAGAUGGUGGGGUUCUCAUUUACAAACUCAUCCAUACGGGUUAUGGCUUCUUCGUUUGCGGGCUGAGUCCUUGGGGACUCCUGCCCUUCAGAAAUAUCGUCCUGCUGGGCUGCGUUGCUCUGCUCAGCCCCAAUAGCAAGAGCUUUUCUGCUCCUAGAACGCGUAGGCUUCAUAUCCUAAUGUCUUCGUAUUCCCAAAGACGGCGCCAAUUGAAGAGGUGAUUUCUGUCUCGCUGGAGGGAGUCACCCGAGCUGAAAUAGUGCCUUUAUCUUGGGUGGACCACGGAGACGAAGUAACCUGCUUAAGUCAAACAAGGGGAGGGCUGGAUCCCCCGGAGUAUCUCCGAAGCCUAAGUUAGUUCGGAAGUAAGGGAGAAUAAAGGAAUAAGUGUAGUGAGUAUUGUUUACCAGAAAUUGGUCAUCCCCCUUCUUAGUAGAGAUGUUCAGUAUUUAUAGGGGCCGGAUGGGAGAGAAGAACUGCCAUCACAGGUCCCUAGAUAUCUGAUACGGUCAGUGCAUCCGGCGGACUUGACUGGUCUCUAUGACAAGACAUGAUGGGACGUUUGUCAUGUUCAGGCGGCGUGUCAGGGCAGCUUUCUGUCAGGAGUCAGAGAUGCCAGGGGUCACAUCCAACCCUUACGCUGACGUCGGAUGUCCAGGAGCCGCCUCAGCUAGGAUGCUAAUCGAGGUGAUGAGGUGAUGGGAUGUCGACCCCAUGGGUGACAGCCGAGGUGGCAGCCCGGGGUAGGCCUUUGGGCUACCCGGGCUGAAAUGGCCAACCUCACAAAGAUUCCCCUUUAAUUUAAAGACAUAAUGCAGAAUUUGGAGGCUUGCUAGAAUCAAAUUUGUCAUCCAAAGUUUCCUCCUCGAUCUUUUGAUAAGCAGCAAUUGCAAUCAAUUACAAUUUGAUUUUGGACAACUUCACGUGCAUGGUAGCUGCAAAAUGGAGAGAAAGUAGUAGGAGAGUUCAUCAUUCUUUUCUUUUUGGCAGAACUGAAUUCGCGAUCAAUGAUGAAUUUCAGCUCAAUUUGGAUGGAGUUGCUUUUGUUAAAAUUUCUGUUUCUGGUACAGAAAACUUCUACCAUGCGCUUCAACCAUUUUUUCAUUUCGCAUGUAUGUUUACCCCAAAAAAGAGCUAGAACAAUAUAUUUUUCUUUAUAUAUAUAUAUAUAUAUUAAAAAAAACACAAUUUUAAAAGAACCAUCCAAACCGAUUGAUUUACUAUGAUCAACCUCCAUCUUCCCACCUACCAGAAAUUGACAUACUCGAACGCAGAGUUCCUUCUUCUACACAUACUAUAAGAUUGAGAAAAUAUAAACACUCGAAGUUUGUGCAAAUUAAGCAUAAUGGAAAUAAAAAGGAAAGAGAGAAGCAAUAUUCUCUUCUUUUUUUUUAAUCAUUUGGCAUGCAUAGGAAACCCGCUGUAGUCGUGUUGCUUCUCUGAUAACUCCAGCAAAACUCAGACAAAACCAAAGACGAAGGAAAUGCUUCCCUCUCAAAGACUCAAAACUAAAUAAGUUUAUCAUUUGGCAACCAUGGGUUAUCUAGUGAUGAAGAGUCAUUAAUGAGCGUUUAUACAAGUUUGAGACUCAGAAUUUGGAUAUUCUUUUUUGAUAAACAAAAUAAUUUCAUUGCCUUAAAUCCCAUACUAAGGGCACAUUCAACCCCAAACAUAUUUAAUAAACCAUUGAAUACAAACGAUCUUUAUUAAAAAAUAGAUAUGUAGUGCCAUAAAACUUCGUAUAUCUUUCAACAUCAGAUGAAUCACUCUAACCGCAAUCUAUGCACAUAUUUGUGUCUUAGUGAAGAAUUGCAGCCAUUCUCGAGAUGGCACUAAUUUUCGUUCUAGUACUACUAGGAAAAUAAGCCUUUCCUUCCUUGACCUAAAAUAGGUCACUUAACAUAAAUCAUUUCUUCUUGUGAAGUAGCAUUAAGUGUAUAACCCUCACAUUCCCCUGUUUUAUAUGAAAAAAAAAGUAAAUUUUAUAUACAUUGGUGCAUAUACAAUGUUACGAUUGGAUAUACGACACAAAUUCAAAAUUUAAAUUCAAAUUAUGUGUCAUAUAUCUAAUAGUAAAAGUAUAUAUACUAUCAGUGUAUGUAAAAUUAAUCCAUAAAAAAAACCAAUUAAUAACUGAUAUGUUAAUAUUGUGUGAGAAUGAAUUUUCUGGAUUGAGGAUUAAGGAACGCUAAUAUAGAGUCAACAUUCACUGAAACAAGAGUACUUGUGACUAAUGACACACGUCCCACACUUGAGCCAGUAAAUGAGGAUUGAGGACGUCUUUUUCUUUUUUUCUUUUGGGGGGGGGGGAGUGGUGGGAGAGGGGAAAGAGGGAUUGAUGAGGUCGUUUUGGUUGUGUAUCCAAGAUGGCAAAGAGAUUAUUGUGUUGUUAAUUAAGAAUUUAAGAUCAAAUAUCAGGUGAUCACUUCUAAAUCUUCCAUCCCUUGUCCCAUACUGCGAAGCGAACUCCUUCCUUGGUCCUAUUCAACGUGGUAGUUAUAAGCAAGUGACUUUACAAUCGUCCUCCUGUCAACGUGUCUCGUUCUCACUGGUUGGUCCUUGCACAUGGCAUGUGCUCCUUCUUGCCCUUUUUCUCGUGUAAUAAAAUGUGGGGCUGGCACGUGGUGGGGUCCCCUUCCUAUUGUGUCAGACUCAGAUCUUGCAUGGGCUUCCUCACAUGACGGAGAUUAUCCUCCGUUCUUAAUCGUCGUCUGCCCCUCAGUCUCACACGCGUCAUCGCCGGACUUAACGGCCGUGACGCCACCCACCCGUGAUUGCGAUUUGACAAUGAAGUCGGACCCACCAACGUCGUUGCGCUGCUUGCUCAAAGUCGCUGUCCGAUAAUGAAGGCUGUUACACAAACAAUUCUAACAAAACAAAUGAAUUACCACUUACUAAUUUGCUAAGCCCCAAUCAUAUUUUAUAUCUUUUUUUCCCAUAUCGAUAAUCACUAAUAAUACUUCAUACAAUUUUUCCAUAUCAUAAUCACUAGUGACGAAACCAAUAGUUGGCCACCAAGGAGAGUUCUAAAACUCUCAAUAGCUGCAACAUUCUUGUUCAUAAUUUUCUAAAAAUUUACUAUUUUUCUUAAUGUAGAGUAGGAAUCAGUAUAAAAUAAAAUAUAUAUAUAUAUAUAUAUAUAAUCACUAGCUGACAAGGAAAAAAAAAAACGUCAUGAUUCUUGGUCGCAACUUAUAAUAACGAUAGCAAACUAACGAAGUGAGUGUAGAAUAAACUAUUGCUGAUCGUAAAAAAAAAAAAAAAAAAAGCAGGGAACGAGGCACUAAUUGGUAACUUGAGAAUUCACAGCAUUCAAAGUUAUUUCAGCACCUGAGGUUUACUGACAUUUGUUGAUUUUCUUGGCCUUAACAAGGCGCAUAAAAUUUUGCUUCUAAAUCUCGACCGCAGAAUAAAUCAAAGCAAAGAAAGAGAUGGGACAGUUUUUCGUUGGGAUUAAAUGCUCAGUGCAAGUCAAGGAAACUGGGACAAAGCCAUGAGUGGUCGUAUCGUUAAAAACUGCAGAGUGCAACGUCGGGCGGCUCAGAGAAUCCAAUUGUUGCAUCACAUAACACACUAUUGCGUCUCAUGCAACGAUAUGCAAGUACAAAAACAACUGCCCCCUAGUAUCUUUUGCAGUUAGAGCCGACCUUAUGCUUGGGAUUCUGUUGUCGGCCUUUUUCCCUUCCCCUUUUCUUUUUUUUUUUUAAAAAAAAUUUUAAUGAUAGUACUUCACGAUUAGGAUUGCAAAAAAUUUACUGCCUUAUUUCAAAGUAAAAUUUUUACAUUUUUUAUCAUAUUUUUAAAUUAAUUUUUUAUCUUACAUAUAUUAAAUCACUAUAAUAUGUUUUUUCUAUAAAAAUUGCAGAAAUUAGCAAUCCAUGCUUUUGGCAUUUCAGCACUUUAUAUAUUUAUUUUUUUUCUCAUGUAUAUCAUUAACAAAGCUAUGGGCACUCUUUGAUGGAUAUCACUUGAUUUUUUUUUUUUUCCGAUCUAAAGGGAUAUCCUAGAAUCACCAAGACUGAUCCCCUAAAUUGGGCAGAGCUCGCCCCUAGUUGGGAUAUUCUGUUGUCGCCACUAAUUAUAUUUGACUCGAUGAGAAUUUUGUUGUAACAACAAUUAUGGUAUUAACUGUCAAGAUUUAUCCUUUUUAACCUUCGUGAGACUUAGUGCCUGUUUGAUAACAUAAAAAAAUGCUGAAACUGAAUUCAUUCAGACAUUCAGAUGUUGUGGGUGUUUGAUAAAUAAAAAUUCACCUGCUGAACUUAUUAAGUGGUGUUGAAUUUUUAUGUAUUUAUUUCAGCACAAGAAUCAUAGCUGAAUGCUUAAUUUGAUAAGAAUCAAGAGAUUUACUUCAACUACUUUAUCUUAUCUACCAAAUAUAUCCCUGUUUGUUAAUUACAUUCAAAAUCCUUAUCUAAUUAAACAACCUAAUAUUCUCUAUUCAAAAUCCUUAUCUAAUUAAACAAAACAACCUGAUAUUCUCUAUUCAAAAUUUUUUUUUUAACAAUAGUAUUUUUUUGCAGUAAUUUUCAUCCACAAACAUUUAUAUUUUGAUAUAUAUAUUUUUUGUGCAGAUAAAUAUUAUUUAUGUGAUGCAGCUUAUCCACACACACGUGACUUUAUAACACCAUAUCGAAAUAUUAGAUAUUGGUUGUCUGAUUUUCGAAAUGCUUCUCGUCCAAAAUCAAAAGAAGAACGCUUUAACUAAGCACAUGCAAAAUUGAGAAAUGUAAUUGAACGUGCUUUUGCAGUAUUAAAAGCUCGUUUUCCCAUUCUCAAAACGAUGAAACCAUACCAUUUUCCCAUACAAAGAAACAUUGUCAUUGAAUGCAUUGCUCUUCACAAUUAUUGUCAUUUUCAUACCUAGCAAUUUUAAGUUAAUUAAAUUAUAGGUUCUAUUUCCUUUUUGGAUUAAAAGAUAGAAAGGCAAAAUUGUACAAUUUAGCUUAUUAAGCAUUAAGUUAUGAAUAUUUAUCAAACAGUAUAAAUAGAUUCAGCAUUAAGAUUCAUACAUUCAUAUAUCUCUUUUCAGUGCUUAAAUUCAGCAAAUUAAUUAUUUAAGUAUUCAGAAUUCAGAUUCAGUGUUAUCAAACGGAGCCUUAGUGAAAUGUGGAAAUAUUAUUUGUGUUCCAACUUCCAAAUGCUCGUCUACAAAAAAAAAAAAAAACUAUAACAUAUUAAAAAUUUCGCAAAAAUAGAUAUUUGGGCAUUCCGGUGUCUUGGUGUGGUAAUCCCUUGCCUUCUCACGGGCGAAUCUCAUCUAACAUUCAUUCUCUCUGGAAGAGGAAGUUGUGUGCAAUCCCCACAAUUUGUAGGAAAAGCAACAUCGGAAUGCUUGAGAUGUCAAUCCCGUCGACAUGGUGGAAGAAUAUUUAUUUAUUUUAUCUGGUGAAGCGGUUGGAAUUCUGGCCCAACAACAAGGUAGGAAAAAUUCCUCUUACUUGUCAAUCCCGUUGACACAGUGGCAGAAUUUUUAAGAAGUUGAUGAGGCCUUGCGAACCAUUUACAAUUAGCCGCCAAAAACCUCCAAAAUGCGGAACUCUGGUCAAAAAAUAGUCAACCAACUCUCAACCAUAUAUAUAUAAAUUAAUUUUUUAUAUAUUAAUAACAUAUAUAUAUUAUUAAAGUUGAAUGCUUAACACAUAUAUAAAAUUUAGAAUUUAAAUUUAAAUUCAAAUUAUAUAUCAUGUAUUUAGUGGUGCAAAAUAUAUAUACUAUCAGUAUAUAUAAAAAAAUUAAUUCAUAUAUAUAUAUAUAUAUAUUAAUAUUCUAUACACUAACAGUGUAUAUACUUUCAUCAUUACAUGUAUGACACAUAAUACAAAUUUAAAUUUAAAAUUCAAAUUUUACAUAUGUGUCAUAUAUUCAAUCGUGAUAGUAUAUACACCAUCAAUACAUACAAAGUUUACUAUAUAUAUAUUAAUGGUAUCACGGGGUAACUUACUGCUUAAAAUUUAGGGUCCGCUCAAAAGGGAUCUUGCCUUGUCUGCCAAUGCAAUCUUCUCGUACGUCUCUUUUGCUUCUGCUUUGCUUGUACUCCAUAUUUUACUAAGUACCAUCGAUUGGGUGGAACCUUUGGGGGCUGAAAGAUCUCCAUGCGCAUUCGUAGCUGGGGAUAAAGUUAAACGUUGUACGAGCACAUGAAAUCAUCUCAUAUUUAGCAUAUCUAUUAUCUUUAUGCAUAGUGGGGUACGAGAUAUUAUACUCCCUCCGUCCCACUUUGAUAGUCUUAUUUUUCUUUUUAGCCUGUCCCAAAUUGUAGUCCACUCUUCCAUUAAGAAAUGUAGUAAUCUUUCAAAUUGUCUAAAAUACCCUUAUUAAAUAUCUUGUUAUUAAUACAUUGUUAUUACAUACUAACCCACUACAUUGAAUACAUUAAACUUUUUCAAUACUAACCCAUUAGCUGUAACUGAUAUUAAUUGGCACUCUUCGUGAUUAGCAUAAGGGUAUUUUAGAAAAUUAUUAAUCUAAAUUUAUGUUUCCAACCAAAUUAAUUACACUUUCUUAAUCUGUGUGAAAAAAAAAACCAAGACUAACAAGACGGGACGGAGGGAGUAUAUCAAAGCGAAAUGAUGCCAUCUAGUCUAGUUAUAACUUAAAAUGAAGAGCGCACUCCGACAAGAAAAUCAACCGUGGCCAUGAAAGCGAUAACCUAGGCCCUAAGUUGUGUGUCACAUUCACACAAUACCUAAAAGUUCUAUGGACGACAAAAUAAUAUUAAUAUUUGGGGAAUGCAACCAACGAAGCGGUUAGCUGACCAUUAAAUGCUUUAGGCUUUGGGCUACCGUUAUGAUGUUAAGAUUUUACUAUUAAACUCAAAAUUUCAUGUCUUUUCCUUGCUUAAAAAAAGGGGGAAUGAUGGCCCUUGAUUGUAAUUGUUUUUGUUUGUAAGGUCACAUAAAAUGAAAUCUUUGAAAUUUUAAUUCAUGGGUGUUCUUUCUGAUGGCGUGUAAAGCAACAAACGGUCAGCAGGCGGUUAGAAUAAUACCUGCUUGUAUGUAGGACCUUGGUGACAGUUUUAAAUAUUACAAUAAUUAUUGCUAUAGCUCAAAUAGCAUACAGUAACAGCGUCGGUGUUUCCCUGUUGUAUUGGAAUUCUGAUUUUUUUUUUUCUGAUAUUCACCAGCACUUCAGAGUCCCCAACAUUUGGAUCAACGGUCUACGCCAAUCUUCUGGCCAUGUCACUUAUCUUUCUCCUUUUUGAACCCCAAUUAUGUCACCAAAAAAAUAGAAAUUGAAACACUGCUAAAUGUAAAAGAUACGACAUGCUCUUUUUUUUUUUUUUUUUUUUUUUGUGGAUACAAAAAAAUUUUGGUAGCUAGGCUUGACCCUAGUCAUCACCAUAGGUCAGACAUAUAUUUGGAAUUAUAGGUCACUUGUAUGAUUCUUAUAAAUCAUACACUAAUACAACUCUCAUAUCAACAGUGAGAUCGAACACACGUGAAUACAACUCUCACAUUGGUAGUUGGAAUCAUAGGUCACUUAUAAAAACUAUCGUACAUCAACAUAAUCCUCACAUCAGCAGUGAGAUUCAAAUACACAUCAAUGCAACCAUCGCACCGACAGCGAAAUUCAAACAUGCGAUUUUUUUUAUUAGAAAGUGGUCCGUAUUUACCAAUUGAUCCAACUCGUGUUCUAAAAGUGGCCCGUUUCUUAUUUUCAUUGCAAAUAUGCUUCCGGUCUUAGUAAUUAACCAAAAUUUCACAAUUGUUCUUGAUGCUUCCGAACUAAAAACUCAAAGGAUUAAAUUCGUAUUCCGAAAGUUGGGAGUCCAAAUAUGCAAUUAGUCCUUGAAUAUACGGCACGAACCUAACUGAUUAACGGGAUAUUUGUCUGCACUUAGCACUAGAAACCAAGGAAACGUUAAUAAAGCGGAUGCCCCACAAUUAUAGGAAUUAGAAUUCCAAUAGAUUCUGCAUCAUAUAAUGGCCGCAGACUGGUCCAAGCUUGUUUGGAAAAAAAUUUUAAAAAAAAACAUACAUUACAAGAUUUCAUCCAUCUUUAAUUUUAAAAAAAAAUGCAAUAAGAUCAAACGCAAGUGCGCCGUGUAGGCCUGUACCUUCGCGAUUGGCUGAUGGCCUAAGACUGAGGCUAUUAUAAAAUCUAAAGAGCAGAGCCGAUAUAUAAUCUGAGUCCAUUAUCUUCCUUGAUUUGCGUCUAUUUGCAGGUGGUCUCAUAUGCUGUGGGAAGAACGGGAUGUUGAUUGAACAUGCAGUGCUUUGGAUUUUUCGCAUAGAAUAAAAUGUGAAAGCUACUUUGAUGUUUGUUAUAUCAUGGUAGGGGAUGUCUGGCUUAUCUGACUCCAUCCGUUGCUCUGUUAAAAAAAAAUUUUUUUUUUUUGGGCUCUAAUUGAAUUUAUUUCUCAAUCAGGGACAAAGAAUUUGGUCACACAUCGUGGAUUUCGAUUUGAAUAAUUGAACAUUCUUCUUCAUGGUAGCAGGAUGGAUACAAAACUCGUUACGAGAGAAGUAGAUUAGUUACCACAUUCCCUUUUCUUCGAGUUGAAAAGAAUAAUUACUCCUAGAGAAGGGUCAUUCUCAAGGAGUUUAAGCCGGGAACAUGCAAGAAAUCAGAUAAGAUCUAGAAGAGGGUCCUGUGCUGAAGGGUCUUUAAUCGACAGUGAACAGCACGUGUGGCAGUUGGGACCAAAAGCUGUAAUUAGGUUUAUGGGAGUUAAAAGAACGCGCAUGAGUCGAUGACGACGAUGAGCCAUGAAGCGUGUUACUGGUUUUGGUUUUUGGGGGUCAAUGUCCCUAAUGAGUAAUGAUAUCGUAAUGGUUUAAAAGGGAGAGGCACCAUUUAGUGUGGCAUGCGAAUUGAUGAGAGCUUGUAAUAAAACUUAUAAAAGUAAUAACAAGGCAACUGUGAUUGAUAGCAUGUCGGGAAGUUUUAUUAGUACUACUUAUAUUUUUCUCCUUUCAGGGCUCAGUGCUGCUACUCCAAUUACUGAGGAACUUCUGUUCCGUGUACCUCAGUCAUGUCUCUACCCCAGGUCCGGUUUUUGGGUAUCGUUAUUCUUGUUUUCUAGUUACCUAAGAAAAUGUUUGCAUUGCUUGUUUUGAGGGAAAAAUUUUAUUUGGUUUUUUUUUUUUUGAAUUAUUUUCUCUAAUGCAUUUGUCAACCACCUUUUUUUUGGGGAUAAUUUCACAAACCUCCCCUAAUAUUUAUGACAAUUUCACUCUGCUUCUCUUAGGUUUUACAAAUUACAUUGACCUCUCUUAUCAUAAUAAAAUGACUAUAAUAACUUUCACUUAAUAAAUAAUUCACAGCAUAAUGAAAUGAGAUUUUAAAAAAAAAACCUGACCUUUUCAGACUAUUUUGUUUACAAGUUAUAGCCAACGAUGAUUCUCUUUCAUUUGCUAUCAAUCCGUUCUCAUCCAUCAAUCCCUUCCUUCUAUAACUCGUUCUCAAAUUACCACCAACUAUUGCCUAUAACUACAAUCAAUCACACCACAAGUGAUCCCUCAAACUUUACUAUGUAUUCCUAUUCCUCCUUUCUUCUCUUUGGAAUUGUCAAAGCACAUGUUUAGUUGAGGGAUUAGAUUUGAUGGUUGAAAUAAAAUUCAAUUUCAUGGUCAGACUAAAAGGAGAUGAAGAGGCACACAAUAAUAAUGGAACAAAUAAUGCAAUCAUUGACCAAAAGAGGAAAAGGGAUUGAAAUUGAUAAAUUUACUAAUUUGUCUAUCAUCUAUCCAAAAAACUUUUUAAGAUGUUAAUAAGUACAUUUAUAUUUCUUUUUAUACUUGACAAUUGUUGGUUGUGGCUUCGCUAUGAAGAUAGAGUUUUUUAGACUAUGUUAUUUAGUUUUGAAAAAGUGUGGGCAUUGGGUUUGAAAUUUGGGAUGUGAUUAGUUGUAAAUAAAAUUUUGGGUUUUGGCAAAAUAAAUUUCUUGAAGAUCUCUAUAGUCAUAAUGCUGUCAUUUCUUCUCUUAAAUUUGAUUAAUCCCAUCCAUACUCAAAUCUCCUCUAAGGAUUUUCUUCUUGACCAUAAUGUGGUUCAUGUAGUAGGAGUUGAGUCACUUAUAUGGAAUCAAAUCACAGCAUUCUAUGUUGAAGAUUAUGCAAAUAUAAGUGCAGUUGAUUGUGUGUUUAACUAUUCUAUGGAACCAUAUGGUGAGAAUAUUUCUAAAGUAUGUAACUAAUCUUCAUAAUUGAAUGCAUACUUUGGGAGAAGCAAGUUUAUGACUGUGAUGAUGGAAUUGCUUGGGUUUAGAAUUUGGAAUUAGACUAUUUGUUAGGCUAGUUUAUUAGUAUAGUAGGUUGGGUUAAAAUAUGGGAAAAACCAAUUGGCAAAACAAAUUUUGUUUUAUUUUUAUACAAAAAAGGGCAUUUUAAAAUAUUUGAGAAAAAUAUAGCCUUUUGGACCUAUAUUGUUACAGUAAAAGCAAGGGAGGUAAGUGUAAUUUAAUAAACUUGAGGGGAGGUCUAUGCAACUGCCGGAAAUCUCGGGGGAGAUUUCUGAAAUUAUCCUUUUUUUUUAAAUCUAAAUGAAGUCAGUAAUUACAAUUUCGAGUCUCUGAGUAUGAAACUAAACAUUUGUUUGAAUUUGGUGAUUUUGGGCUGCACUUUUCUAAGAUUUGAUAUAUAUGUAAGACAAGAAACUAGUUAGAAAACGUAUCAAGGGAAUAUUGUAAAUUUUUUCCAAAAACUUACAAAUUAAACUAUAAGAAAAUUAUUGCUGUGUGAACCCACGAGGAAAUGGAGUAGGAAAAGAAAAUAUUUUGAGUAGAUCAAAUAAACUAUUUACUGCACAAAUUAACAAGUACAAGAUCAUCUAAGUUUAACAAAUUAAUGUUGGAGGCAAAUCCAUGAAACAAACACUUUUGGAGGUAUUUGCUUGACUUUAAGAUGUUAUAAAAUUUAACGAGAUGAUCAUGUCAUGUGGUUGUCUUCUCUAUUAUUUGAUUGGCAUCCAAAUGAUGAAACAGACAUGUUAUUGGUGGGUGUGAAUUUGAGUUGGCUUAAUUUAGUUCACAUGCCAUGGAACUUCCUAUGCAUUUCAUUUGGAUAAUGUUUAUAGAAUCAGGGCUACGUGUCAGCCGUGAGGGAGCGGUGGCUGGGGGCCAGAAAUUUUUUAAUUUUUUUUUUUUUUGCUUGUUGGGGGGAGUAAUAAUUAUAAAAUAAAACUGCUCAACUUAUUUUUAUUCCACAGUAAAAUUAUUCAUGAAAUGACAAAUUUACCUUUUCUAAGAUGAUCUCAAUCUGUAACUGGUGAAGGGCAUGGCUAUCAUUUUAUAAGAAAUAUAUAUGUUGCGGAACUAAAAUUUGUGCUUGUCAAUUAAUGCCUUUUACCUCUCUGUUUCAUGUUAUCUUGCAUAGAUCUUUUCACAAAUAGCUGAUAGCAAUAAGAUGUGCUUCUAGCAACGGAAAAAAAAAUGGUCAUUAUUGUUAGAGAGGUCAUUUUAAACAAACUAGUAGUAGUAAUAUUUGAAAAAAAAAAAAAAAAGAGUAAAAAAGCAUUAGCAUUGCUAGCUAGUUUUCUGUUUUCGUGAAUCCUGACAAAGGAAUAAUAAACAAAAAAUUCACGUACUCGUGCAAUUGACAAAUGCGUGCACGUGCAGCAAGGGAUCCGGAUUUACGCAGCUCCACAAGAUUGAAGAUUGAAGAUUGAGGGGCUAUUUCUUGAGCGCUGCUUUGGUGAUUGAAUUCCGCUUACCGUAUUAUGCAAGACACCACUAAUGUUUGGUGCCUUUAGUUGGAAUAUAUUUCAGAAGCUUCCCAGAAGACAUGCCACUUUUUAGUUUUACACAAUGUUUUUAAACUCGGACCGGUCAGUGAACUGGAGAGGUGGCCGGUUCGCGGUUCGAUCGGUCCGACCGGUUCAAAGGUUCAUUGUUUUUUUUUUUUUUUUUAGUGUUAAGUACUAAGCAGGUUUCAUUCUACACUUGAACUUUACCAACAUAACUUAAUUUAAGUUAUGAUAAUAAUAAAUUUUCUAAAAGUUAUACACAAAACAUGGAAUGAUAAAUAUAAUUAAAAUAUCAUAAUUCACCACAAGUUUUCAUAAAUUCAUUAUAAAUAUAAAUAGAUACAAUCCAAAUGUGCACCAAUUAUCACAAAUAAAAACACAAAAAAUAAAUAAAUUAAAUAUUGAAAUUCUUUUACAACCCUUAAAAAAAUCCAUAAAAGAGUUCAAGUUAAGACAAACUAUUUGAAUAGCAAACUUUUAUCAGUGACAUGAUAAGCAACCACACCACCUUCACAAUUUCAUCAACUUAAGCUGAAAAAGUUAAAAUUUUAUUAUAAAAAUAUAAAUCUAAUUGCUCAAACUAAAAAAAACUAAAAAUUUUUGAAAAACAAAUAUACAGUUAAACACAUAAAAAAUUAAUUGCUACUAAACAUUACUAAUUAACAUGUUAUAUUAAAUUCAAUGAUCCUAUACCAUUAAUUAUUUUAAAUUCAAUUAUCAAUAGCUUCGAUUAUGUGCCAACUACUAUAUUUUUGACCAACCCAAUGUUAUUAUUUGUAAUUCCUACCCAAUUCCUACACGGAUGUGCACUACUUUUGCAAAAAUUUCAUCCUUAAUUAAUCGAAUAAAAAUAAAACAAAAAUGAGGGGAAAAAGAAGAAAAUGCAAAAAAUCAACUAAAGAUAAUAAUAUAGAAAAAAACCUUGAAAAGAAAAAAAUUAAACUUACUAAAAUGUUGGAAAACAAGAAAAGUUAAAAUUUUCAACUUGUUUACAAUCUGCUAAAGUUAAUAACCUGAUAAUAAUGGUGAAGACUUGAGAAAAUCUUGUUGUGGAUAUUUGGGUUAAAAAUGGUUAAGAAGAAAAAAUUGAAAAAAAAAAUUAAGAGAAGAACUUGAUGUUUUAAUAUAUUUUUUAGUCAAGUAGAAUUCUCAACAAACUUAAGUACAGUCUAGCGGUAAGAUUGUCAUAUUUAAACUUGGAGACCCAGGUUCAAAUCUUAACUACACCAUUCUUGAUAUUUUAUUGAAGAAUUUAAAAAUCGCCAAUUCACAGUUCUUAACGGUUCGUCCGGGUUUCAACGGUUCUUCAUGAACUUCCGGCUUUAACAUUAGACCGGACCGGUGACAUGGCCGGUUCGCGGUCCAACCGGUCGAACCGGCCGGUCCGGUCCAGUUCUGAAAACAUUGGUUUUACAUGCAAGAUACUAUCCCACUCCACUUUAAAAAAAUUAAUUAUAAAUUACACAACAGUUAAAAGUACAAGAUUUGAAGGUCUGAGUUUUAAGUCAAUUCUCGACAUCGUACCUAGUAAUCUUUGGGUUAAGUGGAAAACACCACAACUUUAAUGCACACUUGACUAAUUAAAUGCAAGCAGCGAGCCAUACACCAGCAUGAAUUACUCCACUUUUGCGGCUUUCUGUCCUGAUCAAUCUAAAUCUUCUACCAAACACACACGUAAUUUGAAAUUUGAAUGGUUAGUAUCUAAUUGUCAGCUGCGGAUUUGAAUUUUUUUUUUUUUUUUUGGGUUAAGUCGUUCUUCAUUAACUAUUCAUAUUAUUUUUAAUGGUCUACUAUCGAAGUACGAAAGACUAGCAAAGAACAUUUUGUCUCCCUCCAUCUCGCUGCCCCAUGCAUUUGGGCAUUCCUACUUCCUCUACUUCUCCUUUCAAUUGCUAGAAGAUAAUCAAAAUAAUUUCACAAUUUGAAUAUGCAGUCAAUGCAUGCAACAAAUGACAAUAAUAUGAUUAAAGUCAAAUAACGUUAUUGUCUAACUCCAUUUCCCCCUCCCCUGAUUACAGCGCAAAAGAUUGCUCCGGCAAUACCGCAAGCUUCGAACUUCAGUACCAGGAAAAAGAGCCGACAAAUGACUUUGGCCAAAUUCUCUAGUCCCAACUACUAUUUGUUACGCAAAUUCGGUAGUGUGAAUACACGACAGUUGCAAUAGGACAGCAAUUGAGCAUUACCACCGAAAAGAGAAAAAGCGGAACUAUGCCCACUCGGGAGACGAUAAUGCUAAGGCUCCAAUCCAACUGCAGCAAAUGAAAAAAAGAGUUUAGAAAAACCUUUUAAUAAAACUAACACCUUUUUUUUUUUUUUUUUUUGUUUACGCAGAGGUAUCUGGAUCUAUGAACUGGUUACCGUACGACCCAACUAAUUCUCUGCAGGUCGGGAGAGACUGCCCAACAUCACAGACCGUAGUACCCAGAAUUUGAAUCUUUGCGGUGAUACUCACCUAACUAGGCUACUACUACCAUCAACUCUAGCCCUGGGGGCUUUUAAUAAAACUAACACCUUAUUCAUCGGGAUUCAAAUUUUUCCUGUUCCCAGAGUUGACAACGUGCGUAGUAGAUUAAACAUAAACAGGAAACAACUGCUAGCAGGAACUCCGAAAUUGAGUCUUGAAGGGUGAGGCUUCAGUGACAGUAGACAAAAAAAACCAAAACCAUCGAGCUUAUUACCAGCAUUUAGCACAUACAAACCAAAAACAAUUAAGUUCCCUUAUUGCGUUUACACCUAACUACUUCUUCUGCAGAGUUUACACUAAUAGAGGAGUAUUAUCUUCUUGUAGACCUUACCAGAAAUAGAGAGCAUUUAUUUUUGUAUUCAACUACUGAUGAAUUCUAGUGGGACUUUUUCCCAAUGAUGUUUACUCUACAAAAACAUUAGCUAACACAAUUUUGAAUUACUCCCAUUUUAAAAUACACUUUUACAUCUAUAAUCUCCUCAGAAAAUAAAACUUUUAAUCCUAGUCCUCCGAUGGCACUUGUUUGACAAAUUGUUUGUCAUAUGACAAGGGAUUUGCCGCAAAAGAUGACUAUUUCUAAGUAUGUACAUAAAAUCGUCUGUCCGUACAUUCUGCAAAGAGUUCAAAUUUAAAAAAAACCAACAACAAAAACUCAAAGACCUAUCGUAUAGAAUCUAAAUUUAGCUAUAGUUUUAACUCUACAUAUAUGCUUCCAAACUUGUAUAGUCUUGGUCCAAAAUCAAAUUAUCCUUGAAUGAACUUCAUAACAAACGAGUAUUACCGAAAAGAAGAUUCGUACUUUACUAGGAAAAGAAAGCCAUUUUGUAUUCGAAUUUUCAAGAACUGUAAAUGUGAUUUAUUUUUUUGGGGGGGGGGGGCAAUUAUAAACAUCCCUAAUCAAUCAAGGUUGUAAUCCCAAACAAGGAGGAUCACAAGUUUGCAAUCGGUUGGUGGCCGGGGCAUCCCAGUGAAGGUACUGCGUGGGAACGCUGGAAGCAUAGCUCGACCGCCGGUGAUUGGCAGUAGUGGGACAUCCUGCCGUGAUCGUACCAAAACCGUCGCCAGCCCCUGCCGGUAACUGCGGAAAUUGGUCUCUUUUAACUUGUGUAUGACGUGUUUAGAUUUUUCGUUUCGAUCACUUUUGUAUUUUUACAAAUUGUUUUUCUUUCGUGACACUUUUUCCCAGAGGUAAGUACCUUUUUCUGUUUCUGAAAAGGGCAAAAGGAAAAAGAGAUUUCGAAUUUCUUUUUCCUAAGGCCGUUGAUUGCGGUUGGAAUAAAGAACUUCUUAUGUGGACCCACUCUUUGACCGCAUCUUCCCUCUUUUGUCAUUUUACGCUCUUACGCUUUUUGAUUUUCUAGGUUGAGAAAACAGCCUCAGCUUUGGGAGAUAUUCGCGAGCAAGCCAUCGCCGUAGUCAGUUUUGACCGUCAGUAACAGUAAUAAAAUAUUAACCGCGUGAUGUCGGUGUUCCAUCCGACGCUAAUGCCAGAUAGAAAAUUUUGAAGGGGCUGAGCCGUGAGUGUUGUUUGUCGGGUUAUUGAAUGGUCUUCACAGCCGGUCAAUUUAUAUGAUUCUGGCCCAAAAUCCAUGCGUCCUUCAGCUGCCACGUUGUUGGGAAAUUUGCAGGUGGGAGAUCCUGGAGUCAUUUUCACCCGAUUCACUCUACUAGACAUGGGUCAAAUCAGCGGACUAGCCUAAAUAAAUCGGACCAUGUUAAUUCAGACCGGGCGGGAACGGUUGUCAGUACAAUCGUUUCAAAAGUUUGUGUAUAUUUUAUACACGGUGUAAUAUCAUUUGUAUACGAUGUAAUACUAGAGAAUAACAGCGAGUAACCCUAGUACAAUAUUUUAUGGGUCCCAUACAUAUUAAAAUCUGGAUCUUAUAAAUUUUAUUGGCCAAAUCUUGGCCAUUAACUGACAGGGACGGUAACCGUCCCUGCCCCUCAACCUGUUAAUUCUGUAUACUUGAAACUCUUCUUUAAACUUGAAUUCUGUAUCGAAACUCGUUGAACAUUUUUGUUAUGGUACAUUCUAAGAUUGAGCCUCAACUUGUUCAUUCGAUAUUAGUUUGCAAAAGCAUAACUAAAGUUCCCAAAAGUCCAAAUCGUUGUUUUUUUUUUUUUAGUUAGUUCAAGCUUGCGUUAAUGUUAACAAUCAAUUUUAAGCACAAGCGUCUCUUGAAUUGGUACACAAUUUUGUGUUAAAAGCUUGCUUCUAAAUAUAUCACUCUUUAAUUUGUUCAUCUUUCAUUCAUAGGAAAAUAGGCAAAGAGAAGUGAUUUUUUUUCCUUUUUUGUAGCAAAAAAAAAAAAGUAAAGCGAAUAAGAGAGAAAAAAAAGAAGAAGAAGAAAAAAGCAAAGUAAAAUUUGUAUGCGUGGAUCGUCGUAUAAUUGUGAAGAGGUUAAUAUAAAACAGAAUUUCGACUAUAUUAACACACGAGAUAACUGUGAAUUUCAGGACAACAAUCACAAAUAGCAUGAGGAUCAGUAUGGCUUUCUUUACAUUCAUGCAGAUCGAACGCAGGGAGGGUUGGAAACUGUAUUAGAUCUGGUUGGUCACUCGUGAUCACUUCCAUCCUUUAUUCCCUUUGCGUCUUUCAAUUUGGCUGCUCUUUCUAAAUUAUGUUUGAUCUUAUACAAUCAUGAUGAGUUAAAAAAGCAAUUUAGAUCAGAACUUGGGAUUUCGCAUUCGUGAUCUACUAUGUUUAGACCAUUAUUAUUUGGUUGCUUGGCUGUCAAAAGAUGCUUGAGUAGUUAAAGCGUUUUUACAAAUGAGAAUUAACGCAGCCAACAAGGGAGGCGCUCAAGGCAAAUAAAGUCAAUCUUCUUUCUUUAAUUUAAAUCCCUUAAUGAUGAUGAAGGAUAUGAUUGUAGUCACAUGACUACGUUCAUCUUUUUACCAGACUUCCUGGCUAAUGGACUAGCGUUUUACGUUGAUCUUCUAGGAUUGAUGAUAAUCGUUGCAUUUUUCACCCUAUCCUUUGUAACCCUUUUUAAUGAUAUUCAUUUUCUUCCGCUCUUCAUUGCUCAAGUAUGCAGUAAUUUCUUUUUACUGCACAGCAUAAGUUAAACCGCUCCGGCUGGAGACGUGCGUAAAAGUUACUCCUUGACAAACUACUCUAUAUACUCACUGAGUCUGGCUCACUGACCAUCAAGGAGGGGUAGAGGUUCAAAUUUCAUGUGCUAACGGAAAAAAAUUUAAGAGUGGUGUCAAAACACCCUUUUAAUUUAAGUAAGAUCCGUGUACUUACUAAUUCCUAACACAGAGUCUUUUUAGACUUCCAUUUUUUUCCUGUAAUUUAAGAUAGAAUAGAUUAUACAAUGAUUAUUUUCUCCUGAAAAAAAAUAAAAGACAAACUAGUCUACGUGUCCAUCCAGUUACCUAUGAGAGGCGAGACCCGUUGGUUAGUUAUUCAAUUUGUUAGUAAUUUGUUCAUAAGAUUCUGGAUGCGAUUGGGUUAAAGAUUCAAGCGAAAAAUCCCCGUUCAUUGGCCGAUGAACUCUUUCCAAAUGAUUAAUGUAGGUUAUUUACUAGUUGUAUUUAGCUUAGUCCAUCAUGCAGGUCAGCUCAAGUGUCCAUGGCCAAGUAAAAGACUAAAAGCUAGUAGUGAAAGCUGACAAAGAGUAUUGACUACUAUGGUUGAGAGGCACUUGGCAUUCAGGGGGGAAGAGGUAAUCAGGUAAAGGUCAGGAUGGACAAUUUGCAAUUGAGCAAACGGAGACGGACGCUCAAAAGACAGACAGAGUCUGAAACCUUUUUGACUCUUUCCUCUGCACCCCCAUUUUCUUAUUUCUUCUUUACUUCUUCGGGUAAAUCCUCGUUCAACUCCUGCAUCCAACCCACUUCUCAAUCAGUAUUCAUUUUAUAAAUUAGGAGGACCAGGAGGCAGGAGCCCUCUAUCCAUCCCCUGAUUUUCUGCAGUAAUUCCACCCCUGAUUGCCAUCCCAUAGGCCAUAUCACGAAGAAAAAAAUAUCCAGCGCCGACCCUUCCUAGCAAAAGCGCCGAAACAAGAGCACAUGACUCUGCCCUUUUCUGUUUCUUUCUCUCUCUCUCUUUUUCUUCCCCACUCAAAUUAUCAGCUCAUUAACCCUUGACGAAUAAAACCAAAAACAAAAAAAAAAAAAAUGCGGUAGUAACAACGUCAAUAAAAUACUACUAGUUCAGCAAAUUAAAAAUUACAAAACUAGUAAGUGCAUUAAUUUCUGAACAAUUGGCACCUUCCCUCCACCCCCACCCCCUCUUCGACCUCCAUAUAUACAAGCACUUCCCCUUCCCCUCACUCACCUCUUUCUAUUCCUCUCUAUACUUUAUUCCUGUUCUUCUCUUCUGGGGUAAGUUCCUCAGAAGUUAUGCACUAGAUUAUAAACAAAACCAACAUUGGCAUUUUCCAUACAGAAGAAGUUAUCACUUCUGUUUUCAGAACAGAUCUAUAUAGUCGCAGAAAUUGAUUUUUGGCGUCCCUUUCAGUUUUUGGAGCAAGGGUUGGCUUUAAAUUAAUGGAGAAUACUGUGAAACUCUGUUUCAUUGCUCCUCUGUUUCUGCUGCUUGGGAUUCUUCCCUUAGCAUUUGCGGGCCACGAUUAUAGCGAAGCUCUAAGCAAGAGCAUUCUCUUCUUUGAAGCUCAGAGAUCUGGUUACUUACCAAGAAACCAAAGGGUCCAAUGGAGGGGUAAUUCUGGUCUCAAUGAUGGCAAGCCCAGCGGGGUAAGUUCAACUAUUUAAGCCACAUUUUGAUGUUUUAACUUCUGUGGCUCAUUUUUCACGUGCAAUUGCUAAUUUAGCUCAAAUUCUUGAGUUGUCUUAGGUGGAUCUAACUGGAGGGUACUAUGAUGCUGGAGACAAUGUGAAAUUUGGGCUUCCCAUGGCAUUUACAGUGACUAUGAUGUCCUGGAGCAUUAUCGAGUAUGGGGGGCAAAUGGCUGCGAGCGGUGAGCUUAGCCAUGCCAUGGAUGCCAUUAAGUGGGGCACUGACUAUCUCAUCAAAGCUCAUCCCCAACCCAAUGUCCUCUACGGGGAGGUAAUGAAUGGUUCACUCUAAUUUGAAAAAGAAAAAAAAAAUUAACGUUUGAUUAAAUGUUGGGAUUCGUUGCUUAGAUUGCGAGCAAUUUUUUUAACUGUAGAAAUCUUUUGGUCAAGGAGUUUGGUCUACUUGCACUGCCACUUUUGGCCAUCGCGAUUCCAACAUUUUUAAGAAACCACAAAUUCUUUCGUAGUUAAAUCUAACAUUGGACUUUCCAAUUCCAUUUCUUCAAGAAACAAUAAUAAUAUUAUGAAUUCUCUUAAAAAUCAAGUAGUGAACCGGUACGUCAUUUUCAGAGAAAAGCGAGAUUCGUUUAAUACGGGAUUAGGAGGUCCCCUGUUUUUUUUUUUUUUAACAUUUUUAAGCAUUGGUGGGAUUAUUAUUAUUUUUUGGCAGGUUGGAGAUGGUAACACAGACCACUACUGCUGGCAAAGGCCGGAGGACAUGACCACGUCAAGGGCUGCUUACAGAAUUGACCCAAGCAAUCCCGGAUCUGACCUCGCUGCUGAAACUGCCGCCGCAAUGGCCGCUGCGUCGAUCGUUUUCCGCCGUUAUGAUAGUGCAUAUUCCAACGAGCUUCUCGACCAUGCUUAUCAGGUACACUCAUACGUAUUUGCAUAGUCAAAAUGUUGUUGUUUAACUUUUUAUUAAUUCCGAAUCUCUAAUGUCGGCUUCAGACCAAAAGUUCUCUGAUAGUACUAGUAGUGUUUACUUAACUAAUAACUGGUUUAUUAGUAGUAAUAAUACUUAGUUAGUGGUCGCUGUCCGCUGAGAAUGUGUUCAUUGGACCGGACGAGGGAGCGAGAGGAUCCGGUUUGGUUUCCUCUCCCCUACAUUUUUUUUUUUUUUUUCAGAAGAAAAGAGAAAAGAGUGUCCACCGAGAACAAUAAUAGUAAUGAAUGAAUUGGCGCACGCUAGCAACAGUUGAUUGUGCGUAGGUUAGCAAAACGGUCGCGCAGUUAAUAGGCAGUUACGAAGGUUCAGCUUUUUGUCAGGCUGGUGGUUGUCGGUGUAGGCCGCAGGGAGAGGUUGGAAUGCGUUCUGCUUUUACGAAUCCCAUUGAAGCUCAAUGACUCCACCUUUACAGUCUUCUUUCUUUCUUUCUUCUUUACUACUCCAGGAGUAAUUAUUAAGAUAAGAUAAGAUAAAAGAACCCAGCAUGCUUUCUUCAAUAUUCUAAAAAAAAAAAAAAAAAACUCCUAGUUUUACUUCUCAGUCAAAGUUGGACUACAGCCAGCCAGCCAUAAAAAAAAUAAUAAUAAUAAAAAAAUCGAUCUUCCAUGUUGCUAACGCUAGCUAGCUUUUGAACUUUUGAAAGACUUUCACUAAAGAACCCAGACAUUUCACAUAUCAGCUGCGCUUUUUGGAAUGAACUACACUAGUACACUAUUUGCGCUCUUUUUAUCAAGUGGAAUGGAAUAUGCUUAUCUUCACCGAAAGAGGAGCAAAGGGACUUCAAAGUUCCAAAACAUCCCCUUUCUUUUUCCUUUCGUCGCUGAUCAGUACAGACUACUGUUUCGAGUAUGGAUUGGAUUCUUUUCUUUUCUUUUCAAAACCUGUAUGGAUUCUUUAAACAAAAGAUAAAUGGCGUUUACACUGAGGUCCUGGUGAAUGAAGAAGGAAGGGUCCAAAAUUGAAAAUUAUAGAUCAGCACAGCAGGAGAGACCAACAAUGGCGAAUCGAUAAAAAGUGCUGAGUGGUACAUACUCUUUUUUUUUUUUUUUUUUGCCCUUUAUGGGUUAAUAUAUGUACUCACUAGUGAUAAUUAUUGUGGCAUUGAUUGAUAGCAUUGCCCAUCAUCAUCCAGUUCAAAUGCUGGUGAAGUGAAAUCUUACGGCGCGAAAAACCGAAAAAAAAAAAAAAUUUUCUUCAUGGAGGACGUAGGGCCCAUCUUAGCCGGCAUUCACGGGCAAUGUCUCUUAUUUGUACGGCUUUGAUGUACUUCCAAAUCCCAACCGUUAAUUAAAAAAUGAUCAAAGGUAAAAUCUACGGGGUAUGGAGUCUGGGCCCGUAAGAUCUUGAAACGUGGUGUGUUGUCGGUGGGAUUCGGAGUUUUGGACCACUAAAAAUAUGCCCCUUCUUCUUUUAUCGUUUGGAAAAAAAAAAAAAAUGCCCCUUCUAUAUCUUUCUUUUCUUGGUUUUCCUGUCUUACCCUUCAUUUUCACGAAUAUCCCCCCCUCUCUCUCUCCGGCGGCUCUAAUGUAGUACAGUAUUUGUUGUCGUGUUCAGCUGUUCGAGUUUGCUGAUAAAUACAGGGGCAAAUAUGACAGCAGCAUCACAGUGGCCCAGAAGUACUACCGAUCUGUUAGUGGGUACGCGGUACGUGAUUCCUCCUCCUUUUUUUGUAGCCAAUCUAAAUAAAAAAUUAAACAUUAGUGCCAUUUUUUUUUUUUUUGGGCACCCCUCCAACUCCCUUUAGUAAAAGUACAUUUCACUCGCUUUUAAUUGCAGGACGAGCUCUUGUGGGCAGCAGCCUGGUUGUACAAGGCAACCAACAACCAGUUCUACUUAAAUUACCUAGGCAACAAUGGGGAUGCUCUUGGUGGGACUGGUUGGGCCAUGACCGAAUUUGGGUGGGAUGUCAAGUAUGCUGGCGUCCAGACCCUUGUUGCCAAGGUAAAAUAUUUUCUAAUCCAUACUAACUAUUUUCGAACAGUUUUCUUGACUUCUAAAUUGUUAUUUCCAUAAAUGUUGGACUCAGUAACAAAUAAUCAUAUAAUCAAAGGUGCGCCUGGAUUGAUUCAUGAACUAACAAACCCGCUUAUUGUAUUGUUUCGUUGCAGUUCUUAAUGCAAGGGAAAGGUGGUCGUUAUACAGGGGAAUUUCAGCAAUACCAGCAAAAAGCCGAGGCUUUCAUGUGUUCGUGCAUGGGAAAGGGCAAUCAGAAUGUUCAGAGAACUCCAGGAGGCCUCAUUUUCCGCCAGAGGUGGAACAAUAUGCAGUUUGUCACAAGUGCCUCAUUCCUUCUCACUGUCUACUCGGAUUAUCUUGCUUCUGCUGGCAAGUCUCUCAAGUGUGCUUCUGGCUACGUAUCGCCAUCUGAAAUGCUCUCAUUUGCUAAAUCUCAGGUAUAGCUGCUGUUCUCUACGAGUUUUAACCGACGCGGCGCAUUUCACCUCUUAUCUCUUACAAUUGUCCUGUGCUAACUACUCGAUGCUGGGCUUCAUAUGCUACUGCAGGUGGACUACAUUCUUGGAGACAACCCGAGAGCCACGAGCUACAUGGUUGGAUAUGGGAACAACUAUCCUAGACAAGUUCACCACAGAGGUUCAUCCAUUGUCUCCAUCAAGGUAGACCCCUCAUUUGUGAGUUGCAGAGGGGGUUAUGCCACUUGGUUUAGCAGGAAAGCAAGUGACCCCAAUGUCCUCACCGGUGCUAUUGUUGGAGGGCCAGAUGCAUACGACAAUUUUGCUGAUCAGAGGGAUAACUAUGAGCAAACUGAGCCUGCUACCUACAACAAUGCUCCCAUUCUCGGUGUCUUGGCUAGACUACAUGGUGGCCAAGGCGUUUAUAACCAGCUUCUUCCAGGUAUGGUAGAGAGAGAUUGAUCUGUUUCAAAGUCUUGGCCUAAAUUAAUCAUGCAGUUUUCGCUUAAUUUAAUCAUGCAAAUUUGGUGCAGUGGCUCAGCCUAAACCAGUCCCACACCCGAAAUUAACUCCAACUCCAGGUAUUAUUCUUUUCCAGUUGUAGGAACUUAAAUCCACUAUUUUGCAAUUCUCAAACCUUGCCCAAGAUACAUUGCCUGAUUGGUGGGACUUAUCUAAUGUGAGGGUUAUUGUAUCGCAGCUUCAUCCUCCAAUCCAAUUACUGUUGAGCAGAGGAUGACAGAUUCAUGGCUUAACCAUGGAAGAACUUACCAUAGAUACUCUACAAUAGUGACUAACAAAUCUGACAAGACAGUGAAGAAUUUGAAGAUUUCAAUAUCUAAGCUCUACGGCCCUCUGUGGGGUCUCACAAAGUUUGGUGAUUCUUACACAUUUCCAGCAUGGACCAACUCUUUGCCCGCAGGAAAAAGCAUCGAGUUUGUGUACAUCCAUUCUGCUUCUCCUGCAAAUGUAUUGGUGUCGUCCUACACAUUUGCUUGAGACAAGAAGAAAACGCAUUCUCAGCCGAGGUUUAUGAGUUUUAUCGAAGUUACAUAAGAAUUGUGCACAUAUAGAAGGAGCAGCCCAGAAGGCCUACCUAAAACUUCAAUUACUCGUUGAUUUGCAAUCUGAGCAGUGUUUUAGUUGCAGUUAGGUAAAAUAAGGGCGAAGCAUGGAGGAAGAAAGGAGUGAAGAGACGAUUUAAAAGUGCUCAUCCUCUUUCUUCUCCACUUCAUUUAUGAGUUUGCAUAGAAGAAUUGAGAGACAGUCAAAAAGAGUGAGAUUUUGAGAAGUGAAGAAAGGUUUCACAUCUCAAUAGGGUUUUUAAUGUUUUUCUUCUACAGCAAAGCUUUGAGGGCUUUUUCUUUCAACUUUUUCAACUCGUUGUGUGGUGAUAUUGUAAGGUUUACAGCUUUUCUUGAUCUCAACAUGAAUAUAGUUGGUGCAAAUUUGUGAUCAACAAGCUUCUCUGUCUACAUGGUUAGUUCUUACAACUCCUCAAAAUGCUGUGCUCGUUGUUUGUGACAUAAUGAUUGUGUCUCAUCACGAACAGGAACACACUACUGGGACUUGCAGUGCUUAUUGAACAGUACUUAUUCUACAAAAAAUGAUCAAGAAAAAAUUGACGAAAAUCUACUACUAGUUUAUACAGUUUGUUGUUUGAGAAUUGAGAUCAAUUUGGUCAGCCAAUGAAAUCUACAACUGUGCGAAGAAGAGACACCUGAUUACGGUCAUGGACUAUUUCGUUGAGUAGCAUUGCACACUUGCACAGGACCGCCGGUUCAAACUUAUGUACCUCUAGCAACACUAAACUGGCUAGUUGCUCGUAAUACCUUUUCUUUGGGCCUUCAGCCUCGUAUUCCAAACAGUACGUCUAGCCCAACUUCACAACAUCAUGCGGUGUGUGGGGAGCUAACAACCUGGGUUGGGCAUAUUAGAGGGUAGCAGGAACUAAUUAGUGCUAUCUAGCUGAUAAAACUGCUGAAUUCGUAUACUUUCAUCGGCAGAUUCGCUAAAUUUAAAAGAGAGUUGACGUUAAUCCAGUUCUAGAAAAGUAGCUAAUCAUAAAAAUGAACACCUUAGCCUUUAAUUUCACGACGAAUUCACCUUCUGCAAUCCCACCAAUUGUCCAAAGGAAUGAAUUUGAGUGAGAAACGAACGUCGUUCCAACCAUGUCCAAAAUCAGAGAAAUCUCCGAUGUACAUUGCACGUUCAGAUCCUACACAACAGCGAGGAGAGAAAGGGGGUUGGGGGAAGCAGAAAUGACAUUAACACGAGUAAGUACAAUCAACUAGUGGAAGCUUUGCUGCUCGGUUGGUUGCUUGAGAUCAACUACGAUUAUGCUUAUGUUGUCUCUGCUUCCUUUAGCAAUAGCUAGCUGAGCCAAAAUUGCUGCAGCUUCCGCAGCAGCACCAGGUUCCUUCGACAACCUUUUGCUGAUCUGGCCAUUCAGACACCUCCUUACUACUUCACAGGCAACGUCAUUGGGCACCACAUCCCACAGGCCAUCAGUUGCUAUGAUGAGGAAGUCGUCCGACUCUGUUCUCUUGCAUACUUUGACCUCUGGCUCCGAGAUCACGUAGGGCUUCAGAUAGUGAUCGCCUGUUUAAAUGAAUUGGUCCAACAAUUGAAAACUGGAACUAUGAUCACAAAAUGCCGGCGAUAUAAAUGGAAAUUUACGUAAAAGUUAUUUGCUAAACCUCGAAACUUUUUUACCGAUUUCAGAUUGAAGCCUGUUUGUAUCCCACGCAGAUAUUAACUGACAAACUUUAUUUAGAUUGGGACUCGCAGACGUUAAUGAAGACAUGAUAAAUUAGUGCAGCAGGAUUAAAAAGAUUCAUAGUCCCAGAGACAAGGAAGAUAAGAAUAGUCCAAAUUUCUUGAAUUAGGCAUUUAUUUGCUUAAUGAUCAGCAAGGUCUCCUUAACUUCAUGCAGAUAAUGAAAACACAAGCUGAAGCACUCGAGUCGAGUCAUUUUUCCACAGUAUGAAUAAGAAGAUGAUGUACCUAUUGAUCUUGAAGUAGCAAGGACUCCCUGUACACGGCAGCCAUCCCAAUCGAUGAUCCUUCCACCAGCAGCUUCCACCCUCUCCUUCUCAUCAGGCCUAUCAGGCUGUUUAAAAUAAAAUGCCAAAAGUGAAAGCUAAAAGAAAUUAGUGUCAGAUAUGCUUUGAAAAUUAAGAAUGCCAAACAUCGAUGAUUACCUUAAGGAUAGGAGAAAAAAAAAAAAAACUGUUGCUUUCGUUCUAACAAUAUUUCUGAAGUUAACAUGUAGACAUAAGUUAAUAUGUAGACAACUAGUCAACCAACAACUUCGAAUUUAAAUUGUCCAAACCACCUAAAGAUCAUUUGAAGAGGGUCUUACGAAUUAUUGAUCCCCAGUGUUAUAUUUGGUAUGUUAUGAUUAAACUCUAGCAACUUAACAUAUCUGGGUACUUCAAGCCCUGUCUACCAUGUUUUGAUUGCAUUUCAAAAAACAGUGAGAAGACAAGUGUUACCUAGAAAAAUCAGUGAGAUGCAAUGUGCAUGAGAUUUUUUUAAAAAAAAAAAAUUUGAAAAUAUAAAAAGAUACUAAGAACAUAUUUAGAAAACAUGCCAAAAAUCUUUUAUCCAGAAAGUGCUACCGAACUAGCACUAAUAUGAGAAGAUAAGUACUUCGACGAAAGAGAUAAAGAAAAGGAUUCAGAGUUGAGUCAUGCAAAUCCAUAGUGGCUGAUAAAAGGCACUUUAGUUCUUUUUUUUUACAUUGUGAAUUUCCUGUUUCUGCUGGACACUUUUGUUUUUGUUCCCAAAACAGAAAAAAUGUUCGUUUUCGCUUGGAUGGCUUAUUCGGCAAAAUUUCCUUUGUGAUGUGACGUUCUUUAAACACGUUUCUUAUUGCCUUGUUAUUUUUUCACUACAUUUUUAACCUCACAUAUAUGAUAUAUAUACAUAUAUAAAUAUAUAUAUACACAAACACACACACUCACACACUAGUAGAUAAAAAUUUUUUGCUCCAAAUGAAUAGACUUCAAUAUUUGGACCUUUUGCCACCUUUGUGAGUGAAGUGGGUCGUACAGUAGAUAUUUCUGGAGCUGGAGAAAACGAGUCAGAAAGGCAACUAAACGAGGAAACCCAAAGGAGUUGCUGGCAUUUCCAGCACACCUCACAUGAUGCAUGCAAACAUUGCAGUGCUCCUAAAACAUUUCUGAGUCGACGUCGACAACAAAACAAAAGCAGACAGACAUCGCACGGAAAGCGACAAAGCGAAAGAAAGGCACACGUAAGACGUAAACGAUCUCCUAGGUGACACCUCAACGCCCUCAGAACAAAAACAACCCAACCCAAAGAAAACAAAAACAACCCAAAACAAGAAAAAAUAACAAAAAGGAAAAAAAAAUCCAUCGUCAACAUGACAACACGAGAGAAUUCAGAACUUCACCUUAUGAUCAUUCGACAGCGCCAUCGCUCUUCCGCCACGACACAGUACCGCCCUUGAGUCCCCACAAUUUGCCACCACCAACUCCUCUGGCCCCACCAUUACCACCACCGCCGUUGACCCCACCGCCCUCUCCGCCUCCCCUACUUCCAAACCCCUCACCCCCACCACCUGCUCAUCCAUUCUCAAGAAACACGCCGUCAUCACUUGGCUCCAAUCAACUCCACUUUCAUUUUCCGACGAUAAUACUUUGUCCCUCGUGUUUGCUUGGAGCUCUUUUUCUACCAAAUGGUGCAUGCGGUCACGGCAUGCAUUGGCCACCCUUGCCCCGCCGUGACCAUCGUACACUGCGAAGAAUUCGUACUGUCCGGCCACUAUCCCAGGCGCCACAGUCAAUGCAUCCUCCAUUACCCUCCUGCGCCCGAUAACCGAUACCGAUCCGCAAAUUAACCGGGUCAUGCUACCGCGAUCUUCCACUUCGCCCGCCACUCCCUCUUUUUCACCAACUUCUCCCUCCGGUAGAUUAUCUCCAUCACCAGGAGCAGGGCUCUUUUUUGAUGCAGAACCUGAAAAACCCAAGUCACCGCUCCUGUUUCCGGCAGCCCCUUUCAACUUCUUGUCCUUCAGGGAAACAUCUUCGUCUGCCGGUGCCUCGUUGGGCUUGGAGGUUGCCACCUUGUAAUCAAAGCUUCUCUUUCUGGCGCAGCUGCAUGCAUCCUUGUCCUCGCUAAAAUGCAAGGGCGGUUUCAAGCCGGCGGUCAUCAUUCGCCUAAUCUGCAGCCUUUUCCGGCGAGCUUUCCUCGCUUUCUUUGCAAGAAGAGUACCCUUUGUAGUGCUAGUUUUGUGGCCGUCGAGAUGGGAUCUCAUCUUAUUAAAACUUUCUGUUUUAAAGAUUCGAUAUCAAUGAAAUUAAACAUUUUUCAAAACAAUUUUCUGUUUUGGUUGGGGGUGGACUGUGGAGUUGAGGGGGAGGGGGUUUUGAGUGAUUCUUGGAUUGUAAAGACGGGAGGAGAGGGCUUGUGUGUUUUGAACUUAAAAAAGGGGAGGCAAAGAGUGGUAAGCUAGGACAGUUAACGUGGGUAGAGGAG